This 89003-nucleotide long non-coding RNA is filed under the name Citrus sinensis (sweet orange). RNAcentral's name for it is "long non-coding RNA (CSIN_LNC001793)". The record is from RNAcentral. Lineage: Eukaryota; Viridiplantae; Streptophyta; Magnoliopsida; Sapindales; Rutaceae.
GGGGAUGCCCUUUUUUUAUAGAUACAUUAAGUAAAUCAUGGUCAUCGGAUUAAAAACAGUUUGGACGCUCAGGAUUGAGCCACAUCAUCAGUCAGCAGUACGCGAUUUGACCACGUGGGUGAACAGUAACACGGUUUGACCCGGGUUGAACAGUGACGCAGUUUGGUUGAAAAUAAUCCUGUGUGAUGCAUGUACCGUACGCGAGAUUUUUGGUCCACUGAUAUGCUGCCACGUCACCAUCAACAGUACAUAAGAAUUUUAGUCCAACAGGAUCGUGACACCUCAUCAGUUAAUGCCACAUCAUCGGUCAAUGCCACGUCAUCGAUCCGUCUAUGUGAACAGUGUCGUGACCAAUAACGUAGACAGUACUGUACACGUGAAUAGUACCGUACAUGUGAACAGUGCCAUUUUUCCUUUUAUGCUCCUUCUAAGGUUUUUAACCGUCCUGAGUUCAAAAGUGAUGUCCGUUUUACCGUCCGAUCUCUCGUUUAUUGUGAAAUGACCAUGAUGCCCCUAAAAUACAUAAAAUACUUAAUUAAAAUAAAACACAAGAAGCUUAAAUACAUAAAAGUAAGGGUUGUUAGUAAGACGUGAAAUGUAAAAUGACGAUUUUCUCCUCUAUAAAUAUACAUUUUCUAACACUCAACAACAUGCUUAUUGCAUGUAAGCAAAAAGAAGAAAUAAAGAAGCUCAAGGGUGAACUAAGCACUGAAUUUGAAAUGAAGGAUUUGGGUGCAACUACAAAAAUUCUGGGCAUACAGAUAAUAAGGGACAGAAACUCUAAGACUUUGUAUCUGUCUCAAGCUGAUUGUGUGAAGAAAGUGUUAACCAGGUUCAAUAUGGAAGAUUCAAAACCUGUUACAACACCCCUGUCAGCUCACUUCUAGUUAUCUAAAUCUCUGGAACCUACAACUGAUGAUGAUCUUAACUAUAUGAGGAAAAUACCAUACUCCAGUGCAGUUGGCAGCAUCAUGUAUGCCAUGGUGUGCACCAGACCUGACUUGGCACAUAGAGUUGGUGUCAUCAGUAGAUUUAUGGGGAACCCUGGUAAAGAUCAUUGGAAUGCAGUGAAAUGGGUAGUGAGGUACCUUCGAGGGACUGUUGUCACUGCCAUUGUGUUUGGAAAAAUAAGUGGAGCAUCACCUGAAGUUGUUGGGUUUGUAGAUUCUGACUCUGCAACAGAUAAUGAUAGAAGAAGGUCUAUAACAGGGUUUGUGUUUACUAUGUGUGGAGGUGCUAUAAGUUGGAAGUCCUCUCUGCAAUCAGCGGUUGCUCUCUCAACGACAGAAGCUGAGUAUAUUGCACUCACAGAAGCUGUUAAAGAGGCAAUAUGGUUGACAGGGUUGGUCUCUGAAUUGGGGUUUAAAGAAUAAGUUGUUAAAGUUAGUUGUGAUAGCUCAAGUGAUAUUCAAUUAAGUAAAAACCCUAAGUAUCAUGAGAGAACUAAACAUAUUGAUAUUAGAAUGCACUUCAUAAGGGAUGAAAUUGGCAAAGGAGUGGUGAGUGUGGUCAAGGUUCCUUCUGAGGUCAACCCAGCUGACAUGUUAACCAAGCCACUGCCAUCAGUCAGGUUCAGGAACUUGCUGAACUUGAUUGGAAGUGUUAACUUGUAAUUCAAGUUUACAGUUGUUGAUUCAGUGUAGGGGGAAGCAUAAACAGAAUAAAGCUAAGGUGGAGAUUUGUAAAGCCUUAGUUAGUUAUAUUCUGUUAUGGGUUUGUUGAGGUGGCUGGUGAGCUGGCAUAAGUGGGAUCCAAACGAGAGAGCAGUUAGUAAUAACAGACUGAUUCAUGAAAGUGGAUACACAUGUGAGAAGCAUACAUAUAUAAGCUGUCUCUAAACUAGUUUCAGAAAUAGAGGAAAACACUUGAGCAUUACAAAGAGGAAACGCUAAUCGGAAAAGAGAGAGGUUUUAAUCUGCAGUGGAAGUGUUCUUUUGUAAUAAGCCAUUAUAGUCAAUAAAGCUUCUGCCCUAGCUGGCAUUCUUACAACCGUGGAUGUAGGUUCCUUUGUAGAAUUGAACCACGUUAUUUCUUUGGUGUUCAACUGUUCUUGAUGUUCUUGUUUUCUUUCUUCUUGUGUUUAAGUCUUGGUUGAUUCUUUUCUUGAGCAAGUUACGAUAUAUUGCUCUGUCUUGCAUAACAAAGACUCAAGCUAGAGAGCAGCCUAGGAUAGGUCCAGCUCGUGCGAGAAAGAAACCAAGAUGGCUUAAAGACUUUGUCAUUUGAAGAAUGUUCGAGAAUGCUUGAGAUAUGAAAAUAACGAAUAUUGUUCUAUUUUCAAUUAUUGUUUUGUUGGUAUUAGUAAUUUUAUUCCAUAGUUAGUUAAGGGUGCGUGGGUGUUUUGGGAAGGCAAGAAUAUAUUGUACUGUCAAGGCAAGGGACCCGUGAGGUCAUUUAAGGAAAAAUAUCAUUUGUCUUCUUCUCAACUUCGUCUCUUUUAUUUCUCUGCAAUUCCCCUGUUUCUAUUUUCUUUGUUCAAAUCCUCUUCCAAACCGAUUGGAGUCUGCACUCGCUCAAAGAGUGUCGUAUCAGGCUCCCAAUCCUGUGAUAUUGCUCCUGGAUAUCGGCUCGGCAUCGUCUGUAAAGCGUGAGAGAUCUAGGAGAGUUUGAUUUGAUUUACUUAUUAUCUUUUUCCACAAGCAAAAAUCGAGUGACAAUCAGGUGAUGGGGUGCUAGUGAGGAGACAUCUUAUAUUGAAACCUCGUCUCUGGAAAGUUCUUCCAGCUUCAAGGUUGUGUUAUGCGAGCAAUGGUAAAACUUCCAUCAAAUGGAUGACAUGCCAAAUGAUUAUUGGUUUUGUUGCUGACGAGGACAGUUAGCGUAUCGUAAUUAAGCGCGUUGUGCGUGAUCGCCAAGGCAGCUAAAUAUCUUCGGGUGUUGGGAUGACGUGGCAACAGUGUGUAAACCGUAAGAUAUAAUGGGUUGGGCCAACUUGAAAUGGCGCGAACUUUGUGCUACUGACACCCCUUUAAAACAUUAAAAAUAACCUCCAUUUUGAUAUUUUGUAAUUUUUUUUAAUCUAUUGAUAUUUUACAUCAGUCAUCUGUUAUUAACUUAUUAUCUCCAUUUUUACCCUGCACAAAUAUUGGAGAGGUGGGAGAAAUGCCUUUUUUUUUUCCUAAUUUUUAAUUGGAAGUGGUGGUGUAAGACCCUUAAGAAGGGACUCACACUCAAGUAACGGGAUGAGUUUACCACUCGAUCAAAGUCGGUCAAGGCCGAGUGGCAUAUUUAUUGUCUUCAUAGUACAAUAUAGUUACAUAAAUAUUUUAUAAAUAUGCUUAGUUUUGUUAUUAUUCAAUUUAAUACAUUAAACAUAUUAUAAAUUCAACGAGUCUUAAUGUUUCUUUUUUUAAGUUUCAAGAAUUAUAUUUAUUAAACAAUUUUUUUAAAUAUUAUUAACUUUUAUGUGAAAGUUUUCAUUUUGUAAUAACACAAGGUAAUAAUUUUUUUAUAUAAAUUAUAAAUCUAAUUGAUCAUCUAAUACCGCAGGAAUCUCGAUAAAUUUAUAAAUUUAAUUAAAUAAUAGUUUUUCCUGAUUUGGAUGUGUGGCCAAUAUAGUAAAUUAAUAAUUUGAUAAAUUUAUAAGAUAUGUUUUUUAUAGGUACCACUUACUAUAUAAGUUAAUAAUUAUCUAAUUUAAAAUUAAAUACACAUGAUAUUUCAUGUGGCUUUGUAAAACAUAUUCUAAGCAUUGUUUUUACUUCUUAAAAUGAUUUUAAAAUUAAAUCUCAUCAUUAAUUCUUUUUGUAUUACGAAAUCUCAAUUUGCAUUGUUAUUUUACAACAAUCGCAAGAUGAGCUCUGUAUAUUAUUUUUAAUAUAAAAAUAAAAAUUCUAUAAUAAUCUAAUUAUUAUCAUUAUAAGAUAAUUAACUACUAUUUAAAUUAAAAAUAUUAAAUAUUAAAUUAAGAUAAAUAAAUACUAUAAACGUACUCAUAUUUUGAAGAAAUAAAGAAUUUCUCCAUUAGUUAUUAAUUAAUGAUCUUUUAAUUUAUUAAUGUAUUGAUAUUCAUAAAAGGCCAAAACUAAUAGAUUUUUUAUGGUUCUAAUAUUACUAAUUUAUUUUAUUGAGAUUUUACUGUAUAAGAAUUUUUUUUUCACUCCACUUCAAGGUGAAAGAUUAGGGUAAGUUUGACAUUUCGCUUUUUUGUUAAUCGAACGGCGGAGAGGAGGUAUUAGAAAUGGACGGUCUCUUUUACGUUAGAGUUCGGCCUCCAACAAUUAGUCCGCCGUUUUUAGACCAAGGAGCAUAAGUUGGCGCCAAUUAUUCAGCUUAAAUUCGCCGCUGCCUCAUUUCUCAGAGACUCAGACUCACUUCUAAAAUUCGAAGAUGCAGCGUCAACAAUCGAUCCACUCCUUCUUUCAGAAAUGCUCGCCGGCGAACAAAUCUGGCGCCGCAGACAUGUCAGGCGCCCGGAAAGACUCCAAUUUUAUGACAAAGCAGCGGAAUCCAGUCGGUGACUCCUCCGGUCAACCUACAGUUUCUGCUACGGAGGACUCCUCUCUGGAAAUCAGAGGAACCGACACUCCACCGGAAAAAGUGCCACGUCAGAUUCUACCGUCGGGCUUUAAGGCGAAUGAGGGGACCAGUGGAGGUUCUUCACUGUUUUCGAGCAUUAUGCAUAAGUUUGUGAAGGUUGAUGCAAGACAAAACGCAAAUAAAAGGUACUUUGCUUUUCUAAAACUUUAGGGCUUUUGUGGUAUAAUUUUGAUAAAUACUUCUAUUAUCUGAAGCUAAGGUUUCUUUUGCUAACGAAUUAUUUUUCUUAUGAUUUAUCGUCAAUAGUGCGAGUGAAUUUUCGAGUGAAGAACUUGUACACAACAUCUAUCUCCGCUAUAUGAUUCUUCCUCGAAUUUUUUAUUAACAGUUCUUGGUUAUCUCGUUAUGUUUUGAGGUUGUGAUAUGUUUCCAAUUGUCACAUUAAGUCUACGAUUCUUUAUGCACGAAAUUUUUUUGUGCAAUAUUCCUCAAAUUGCAGGUUGCCAUUUGGUUGAUAAUAACUCGUGGAUGUUUAUGUAUUUGCUAGUUGGAUUUGCCUUGUGUUAUUUACGAUUUUUAUUAAAUUAUUUGUGUAAAAUUUGCAGGAAUGAACAGCAUGGAAAUUCCUCUACUGUUUGCUCAGUGUUUGGUAAAACUGGUGAUCUGGAAGCAUCAUCUCAACAGGGAACAGCUUCUCUAUAUUCUGAAAAAGACAAUGUUUUCAAUUGUAAUGGCUUGGCCAACCAAGGAUGUGUUUCAUGUACUGAAAUGAAUGAAGAUGUUUCUGGUCCAGAUACACCGGGCAUGCAUCGUGUUGUUCCUCGUCUAAAGCGGAUUUUAGAAGAUAAUCUCAACAUUGGGGACAAGAAGAACUCUUCAUUGCUGGAUUCUAGUAAAAGAAUGAGACUUCUUCAGGAUUCCGUGGCUGGGGUUAAGAACUGUGAGGAAGAAGCUGAUACAACCAGCAAGUUUGAAUGGCUUGAUCCUUCUAAAAUUAGGGAUGCCAACAGAAGAAGGCCUGAUGAUCCCCUUUAUGACAAGAGGACACUUUAUAUACCACCUGAAGCUUUGAAGAAAAUGUCCGCAUCUCAAAAGCAAUACUGGAAUGUCAAAUCCCAAUAUAUGGAUGUUUUGCUUUUCUUUAAAGUGGUUAGUUAUUGUGCUAUGUUUAAAUGUUCUUUUAACUACUUACAUUUUCUACAAGGCAUUAUUAGUGAACAUUGUUGGUUAUCAAUGAACAUUUGCUUGAUCUUGUGAGAUUUAGAAGAGUGCCAUGAAGGAUUGAAUGCUAAAACAGAUGCAUCUAGUCUUAGCAACCCUGGACCAAAUAUUAUGAAAAAAAGGACAGAUUCUGCUAUUUUGGUGACUUACAAGAUGAGCAUCAUGUGGGUUUUAUAUGCUUUUUUAGUUUAACUGUGGCCUUUUAGGAAGCCUCCUUAUUUAUUAGAUCUAUCUAUCAGAUCUAGAAUUGUUUACUCCUGUAUUGUUUUGUCCAAUUGAAAUAUUUAUGGGCUGUGGAUGAAACUUGCCUAAUGAUUCGAUCUUAUGAUCAAAUAUAGGGGAAAUUCUACGAGCUCUAUGAACUGGAUGCUGAAAUUGGUCACAAAGAGCUUGAUUGGAAGAUUACAUUAAGCGGUGUAGGGAAAUGUCGACAGGUGAACAAAUAUUUAUGGUUUCAAACCUUUGAUUAACCUUAAAUUCUCCUUCUUUUUCCUCUUAAAUUUUAUUUAUAUAUUUAUUUUUCCGCAAUGAAUUAUUUCUUUAUCAUCAGGUUGGUAUCUCCGAGAGUGGGAUUGAUGAUGCUGUUGAAAAACUAGUUGCUCGGGGGUAAGAAUGUUUGACUACCUGGUCUAAAUGUGAAUACAAGUCUUUUAAAAAUGCUAAGUUUACAGUCACUAGAAAGCUGUAUAACAGUUCUCUUUGUUAAACAGCGUUCUAGCGACCGUAAAAUUAGCAGUUCUACUGGUUUUAUGGGAUUUAUGAGAUGAAAUGCAUAAAAGAGCAUUUGAAGUUUCAACUAUGCACCGUAUUGAUAUUGAUUGGAGAGGCGAAAUGGCAUUUAUCCAUGUGACGGUGAUUGUAAUUAUUCUGAGUUAAGUGCUUGUUUAUCAUCUUUGUCCUAGUUUCAGAAUUUUACAGUUCACUCUUUGCUUGUUUUGUUCUCUUGAAGAUAUAAAGUUGGACGGAUUGAGCAGUUGGAGACAUCUGAACAAGCAAAAGCAAGACAUACAAACUCUGUAAGAUUCCUGUGCUGAGUAGAGAAGAGACAAAUAUAAUGAUUUAUUGUUCUAUUUGCCAUGCUUCACGUGUCUUUUGAGGGCUUCCUUUAAAGUAAUCAAAUUUGAGAUAUGGAGUUUAUAUCAGUACUCAAAUCUUACUAAACUAGUUUCCAUAUGUGAUUUUAAAGCUAUUGGCUGUGAAUAUGUAUUAGACACAUUUUCCCAUUCAUUUUCUGUUUCAUUUUUCUCUUUUUGGGUGAGGGCAGGUCCGGCUAUUCUAGAAUGCUCAUAGUAACAUUAAUAAACAAGUACUACAUCAUUUGCUACUCCUUCUGGUUUUCAAAUAGAUCAUGCUCUGAAUAUGUUGUUAGCUUGCCUUAAUUCUUUUUGUUUUCAUCUACUUUGGAUGCAUUCUACAUUGUGCAAAUGCUUAGAAUUAUAGUCUAAAUUUAUUGAUUUGACAUUGACGUUGGGUUUCAGGUAAUUUCUAGAAAAUUAGUGAAUGUUGUCACACCGUCAACCACAGUAGAUGGUACGAUUGGCCCUGAUGCUGUUCAUCUUCUUGCUAUAAAAGAGGUCUGUUAUGUUUUCUUGUUGGUUACUCCUUAUAUGGGAAACCUAAAUGGCAAUUUUUCAUGCAUAUACGUCCUAAAUUGCGCUCUGGUAUUUUCUGUUAUCAUUUACUUUCGUUGCAUCCUUCUUGAAGUCUACCAAUAUCAGUAUGCUUGUCUAAUGAUUAUCAAAUCUUAUCUUCUUCCUCCAAUUUCUGGAUUUCUUGUUUUUCUCAAUGUAUUUCUUAACUCUGUCCAAGUACCAGCUUAUUGUCUGAUGUAUUUGCUUCAAUGAUAAUGAUGAUCGGACCAAUGUUUCAUUUAUAAGGCAGCAUAUGAAGCUUUUUUUUUUUUUUUGACAAAUAGUCAAAUUCAUGUUGGCUGCAAGCACUGAUGUUAGAACAGAAUAUCCAACUGAAUUUUGUAUGUUAAUCAAAUGGAAGUUCUUAAUUGUAACCUCUGUAAAGAGAGUCAAGAAAUGAUUUGAUAAAAUAAUGGAAUGAUCUGUCCUGCAACAUUGGCUAAUGUUAGAUAACAUGUUUGAAAAAACUUGCUUGCUGUUUCCUUUUUGUGCUUGACAUGAAGAUUUGGUCAGUUAAAUUCUAAGUUUAUUGGAUUGUACUUUAUCUCUAGGGGAACUGUGGGCCAGAUAAUGGUUCUGUUGUCUAUGGAUUUGCUUUUGUUGAUUGUGCUGCUCUGAGGGUCUGGGUUGGCACCAUCAAUGAUGAUGCUUCAUGUGCUGCUUUGGGGGCUUUAUUGAUGCAAGUAAAUUUUUCUAUCUUGCUAUCUUUUAUAUAAUUUUUUCCACAUAGUCUGUCAAAUUUGAUAUAUCAAAAUUCUGAUUUUCAUGCUGGAAAUGAUUUAGGUAUCACCUAAAGAAGUAAUAUAUGAAAAUAGAGGUGAUCCAUUUUCCUUUAUCCUUUGUUAUUUGAGCAGAGUUCCACCCUGAAGUUAUGCCAGGAAAUUGUUACUUUGAUUGUAGCUAAAAUCAUUUUAAUAUUUCAGGGCUUUGCAAAGAAGCUCAGAAAGCGCUGAGAAAGUUCUCAGCAGGUGAGGGUUGCCUCAACUUUCUGAUAUGUUCAUAUCUGAUGAAAUUAUGUCAAUACAUGUCAUCUCGUGAUUUUUAGACCAUACAGACAUGUACAGAGUGUUCCCAGGCUUUGCUGUAUAAGCAUAGUUUUACGUACAAUAUGUUCUGGUGUAUGACUGUUUCUUUCAUUCAUGCUUAUGCUUAAGUGUUUUGGAACUUCUUACGUCACCUUAAUUAUUGGUUUGCUUGAAUCUGCUUGAAUCUUCAAUUAGCUUAUUGGCAUUUUUAUCAUGAUAAUGAAAUCAAUUCAUGUUGGGGUUAUUGUUGGACAAUCUGCCAUCAUUGCUCUAUGGAUUAGUCAUUCACCGGCCAUUUUUAUUUGUACUUAUGCACUUCAUUUUCCCAUUAUGUAGACCAUAAAUGUCCAGAAGCAGGGGCAGAACCAGAUAUUUGCAUUAGGCUGGCUAUUUAUUCAGUUAGAUGUUUACUCAUAUUUGUUAAGUAGAAAUCAAUUAAAACAGGGAGAAAUCAAUGUGUACACAUAUUCAUAAGACGAAUUGCAUCGGGUAAAAGGGAGUUGGAGAAAGAGAAGUAGGAACAUAAUAAAUUACUUAUUGCUGUGGAUUGAAGUUAUUUUGGUUUAUCUAUAGGAAAUAGAAAAUAAUGAAAUCUAAGUAAUAUAAAAGAAUUAUGAUAAAUUCUUUUUUUAAUGGUUUGCAAGUUAAAGAAAAAAAUUUCUAAUGAAGUUUUUGUUGUGUUGAUAGAGAAAGAGCAAGAGAAAUUUCAGGAUAAUGCAAUGGGUUAGUUAAAUAUUACCUCUAUUUGUCUUGGUUUUCAUAAACAAAGUAGGCAUAUGUAUGUUAGUGUCUAUAUAUAUAUAAUGUUUCAAUUCAAGAUGCUGAAUUUGUUAAAAUCCGGAAAAGCUAUUAAACCAUGUGGUUUAAUAGCUCUCGCACACUUUAAUGAAGCUGAGGAUCCUGAACCAGUAUGUGUGUGUGUGUGUGUGUGUGUGUGUGUGUGUGUGUGUAAAUGUUCUUUGGAGUUCUGUCAGUUACUUGUUAGAAGUUGAUCGUAAUCAUGCUAAGAAAAUUGCAUACCCAAUUUUUUCUUAUCUUUUAGGUUCUGCAGCUUUGGAACUCACUCCGGCUAUGGCAGUUACUGAUUUUUUGGAUGCUUCUGAAGUUAAAAAAUUGGUUCAGUUGAACGGUUACUUCAAUGGGUCUUCAAGUCCAUGGAGUAAGGCACUCGAAAACGUAAUGCAACAUGAUAUCGGGUUCUCUGCUCUAGGUGGACUUAUAAGUCAUUUAUCCAGGUUGAUGGUAUGCUUUCUUGUAUUACCUCUUCCAGUUUUAAAUUUGUUGAGGUCCCCUUAAUGUUUGGGUCGUCUAAUGUGUUCCAAUUUUUAUGCAGUUGGAUGAUGUUUUACGAAAUGGAGAUAUAUUACCUUACAAAGUUUAUAGAGAUUGCCUUAGAAUGGAUGGACAGACACUGGUAAAUCUUGAGAUAUUUAAUAACAAUGCUGACAGUGGUUCAUCAGGCAAGUGUUUUCCUCUUUUUAUCUUAAAGUGAAAUUUUGAGUCUCAGAGGACAGCAUCCUUAUAAAGUAAUACUACAUGUGAGUUGCAGGUACAUUGUUCAAGUAUCUUGAUAGCUGUGUGACAUCAUCUGGUAAGCGGCUUUUGCGGAGUUGGAUCUGCCAUCCACUAAAAGAUGUUGAAGGCAUUAAUAACAGGCUGGACGUUGUUGAAUAUCUAAUGAAAAAUUCAGAAGUUGUGAUGGUUGUUGCUCAGUAUCUGCGCAAGCUCCCUGACUUGGAGAGGCUGCUGGGAAGGGUGAAAGCUAGAGUUCAGGCAUCAUCGUGUAUUGUAUUGCCCUUAAUAGGCAAGAAAGUAUUGAAACAGCAAGUAAGGUUCUCCAAACAUGGCAUAUCUAUACCUUCCAAAUUCAUUAGGAAAAGCAACUGCAUGUGUUAGUCACCAUCGACUAACGAAUUGCAAGGGUACCAGAACCUUUCUGUAGUUUCUUUUAUAGCCUGUAAAAUGUUAGACAUUGACAAUUGCAAGUCAGAAUUCUAUCGUAAAUAUUUUCUUCUUUCUCCUAGUGAAUCGACUGUUUUGAAAUUUGGAUAUUUGAGGUAAGUUAACCCAAGAUUGUUAACCCAAUCAACUGUUUUGGCAAUUGCUGCAAGGAUUUCAGAAUUGGAGUAAGGGCUUGCAAUGUGUCUCUACAUGUGGAAAGCCAUUGCCUUUGCAUUUGUAUACAAUUUCUAUUCACCUUGUAUUUUAAGAUGCAGUAAGGGUUUUUUGCUUCUAAAUUUUUAAGAUUUCAUGAAACCAUUUAUAGAAUUGAUCUAUGCUUUUGCAUUUAUUAUAACAUUUGUAGAUAUAGGAAGCUGCAUAGUUUAAUCAUGCCAGAUUGUCAAAGAUAUCAUAACACCCAUCAAAGAUGUCAUUAAUACCUAUCAUUUUAGCACCUUUCUUUCUCUUGCCACUUAAACAUUUAUCUAGAAUUUUGAUUGAGUAAAGCUUUUAAUUAAAUCCAAGUGUAUAAUACAUUCUUUCUGCUACAGGUGAAAGUAUUUGGGUCUCUUGUGAAAGGACUUAGGAUUGCAAUGGAUUUAUUAAUGUUAAUGCACAAGGAAGGGCAUAUAAUUCCGUCAUUAUCUAGAAUUUUUAAACCGCCAAUAUUCGAUGGUAGUGAUGGGCUGGAUAAAUUCCUUACUCAGUUUGAAGCAGCAAUUGAUAGCGACUUCCCUGAUUACCAGGUCUGCUUCUUUCUACUCUUACAUUCUGCAAGUGUCAGUAUUAAGGGUUCCUUUGUGUUUGAGUUUCAUAUCUCAUGUCAGAAUGUUAUUUCACUGAGUUCAACAUUUUAGUGAAGGCUAGUUUUGGUUGUAAAUUUUUUGUUUUCACAUCUUGUAGUUUCCUUCAUAGAUUAUUUUAAAACCUUCAUAGGAAUCAACUCACUCUUUAAAGACAUUAGCGAUCACCUUCUCUCUGUGUAUCUGAAGUUGACUCUUAAUUUCAACUUUGUUAUUAUCAUUUGCAAGACUUCCGACUUUUAACAAGGUGUGGAAAAUUCUGUGUUCCACAGUUCAAUAUUAUGCAAAUGCAUGCUUGCUGACUUUCUUAUCCUUGUUUGGAUGGAGAGUCAAAUUUUUACAUUUUAUAUACCUAUCUUUGGGCCCAUUACUGAUAUUACUUGUGUUAUCAGAACCAUGAUGUAACAGAUUUGGAUGCAGAAACACUGUCAAUUCUGAUUGAGUUAUUCAUUGAGAAAGCUAGUCAAUGGUCUGAAGUUAUUCAUGCUAUUAGUUGUAUCGAUGUAUUAAGAUCUUUUGCUGUUACUGCGAGCAUGUCAUCUGGUGCUAUGCAUAGACCUCUUAUUUUGCCUCAAUCAAAAAAUCCGGCUGUGAGGCAAGACAAUGGAGGACCUGUACUUAAAAUUAAAGGAUUGUGGCAUCCGUUUGCACUUGGAGAGAAUGGAGGACUACCGGUCCCAAAUGACAUUCUUCUUGGUGAAGAUUCAGAUGACUGUCUUCCCCGUACCUUGCUAUUGACUGGACCUAAUAUGGGUGGAAAAUCAACACUUCUGCGUGCCACAUGUUUAGCUGUAAUACUGGCUCAGGUGUGUUACUGUUGUGAAUAUAUUUCAGCGAUUUUUUUCUGAGUUGUAACACUAAUUUUUUAACAACCUGCAGCUGGGCUGUUUUGUUCCUUGCGAGAUGUGUGUUCUCUCUCUUGCGGAUACCAUUUUUACACGGCUUGGUGCCACUGAUAGAAUCAUGACAGGAGAGAGUAAGUCUGCUUCAGAAAAAUAUUUAUCGAGUAGAUAAACUUUCAUUUGGGGUAUAAAUGUUGGAUAAGAUUAAAGAAGAUAACACAUUCUUGUUUUACAUGAAUCUAUGAAAACUUAUGUUAUGGGUGCCUUCAUUUUGUGUUUUGACGAAAAGCACCUCCAACACCGGACUUUUCAUCUAAUGUAUCCAUCUAUUUCCUUAUAAAUUAUUGAACUUUUCUUUAUACCUUCCGGAAUAAAAAGUUACAUACAAGCGCAGAAAUGCAUAUGUUCACAUAAUUAGCAAUUUGCACGUGGACUAUUAACGUUAUGAAGUUUGACUGCCAAGAGAAUCUCGGUCUUUUGUAGGUACAUUUCUUGUUGAGUGCACAGAGACGGCAUCAGUUCUUCAGAAAGCCACUCAAGAUUCUCUGGUAAUUCUUGAUGAACUGGGUCGAGGAACAAGCACUUUUGAUGGAUAUGCCAUUGCCUACGCUGUGAGACUUUCUGCUUACCACAAAUUACUGGAAUUGAGUUUAGAACUUUGAAAUAUAUGUUAACAUCUAUCAUCUCCUCUUUAUUUACACAUCCUGAUUGUGAUCUUAUCGUCAUGCAUUUUUUGAUCAUAUGCUUGGGAUGAACUUGUAAUAUUAGACGUGUAAUCACUGACAUGUGGAUGGAUAUAUGCACUGGUGAACUUUAUCUUGGGAAAAAAUUAAGUGCAAAUGCAUUACUGUAAUAUAGCAUCAAAAGGAUCAGUGAUUGUUUGUUGUGGCCGGUUUAAGAUUUAGUUGGAUUUUUUAAUACAAAAUAAGUGUUAUAUGAGGUGUGGUUCAUUAGAGUAACAUGAAAUUUUCAGGUAUUCCGCCAACUUGUUGAAAGGAUCAAUUGUCGGUUGCUAUUUGCAACACAUUACCAUCCACUCACAAAAGAAUUUGCUUCUCAUCCGCAUGUUACUCUACAACAUAUGGCUUGUGCUUUCAAGUCAAACUCUGAAAACUAUUCGAAAGGUGAUCAAGAGCUGGUUUUUCUCUACCGCCUUACUUCCGGAGCAUGCCCAGAGAGCUAUGGGUUGCAAGUGGCUGUAAUGGCUGGGGUUCCACAAAAGGUGGUUGAGGCAGCAUCACAUGCUGCUCUAGCAAUGAAAAAAUCAAUAGGAGAAAGUUUCAAGUCGAGUGAACAGAGAUCAGAGUUCUCAAGUCUCCAUGAAGAGUGGUUGAAGACCAUUGUAAAUGUCUCAAGGGUUGAUUGUAAUUCCGAUGAUGAUGAUGCUUAUGACACAUUGUUUUGUUUGUGGCAUGAGCUAAAGAAUUCAUAUCAGUUGCACAACUAAAAGAGAAGGUGGCAAAGAUAAUGAUUGCUACAUGACUUUGCCUAAUUGCCUUAAUCAAUUUUUCUUUGUGUAUUUACCUAAUUUUUGUUUAUUAAGAGGAUGCAUUGUAACUUGUUGCUUGAAAUGAUUAUAAUGUAAUAUUCUAUUAUGCAGAAGGCACUUCUUAUAUCUCCUGUCAAAUCCAAGAAAUCAAGUUUUGGUGGUGCUGUUAAGCUUUGCUCUAUAAACUGAGGUUUCUUUCAUUUAAUUUUUUUCUUUUAUCAAAUUUACAGUCAGGUAAAUCCAAAGCAAUCAUUGCGAAUCUUUUGAGCCACUUUACUGUGAGUAGAGACUUUAAAUCUCUACCUAGCCAUUUUGCUUAACAGAAUUGAUUUAGUUUAGGAGAAAUUAGUGGUAGAAGUUUUCAAAUGUUUGUCCUUUAGCCAUAAAAGUUUAUCAACAAUUUAACCUCUUGUUUAGCAAACAAUUCGGCCACUUUCUCCCACGUGUCGGGGUGACAAAGACAAAAGUCUCCGUUGUUCCGAAAAUGCCCCCAGUUGUCCCCGUAUCCUCGUAAUCGCCCUCACAACAACCAAACAUCAAAUCAUUUUCACGGCCUACAUUGUCAACCGUUUUUUGAAGUUCUUCAAACGGUUUUCUCAGUAUAAUCAAAUGGUAGAAUUGCAUAAGGAAGAAGAUGAUAACAAAUGCGCAACAUAUCACGACAAUAAGAAAGAUAUGGACAAAUACAAAAGAAAACAGCUUGGUCUCUCUUGCAUGUUAAACACCGAAGUGGGUUCCGUCCUUGCCGUGAUCCGUCGACCGUUAGACGCGCACUACGUUCAAGAAGACACUUUCGAAUCUGCAGUCGUGCAAUCUUUAAAAUCACUGCGGUCUCUCAUUUUCAAUCCCCAACAGGAAUGGCGCACCGUCGAUCCUUCCAUUUAUCUAUCUCCAUUUCUAGAUGUGGUCCAGAGCGAUGACAUUCCGGCUGCAGCCACAGGCGUGGCGCUUUCAGCCAUUUUGAAGAUUUUAAAGCUUGAAAUAUUUGAUGAGAAGACACCAGGAGUAAAAGAUGCUAUAAAUAUUGUAGUAACAGGAAUUACAAGUUGUCAACUGGAAAAAACAGACCCCAUAUCAGAAGAUGCUGUGAUGAUGAGGAUUUUACAGGUUUUGAUAGCAAUUAUGAGGCACCGUGCUUCGAUUCUGCUCACAGAUGAAGCGGUUUGUACCAUUGUCAAUACAUGUUUUCAUGUUGUUCAACAGUCUGCAAGCAGAGGGGAUUUGCUUCAACGGAGUGCAAGGUACACAAUGCAUGAGUUGAUACAGAUCAUAUUUUCAAGGUUGCCUGAUAUUGAAGUUAAAAGUGGAGAGGGAUCAGAAUCUGACACUGAGGAUGUUGAUAUGGAUGCAAAUUUGGGUUCUGGCUACGGAAUUCGUUCUGCUGUUGAUAUCUUUCAUUUCUUGUGCUCUUUGUUAAAUGUAGUGGAAUUGGUGGAGGGAGAAGGUUCUCGUACUUCUGAUGUAGAUGUUCAGCUUUUCGCCUUGGUUUUGAUCAAUUCUGCCAUUGAAUUGAGUGGUGAUGCAAUUGGAAAGCACCCAAAACUCCUAAGGAUGGUUCAAGAUGAUUUAUUUCAUCAUUUAAUUCACUAUGGAGCACGUUCAAGUCCACUUGUGUUAUCCAUGAUUUGCAGCACUGUGUUGAAUAUUUAUCACUUUCUUCGAAGGUUGGUCAGUAUUCAUAAUACUUUCUUGUUGUUGGAAAAACAGCCAAGAAGGAUCUAAUGGAUUUUUUGGUUUUUGUAGGUUCAUUCGUCUCCAACUUGAAGCUUUCUUUGGAUUUGUGGUGUUGAGAGUUGCAGCUUCCGGAAACUCUCAUCAACUCCAAGAAGUUGCCCUUGAAGGAAUUAUAAAUUUCUGCAGACAACCAACAUUCCUAAUUGAAGUCUACGUGAACUAUGAUUGUGAUCCCCUUUGUCGAAAUGUGAUAGAAGAGAUAGGAAAAUUACUUUGCAAGCAUUCAUUCCCUGUGUCUGGCCCUUUGACUUCCUCACAGAUACAAGCCUUUGAAGGACUGGUAAUCUUGAUUCACAACAUUGCAGAAAGCAUUGACAAAGAAGGAGAUACAAGCCCUUCUGGUCCAUACCCUGUUGAAAUCACCGAGUAUAAACCUUUUUGGGAAGAGAAACCCAAUGAUGACUCAGAUACCUGGGUGGAAUAUGUAAGGUUAAGGAAAGCGCAGAAAAGGAAAUCAUUGAUUGCUGGGAACCAUUUUAAUAGAGAUGAAAAGAAAGGCUUAGAGUACCUGAAACUUUGUCAAUUAGUCUCUGAUCCACCAGAUCCAAAAGCCUUAGCUUUUUUCUUCCGCUUCACUCAAGGACUUGACAAAAAUAUGAUUGGGGAUUAUCUUGGCGAUGCUGAUGAGUUUCACAUUCAAGUUCUCAAAGAAUUCACUGAAACUUUUGAGUUUGCUGGCAUGACCCUCGACAACGCUCUUAGAACUUAUCUAGAGACUUUCCGUUUGCCAGGAGAGUCCCAGAAGAUUCAGCGAAUCCUUGAAGCAUUCUCCGACAGAUUUUUUGAUCAGCAAACCUCAGAAAUUUUUGUUGCCAAGGAUUCGGUGUAUAUAUUUUGCUACUCCCUCAUUAUGCUCAAUACUGAUCAACACAAUCCACAAGUGAAGAAGAAGAUGACAGAGGAGGAGUUCAUCAGGAACAACAGAGGGAUCAAUGGAGGGAAAGAUCUUCCUAGAGAGUAUCUGUCGGAGCUUUUUCACUCCAUUGCAUCCAAUGCAAUCUCAGUUUUUGGCCAAUCUGGCCAGAUAGUGGAUAUGAAUCCAAGCAGAUGGAUUGAACUGAUAAACCGAUCAAAAACUAUGCUGCCGUUCAUCUUAUGUGAUUUUGAUCGUAGGCUAGGGAGAGAUAUGUUUGCUUCCAUUGCUGGUCCAGCAGUUGCAGCGCUUUCUGCGUUCUUUGACCAUGCUGACGAAGAUGACAUGCUCCAAGAAUGCAUCGAGGGGUUGAUAUCCAUAUCUAGGAUAGCUCAGUAUGGACUAGAAGACACUCUUGAUGAGCUUCUUGCCUCAUUCUGCAAGUUCACCACAUUGUUAAAUCCAUAUGCCACAGCAGAAGAAACAUUGUUUGCUUUUAGCAAUGAUAUGAAGCCAAAAAUGGCUACUCUUGCAGUUUUUACUCUUGCAAACAACUUUGGGAACUCUAUUAGAGCAGGUUGGAGGAAUAUUGUGGACUGCUUGUUGAAACUCAAAAGGCUUAAGCUACUACCCCAAUCUGUCAUUGAAUUUGAUAUUUCUACCACUGAUGCCCCUUCUCAUUCAAGAGCUGAAUCAGGUGUAGUUUUCCCCGCUUAUGAUCCCACAUCUGGAAACCGCCGGAGUUCAGGCAUGAUUAGUCGAUUUACUCAUUUUCUAUCAUUAGACAGCCCAGAAGACUCUAUAUCCCUUGGCAUGAAUGAAUUCGAACAAAAUUUGAAGGUGAUCAAACAGUGUCAAAUUGGAAACAUUUUCAGCAAUAGUACAAACUUACCUCUUGAGGCUUUGCAGAAUCUAGGGCGUUCUCUGAUAUUUGCAGCUGCAGGAAAAGGCCAAAAGUUUAGUACUCCAGUUGAAGAGGAAGAAACUGUCGGUUUCUGUUGGGAUUUGAUCAUUGCCAUUGCUAUAGCCAACAAUAACAGGUUCCAGGCGUUUUGGCCUUCUUUCCAUGAUUAUCUUCUACUAGUUACUCAGUUUCCUUUAUUUUCACCUAUCCCAUUUGCAGAGAAGGCAAUGGUAGGCCUUUUCAAGGUCUGUCUCAGACUGCUUUCUUCAUACCAAUCAGAUAAAUUACCAGAGGAGCUAAUAUUCAAGUCCAUAAAUCUAAUGUGGAAGCUCGAUAAAGAAAUUCUUGACACGUGUUCUCAGCUUAUAACACAGUCGGUGAGUAAGAUUAUCAUUGAAUACCCUGCAAAUUUGCAAUCUGCAGUUGGGUGGAAAUCCGUCCUCCAUUUGUUAUCAGUAACUGGUCGGCAUCCAGACACCCACGAGCAGGCAGUGGAGACUUUAAUCAUGUUGAUAUCUGAUGGUACCCAUAUUUCAAAGGCAACUUAUGCUUACUGUAUUGACUGUGCAUUUAGUUUUGUUGCGCUAAAGAACAGUCCACUAGAGAAGAACUUGAAGAUCCUAGACUUGCUGUCAGAUUCCGUGAAUUUGCUGAUACAGUGGUAUAAAAAUGCAUGGUCAGAAUCAGGGAACAAUUAUAGCAUUGCGAGCAGUACAAGUACCUCCUCAUUAGAGGACUACAAAGGCCUUAAUUCUUUGAACUUUGCUGUAAAUUUAUUCAUCAAACUAGGUGAAGCACUUAGAAAGACUAGCUUAGCACGACGAGAAGAAAUAAGAAAUCAUGCGGUUUUAGCUCUUCAAAAAUGCUUUACAUUGGCUGAAGACUUGGAUUUCUCAUCAAUCAACUGUAUAAAUUGUUUCAACCUCGUGAUAUUUGCAAUGGUCGACGAUUUACAUGAAAAGAUGAUAGAGUACUCGAGGCGAGAGAAUGCAGAGAGGGAGAUGAGAAGUAUGGAAGGGACUUUAAAGAAUGCAAUGGAGCUCUUGGCCAAUGUGUUCUUACAGUUUAUAAAACAGAUUGCAGAGAGUCCUGGGUUUAGGACAUUCUGGUUAGGAGUGUUGAGAAGAAUGGAUACAUGCAUGAAGGCUGAUUUGGGACCAUAUGGUGAGACUAAACUACAAGAAACAAUCCCAGAUUUGUUGAGAAAUAUGAUAACAAUGAUGAAGGAAAGAGAGAUUUUAGCGCCUAAAGAAGAUGAAGAUCUAUGGGAGAUCACAUAUAUUCAGAUACAGUGGAUAGCUCCUUCUCUCAAAGAAGAGCUUUUUCCUGAUGAAAUUUAAAAUACAGAGUAAUUUCGAUAGUUUUGAGUUACCAACAUAUCAGAGACGUAGUAAGGUAUCAUUUUUUUUUUUUCCGUUUACUUGUAUGUAAAAUGGUGUAAUUGUUGAUGUUGUAAUUCCUUGCGCUGUAACCGCGUUGCGCAUGCAUGCUGUAGCUUUACAUAUACAAAUGUUUAAUCCAAGUUGAGAAUUUGAGAUUAAUUAAUUUCCCCCUGUUUCUUUCUCAAUGUUAACGCACAUACACAAACAAACACAGCGAUUUGCAACUUUCCAUGAUCCCACUCGAGGCAAAAUCAUGAUAUCUCAUUGUAGAAUAGUAUGAAACCAACGGAAUCACCUCAAGCACUCUCUUCAAUCACAAGAUCGUCUCUCUUUUGCCCUUCUAAGAAAAAAAUAAUAAAAUACUAGACAUCCACCCACCAAAAUCAUAAAAGUGUCUUUGGAGUGCAAGACAAUAGAUCACAUGCAUUUAAUUAGCAAAAAGGUAAACGAAUGACCAUCAGGUAUUUUUAACAUCAUCAAGAAUAAUUAAAAGUUUCAAAGCUAUUCUCCAUAUUCUCAUGAUUGUAAGCUAUAAAAUAUCCCUUCAUGGACUAUGUUAAUGGUAUAACCACCCUUAAGCAAACCUGUUCAAUCAUGAUAUAUUAACAAGCAAGCAACCAUAAUUUAGUUUAAGUUUAUCAUGAAUCCGCCCAUCAACAGCCUCAUUCACUCAAUUUUCUCUAGUCUCACUCUUCAAAAGCAAUGCCAAGGAGAACAGCACAAGUGUUUGAGUCAGUCUAUCUGAUCGACACAGCCCAGAUAUUCAGGGAAUCCAUAAGAGUUAUACUUCUCCAUCCCACUCAGUUCCAUUCUAUCUCAAUCUUCUUUUUCUCUCCUCUCUCAAUAUCUCUCUUCAUCUCUCACUUUCUUGUUCGCUAUUUUCCCCAGAUACCCUCAUGGAGUAUCAACAUCACAGAUCAUUUACUCGGACAUCCUCUAUUGAAAAUACUCUCCAAAACCAUAAUGCACCUUAUCAUUUGCUUCCCUUCCUUCAUCACUUUCUCACUUAUAGGAAGAGCUGCAACAAUUCAAGCAGUUUCAGACAAUUACAAUGGAAUAAGUCUUGAUAGAAGAAGGCUGUUAACGAAAAGUGGGAUGACUUGGAUUAAGCUUCUCCAUACAAGUUUCUGGGAAUUCUUCAUUGUUCUUGGCCUUUUCGGAGCUUUGCUUAUCAGUUUGGCAACGGUGCCAAAGUUACUAUUUUCCAUGGGUUUGUUAAGCUCAAGGAUGUUGGGUUUCUUGUGUGUUUUAGGUUUUCUAGGAAUACCAUUCUGUGUAGUAUUUGCGCAGUUAAUGGUUGUGGGGAACCUUGCAAAAGUGUUGUCAGUGUUGGAGAGUGAGUGCUAUGGACUUGAGUCGUUAUUGAAGGCAAACAAUCUCAUGAAAGGAAGGCGACAGACAGCUUUAAUCAUGACUUUGUUGAGCAAUAUGAGUUUGAGAUUGGUAGAGUUUCUAUUUGAGUUCAGAAUAUGCAGAGAUAUCAGUAUAUGGGAGGCUCCCCUACUGGUUUCAAUGUAUUCUUCUGUGCUUGUUUUUGACAGUGUCAUGAAUGUUGUAUUCUAUUAUGCUUGUAAACCUUGAAAAUUAUCAUCCUGAUUAACCAAACACAACAUUUUCCAAAAGUGUAAUGAAUAAGAAGUCAUUAAUUCACUCAUGGGAAGAUUUUGAAUGAAAGGGCUCAUGUUAUCAGAAUUUCCGGAUACCAAUAAAGAUUAGCAAAUGCUAUGUUACAUUCACUCAACAACAACCACACAAAUUGUAUGGGCCCAUCAUUUGUGUGGUUAUUGUUGAGUGUGUAUGUUACAUUAAUUGUAACAUAGGCACUCCCAAUAAGAUUUUAUAUGGCAUUCUUUAUGGAUAUUGUACGACAAUAUGAUAUUGAUGGGGUAAACUUGCAUCCAUCUUUCAAGUAGCUUCUAAUAAAUAAUUAUUACUUUUCAUCUCACUUCAGAAUAUGAUUAAUGCAAAAUGCAUUUUCUCUUUCACACGCUAAACAUAGCUUACACAUAUUUCUCUUUUUCAUCAUUACAGUAACAAAUCCUUCAUCAAGUCUCUUCAUUUUAUUUGUUUUAUAUUUUAAAAUAUAACUUACCCUGGUUCAGUUUUGUCCCUAUUAGAAAGAAAUUGGUGGGUUUCCUUUUUGUUUUGAUCGGACUGUCUUUAAGGUUCAAAAACAAAAAUUAGUUUGGAAGCCACGAAAAGAGGCAAAUAGAUGACAUGGACACCUUUGUUUUUUGACGACCUGAGGAUUCAAAUUGAAACAGGUUAUAUUAAUGGGUAGAGUUUUUCUUUCCUCAUCUGUGGUUCCUCAUCAAUAUUUCAAAUCCAUCAAUCCGGUUAAUCAUGAUCUUUUUUCAAACCGAACCAAAUAAAAAAGAAAAGAAAGUUUCUUGAUGAAACACAAGGUUCAAUAAUCAACAUUGGUAUUUCCUAAAAACAGAGUUAUUGCUGGAAAGAACACCAGACUUUGACUGCCAACACAGAAUAUUUAUAUGACAACACCACUCUUUCUAGAGAUGAGAUGACAUGAUGAGUGAAAAAAUACCACAAAAUCAGAUACCAUAUCAACUGGGACAAAAAUUCCAAAGAGUACUACAAUUCUUUAUAUUAUUGAAAAGAAAUCACUCUGGAUGGAUGUUUAUGCAAAUUUAAGAACCUUCUCAAUCAAAUUAUAAAAUUGGCAAUAAAUUGAUAUUAUUUGAUUAUUUUCCUAACUUCAAUGAUUGCUCAAUGCUCCUCAAUGACCAAGUAUACCUAGAUCACACAACUUUCUCCUCAUUUAUCAGUUACUAUAUUUAAACAAUGUUCUAAUAAAUAUCCAAUCAACCGAGCCUAACCUAGUUUCAACUUCAGCAACCCAUUCUUCCAUAGCAACCAUCCUUUUUAGUUUUAAACAUUGAUCCAAUUUAUAUAAAUUAGGAUAAUGAAAAUAUAUUAUUGGGAUCGUGUACAAAUUAUAAACUGCUAUAAGUAUGAAUAUGCAAAAAGAAAUUAAGAUUUAAAACUUUCUCACUUAUAUUAUAAUAAGGAAGAAACUCAUACAAUGUGAUGUGAUCAUCCAAAAACGAUGAACAGAUCUUGUCAAAAAGGAAAAGCAUUUACAACACGCAGAAGAUGAGUACAUUAGGAAAUACAACACAAAUUUAUAAGAUUCCAAUGAAGGAUAAUGUUAAAGCACUAACAGAAAUCAUCCUUGCCUAUCAUGCUACACAAAACCUUGAAACUCCAAAAGAACUGCACUGUUAGUAACACUAUUACCGAGCUGAGAGCAGAUGGUGGUCUGUCCAAAACAUUUAUAGCAGGCUCAGAUAUCAUCUUCCUUUCCAAAACCUAAGUACCUACAGUUAUAAAGUUCGAAAAGGAAAAAAAUUGUUACCGACAGUAUGAUGUUUUCGAAUAUUAGAAAACAUUAGUCUUAGGCUUUCAAAAGCUAAUCUACAAUUUAAUACCCAGUUUACGUUCAAAUGCAAGCCAGCAAACAUAGGUAUGAUAAAUAACAAGUGAUCCAGCAUAAUAAUAAACCCAUUCAAAUCAGGAAUCUGAUAGCUAAAGAUUCUAUGUAACCUUGACAAAAGAAAGCAAUGCGCAUGAGAGAAAUAUUUUAAGAGGAUCGAUGGAACACACUUGUUGGAGGGAAAGGAGUCAAAGAUUUGUGAUAUGUGUAGGAUUCACUAGAUAUGAAGGGACACACGAUCUUAAGUUAAACGGCACAAAAUUAAAUUAGUUAAUAAUAAAAAUUUGAUUAAAAACCAGAAACAAGUGACGGUAAUGUCAUGUAUAUAUGGUAAGUACUUCAAUAAAACGGCAAUUAUAGUACCAAAAGAAACAUAUGUGACAACAAAUUAGACACUUACCAACAUUAUUCACUAAAAUUCCCCAUAGAAUCACCAUCACCACCAUCAUCGGUGUCCCCAUCAUCAUCUCCUUCCCUAAUUUUCUCAAUCUCUAAUUGUGCCCUUUCCAAAAUUUGCUUCUUCUGCAGCUCUAACUCCUUUUGAAAAUCCAUUCUCAUCUUCUCCAACUCCAUCAUCUGCUCCCUCUUACUAUUCUCUAUCUUCUCAUAUAUAUCUCCAAAUUUAUUCACUGAAUCUGCCAACAUCUUUAGUGAAGCCAAAGACCCCUCAUUACUAUCAUCCUCUUCCUCUUCGACCUCUGAUUCACUAGGGCUAUCCCUCAUCUCAUCAAACCCAUUAGACCUAUCCAAGUAAACAUUAGUAUCCAUAAAUACAUAUUCACCCGAAUCAAUCCCACAAGCCAACCCGCCACUCUCUUUUCUCAUAUCCAUUAACAUAUCCAUCUUCUUAAAAAAAACCCAUUUGCUAUCAUUUACUCCCAUCUGCUCAACUUUAACCUUCUCCUUCUUAUAUUUCCUCUUCAAAACAUCCAUCAUUUGCCUACACUGCGCCUCCGUCUUUUCAACUUUCAAAGCCUCCGUUACUUUCUCAGAAACCUCAACCCAAUCUUCACUUCUCAAGCUUUUUCUCCCUAGUUGCAAAAACCUCUCUCCCCAAAUUUCCAGCAACACAAAAGCCUCAUGCUCAGUCCAAUCAUAGGAUAGCUUUACACUUCUGGGUGCCAGCCGGUAGCCCGAACCGGAGCUUCUCAGCCUCUGUCGUUUUGGGUAUCUCUCGAAAUUCUCGCUUUCAUUGAAAUUGUGGCGAUACGCACUUUGGUCAUUGAAUUGAACAUGGUAUCCUCCUUCUUCUUCUUCGUUUUCUUCUUCAAUGCGAUCUUCAAUUUCAUCGUCUUCGUCUUCUUCUUCGUAUUGGUAGCGAUUUUUGAUAGGACGAGAAUAUGAAGGAAGCUUUUGGCGAUUUAGAGAGUAGGGUUUUGGUGGGUAUCUUGCAUCAUCUUCAGUGUCAUCCAUCCUGUCUUUAAUGGAUUUGAGAAUGACGCAACCCCUAAUUGAGAAAAGAGGAAAAUUUAUAAAUAAAACUUAAAAAGAAAACAUUAAUACGAUGUAUCACCCGGAUAGGAACUUAAACAGGUUCCCGGGAAAUCUCGGUUUAAUUUAAUGAAGGUUAGAAAGAAACCCUAAUUCAUCAAUUUUUUGUUCUUGUGAAUUAAAUUCGUCAAGAGCUCGAAGUUGGGAAAUUUCAGACCCCCAAUUUUUUUGGUCGGUAACAUUAACGGAUAAUGCUAAAAUGCGCGGGAUUGCUGCUCUUGGAGUUGGAUAGACACUGGGCCAGCGGGCCUUCUGGUUGAAAAUGUUUAAAAGGGAAAUUAUCGUCUACCGACCAUGAGGUUUUUCAUUAUGUUACGUGGAUGACGAGAAUGAGGAAAUGGGCAGAAACCUCCCCUGAAGGCUGGAGAAUAGCUACAUUUCGUAGGCUUUCAUGAAAUGUAAUAGAAGCACCCCCCCUUUUUUAUUAUUCCCCAAGAAAAUAGACACGUGUGAAGACUUGAAUUUCUUUUAAAAACAAGUUAAUAAUCAUUUCCUUUUUGUCUUGAAAGUUUCUUUCUUUGCAAUGACCUCUCUUAUAUGACCUAUUGGAUGGGGAUGGUAAUUUCAAAUGUAAUUUUAUAAAAUAACAACUUUGAAGUUGAGCAACUCAUUCUCAAAAAUAGAAGUUAAUUAUAGAAUUUUGCAUGAGAAGUAAAGUGGAUAAAAUUGUAGGAAAUGCAAUUCAACUUUUUUAUAGUAAAUUGAAGUAUUAAAAAAAACAAUUAUUUUCCUUAAUUUUUUAGUUGUAUUAUUUUACAAAUAACUAUACCAAAUUGAAAAUAGAGAAAGUCAUAGAUGCUCUAGGAGCAUUACUUAUUCUAUAUUCAUAUCUUAUCAUCUGUUUAUAAAAAUUUUCAUUAUUAAUUGAAUGACACACGCGGGGCAAGGAAUGAGUGAAAAGAAAGCAAUGCUUCAAGAGCAUUUAAUUUUCUUUGAGAUAAGAGAAACGAAAAUGGUAAGUGUCAAGACAACUGAGAGAAAGGUUCGGUUUUUGCUUCUUUCACUCUCUCUUCAUUUUAAUAAUUAAAAGAUUAAAAAGAUAAUAAAAAAAAAAAGAGGAAAUCCAAAAAGUAGCAGAUGAUCUCACUCUCUCUUCAUUUUAAUAAUUAAAAGAUUAAAAAGAUAAUAAAAAAAAAAAGAGGAAAUCCAAAAAGUAGCAGAUGAUCUCAACUUAUCCUCACUUGACUACCAAGCAUAAUCUCCAUCCUCUGCUUUUUCCUUAAAAUCGAAGCUCUUCUCUUUUCUUUCACUAAAACUCUACUAUAUUUUCCUUCACCAAAGCUCUACACAAGGCCCACAUUUUCAUUCACACACAAAUUCUCACAAACACAAAACGCCACCUGUUUUAGCCCUGGAAGCAGAACCCGAAGCUACUCUUGAAGUUGAAGCCGAACCUACUACCAAAGUUGUGGAGUCCGCUGCCAAGGAAGAGCCCAAUCAUGAGCACAUUUGUGUAGUUGUUAUGGUAAAUGAUUAACGAAAAUGAUAAUUGUUUUUGGUAUUUCGUGCAUUCUUCAAUUAAUUUUGUGAAUUCCCCAAAUGCUUGUUUUUCAUUUUUUUUUAAUCUCUGUGUGUUUAGUCAGAUGGUUUCAAUUUCUAUUGUUUGGAGGUAAUUAUUUGAUUAUAAAGAUGGAAGUUUCAUUUUGAAUAUUAUUUUUUGUUGUAUGAGUAAUAAUAGUUGUCAGCUAUUACUCUCGGUGAAAUAGAAAUGUACCUUUGUUUUGCCUAAGUUUUACUGUUUUAGAGAUUAAAUGAUAGCAAUUUCUAGUACUCUUGGAAGUAAUUUACUAGUGAGAUGAUACUAAUAAGGUUCUUUUAGGUGUCUUUUUUUUUUUAGUAAUUUCUGGUUUCACCGUGGGUAUUUUGGUUUAUGUGAAAUUUGUUGAAUUUUAGUUUAGUGUGAUGUAGAAUUACUAUGAAUUUGGGAAAGCUGGUUAAAUUUCUGUGAAAAUUGCUGAAUUUUGAUUCAGUGUGAUGUAGAAUUGCUAUGAAUUUGGGAAAGUUGGUUUCAAUUUCAGGGGUUUGCAUAAUCUUUUAUUAUAUUCUACUUUUUGGGUUCUUGUAAUUUUCAAAUUUAGUAUGUGUGCUUCUAGAAUUGUUGUUUAUGUGUGCUUCUGGAAUUGUUGUUACUUGUUGUGAUUAUCUAUGGAAUAUUAAUGGGAAAGGCUUUUAUACUUUGUCUCAUGUUUGUUAACUCCAGAUAUUGUUCGAAUUAAUUUUUCCCUAGAAUUUGACUGAAUUUUGUUAAUUUCAUUGUCUAAUUAGUCAGUUUUACACAUAGAUCUUGUGAUAAACCAUCCUUAGUAUUAUUUGACUAAUUCAUUCCUUUAAUUUUCAUUUUUUACAAUUUUUUAUGUUUCUUGGCUGAAAAAAUGAGUUGUUGCAGAGUGCUUUGUGUUUUCAUGCUCUUUUAUUUUUAGCAAUUUAAGUAGUAUAUUAAUGACAAUGUCAUCUAGCAUAAAUGAAAUUUGAAACUCACUGAAAAUAUGUAAGAGAUUCAGUGAGUAAAUGGAGUUGUUAACGUCACAUACUAAAAAGAAUCCAAAUCACAAAUUUUAGAAAUUUAGAAGAUGUAAGAACUUUCAAUAAGCAGAAACCAUGAAUCUAGCGAAGAGAAAAUUGACUUGUUAGUGGAGAAAGUUAGGAAGUUGGCAUUGAAGAUUGAGUGUUUGUCUGUUAGAUUUCAAUUAUUUCAUAAAGAACUUAAGUACAUGCAAGAAUGUGAAGAGCUGAGGCGAUUGUUUGAUGAUGAAUUUUGAAAGAGAUAAACAGUAGGAUAUGAUUUCAUCAUAAUACAUGUGAUUGUUGUACUAUACUUUAUAUUUAAGUGUUAUUUUUAAGUUAUUUCAUUUUGUACUAUGUACUGGGAAAAAACUUAUAGACAUAUAUAAUAGCAUUUUCCUUUUAAAUAUAGGACUCUGAGUUAUUUCACUUUAUUGAGCUUGAAAUUAUAUUUAAAUCGUUAUUUUAAUGCUGGAAGAGUUAAAACAAUCUUAUAAAUCAUUAUUGGAUGUUGAACUAGCAUACAAUGAGUACAAGCACAUUCAAAUUGCAAUGAUUUAUGUCAUCGAAAAUUAUCAAACAAUGUCAUUGAAAAUUAUCAAAAAAGCCACCAAACCAACAAAAAUUAUUUUAAAAAAACAACAAUAGUACAAUCAUUGAUGCCAAUAGAAACAUAAUAUUCAUAUAUCAUUAAUUCAUCACUACAAUUUGUCAUUUUAAGCCAAAUCUAACUGAAAUGAUAAGGAAAAUAAUUUGAACAGAAUAUAAGUCAAACAUUAAUCACAACAAUUGUUAUCUUCAUUAAAUUGUUGAUUUGGAAAUUCUCAUUUCCAAAUCCUUCAUACGUUAUCGAAGAAGAAUAAUAAUACGAUUGUAAAGCAUAUAGUAGGAUUAGUUGUUAUGAUACACAAAAAAUUAAAGCAUCAUAUUACAUUUUAGAAAUUUAAACAUAUAAGUAUACAUGAAUAUAUUGAUUUUAAGACGACAACUUACUGUGUGCCAAUUAUAAGGAAAUGAUUAAUAAAUAUUAUUUCCACCAACUUGGGUUAGGUAUAUAGGUACCUAAGAAAAUUAAAAAAGUGUAAAAUCCAUAUAAAAAAUUUAAAUUAAAAUUUCCUCAUGAAUUUAAUUCUUACAUUAUAGUAGUCUAAAGUCCUAUAUUGGUUGAGAUUUGUAUUAAGAGUACUUCAUUCCUAAAAUAUUUACAUAUAGUCAACAAUAAACUUAGUUACAUAUCUUCAAAAUAAAAGAAAAUUUUAAAAUAAAAAUUCAUAAACUUACUAUGGCCAUGUUGCUCUGCUGUGUGGAGAUUUCAUUAGGUACUUCAUAAGGCAAUGAAGAAUUUUCUUGUAAAUCUUGUAAAAUUAUGACAAACAAUUAAACGAAUACCAAAUGAAAUUAGAAAACAUAUAUUUGUAUUUGAACAAACUUUUUUUUUUUUUGCAAUCUUGUUCUUUUGGGCAGGUUUCUUAUAGAUUGAAGAUUGUUUUCUCAAGCAAGAAUGACGGCCUUUACGAUGUGCCACUACUGGAUCAUUAAUUACAUGUUUAAUAUUUUUGCCUACUACAACUUAUUUCACCAGUAACAGUUGUUGGUGAAAUAGUUGUUUCCACACUUUCACACCGAAUUUACUUAGGCAGAUCUUUCAUUGUUUUAUCAAUUUAAUCCAAUACUAAUUUGUUACUACUUUCAUCAUCAAUAGCUAUACCUGCAAUCUCAAUGAAAGCAGUACAUAUUUUGCCAUAUAUCUCUUGUUGAAUAUAUAGAUUUUUCACAUCAUAACUAACUUUCACCUUACUGUAGUAUCUCCUCACAUAUUUCUUCCAUUUUGAUAAAAUGACAUUUCUGAAAGCUACAUUGUUAUAUAUCAGCAGUGCAAGGGCAUGUCUAUAAAGAAUCCCCCCUAAACAUAAACUUUGAAUAGAUACAGUUAACUUCACACUUAACUUCUUUAAAAACAACCUCAAAACUUCUUUUCUUACCUUACCCAUAUGAUUCAUUGAUCAUAUACUGAUUCUACAAAAUCAAGUAUAUCACAAUACAUAAGUCCAAUUAAUUCUUGUUGAUACUCUUUAAAUUUAAAAAUGGUAUACACCUCUUCAAUUUGCUUCUUCAUCUCAUAUCUUAUUACACGUAAAGUCUUUUUGCUUAAACACUUGAGAUCUACUAGCCAUUCUAAUUCAGCUUUCUUUUUCAAUAUAUUUUCAUAUUACUUCAUAAAUUGCUUCAAAUUUAUUGUUAACAAUCCUGCCCGAAAAUUGUCUUUCAAAUAGCAUGAAAUCCAACGAUGCUGCUCAUCAUAUAAACCAUUUAACCAAUCAUUAUUCCAUAAAUCAUAUAUUGUAAUCAUGUUAUGACAAGCUUUCUCAGACACAACAUGACUCAAUGAAUCAUAAGCAAUAAAAAGUAGUAAAGAAAUAAUCCUUUCACAUUCUUUAAAAGCCCCUAACUUUUAAGGCACCUUCUUCAUUAUACGCCACAAAUACUAUCGAUGCCUUGUCGAAGGAAAAAAAAUUCUUUGUUGCUUUUUGCAUUGCUUUGUCUUGGUCUGUAACGAUACCAAUGGGAGGAAAACAAAACAUGCAUGAUAGCCACACCUUAAAUAAUUACGUAAAUGUCUCUGUAUCCUUAUGUAAAGUUAAUCUGCAUCCUAACAAAAUAGAUCAGUCAUGAUGAUUAGCUCUGACAAAAGGAGCAAAUGACAUGUCAUACUUGUUUGUAAGAUAUGUUAUGUCAAAUGCGAUGACGUCUCCAAGAUAUUUGAAAGUUGCCCUACUCUUACUCAUCCAAAUUAAUGCCAAAAAAAAAAUGGCGCUCUACUUAAUUUUUCUAGAAGUAUUUUAAAAUUGCUAUAACAUAUCCUUCUCCAAACUAUAAUCGCUUUGUUUUGUCAAUAAGAUUUCUACAAUCUUUCUCUAAGAAUGAGACAUUUUCAUUCAUGUCAGCUUCGAUAACAAUAUAAUUAAAAUUCUGGGCAAUGUUAAUUCCCGCACAAUCAUUCCUUUCAAUACGCUUUUUUGCACUUGCACUAAUUCUACGGUUACAAGGAAAAUACCUAACUUUAUCCAGACUAAAUCCAUCAUUAUGUUUGAAGGUUUAAAAUUCGAAGAACCUAUUUUCCAUCUUCAUUCAUACAACCUCUAAUUCUAGCAUCAAACUAAUUUCCACAAUAGGUUUCUACUUUAACACAUUAGUAGAAUUACUUUCUAACUUGUUGUUACGACCACAUGCAAAUGUCUCGUAUUUUACAUUCCCAUUACUCCCUUUAUUACUAGUUAGCUUCUUCCUAUGAAAUUCUUCUUCUUUACCAUAGGCUUUGUAAAAGGCAAACAUUUUCUCAUGACUACCAAAUGACAUCCUAAGAGUUGGCUCAUAUUUUAUCGAUUGCACAUCUUCGAUUGCAAGCUAGUUUUUCAAAUUUUCCAUUUCGACAAAAUAAUUAACAUUUGUAUUAAGAGUAAGUUAUUAUAAAUUUUUAUCCAGCAAAAAUUUAAUCCAUUAAGUUUCGAAAAAUUUAAAUUUAAAAAAUUUCUAAAUCAAAAAUAAUUAUCAUUAUCCUUUAUCAUUUAUCAUUAUCAUCUAACUAGUAAAUUGCUUCCAAGAGUAUUAGAGAUUGCUAUCAUUUGAUCUCUAAAACAGUAAAACUUAAGCAAAACGCAAGUACAUUUCUAUUUCAUCGAGAGCAAUGGCUAAGUGCUAUUAUUACGAUACAACAUAAAUUAAUAUUCCAAAAAAAAUUCCAUCUUUAUAAUUAAACAAUUGUCACCAAACAAUAUAAACUGAAAUCCAUCCGGCUAAACACAUAAUGAUUAAAAAAAUAUGAAAACAAGCAUAUGGGGAAUUCACAAAAUUAAUCAAAGAAUGCACAAAACACAAAAAGUUAUCAUUUUCUUUAACCACUGACUAUAACAAUAGCAAAAAUCUCCUCACGUUUGGGUUCUUCCUUGACAGCAGACUCAACAGCCUCAAUAGUGAGUUCGGCUUCGGCUUUGAUAGCAGUUUCAAGUUCUGCUUCCGAAUCUUAAACGGGUAGCGCUUCUGUUUGGGAGAAUUUAUGUAUGAAUGAAAAUGCGGGCCUUUUGUAGAGUUUUGGUGAAGGAAAAUAGUAGAGCUUCAAUUUUGAAAGAAAAAGCAGAGGAUGAGGAUUAUAUUUGGUGAUAGAGGAGCCCGUAACUUAGAAGAGCAUGCACUUUUUUUGGAUACCAGAAGGAAAUAGGAUCGAAGGAUGGAUGUGCUUUCGUAGGAUUUCAAUAUCAAAAACUCAAAUUAAACAAUUAAUGGAUCGGUUUUUCCAAAUUUUAAAAUAAUAAAUUACCAGCUUUGAUUAUGGAGUUCUUUGGGUCAUACAGUGAUCAAACAAAUUUGAACGCGGUUAGUCAAAUUUUAAUAACUAAUUGGUACGUGGCGUUGUUAAACCAGAUCGAUGCUACACAAAGUGAAGCCUUUGGACCCAGAUCUGACUUAGAACAGAUCAAUAGUCCGCACGUUCGGGUUUCCAGCCGAUAUACCAACUUAGUUUUAUUUUACCAAGUAAAAUUAAAUUACUUUAAACGUGGUUGAUUCGUUUUAUUGGGCUUUUAUCAGAUUUAGAUUAGGUUCUUUUAAAGGUUUGGGUACAUACACAGUACCAGAUCCGGAUCCCGGAAAUAGUGCUCUGAAGGAAUGGAGGGAGAAGAGAAGAUUUACAACUGAGGAUCGAGAUCUGGUCUCUUUGCCUCAGAGGAACGUACAGUUUAUAUGGCAGAUCUGAUAGAGAUCAGUCUGCAAGCAUGCUUUGUAAAAUAAAAUGCUUUGAAAUUAAAUUGCAGAAAUUUAAAUUACAGGUAAAGAACUAGUCUGAUCACCCAAUUCUUUUUAUUAUUUUUUUAAUUUUUUAAUUGUUGAAACCAAGAGAGAGAGAGAAGCAAAACGACAGCAUGUGCAGCAGUUUCUCUUAAGUUUCUCAACACUUAGCAAGGCUCUAAGAGAAAUUAAUUAUUUUAUUUUAUUUCUUUUCAUUUCUAUUUCUUGAAAAGAAAGCAAAGCUUCAAGACCGCAUAUCUAUCUCACUUAUGUCUAACUUAUUUUUAGUUAAAGUUUGAUUAUAUGCUUUCGGAUUGUUCUAGCUUACAUCGAAGUUAUAUUGGAGUUGCAUAUGCUCCUUUGAUUAUAUUAACAAUGGACCAUGUUUUUUUUAGCUAAAGGCUCCUAGUGCUUAGGGACAUGUACAUGAUUUUUUUUUUUCUGCUGAGGCACAUUCAAAAUAUAUUAAAAUUUCACAUAACAAUAUAUAGGACCACGACUAUAAUAUUCAUUAAUAACAUUUACACUCACCAAUGAGUUUUCAUGUUUUGAAAAUGAUGUAUGGUAACUUUAUCGUUAGUUCAUGGUUUAGCUAGCAUUCUCUUGGUGGUGAUUAACGCAAUAAUAAAAGUAAUGAAUCAGUGUCAAUAAGAAUAAGUGACAGAUCUAGAGUUUGCUUUAAUUACUUGUUGGUUUAUCUAAGAUGAUAAGAAUAUCGAAAUCUAGAGUGUACCUAUGUUAUAUAUUUUCUUUUAAACACAAAGAGAAAAGACAAAGAAAGAUGGUAAUAUAUUUUGUAAAAUCAAAAUAGUUAUUUUAAUUUUAAAAAGCUGAACUUUUAGACAUAGGACAAAUUGGAUCUUUUCAAAAUCAACUAGAAUAUUUUCAUAGUUUCGAAACUAAAAUAGAACAUUUUUAUAAAUUUUAGUGAAAUAAAUGUCAUUUCCAAAAUCAUUCUUUGAAAUUUUCUAAAAAGUUAAAAAUCAUUGAAGCUUGUGCCUCUCAGCUAGGGUUGAACAUCAGAUCGGUUCGAAUGGGUAUUAGUAUAAACUAAAAUUUUGGUCCUAUUGAUUUUGAAUAACCAAAAAGACUGAACCAAAAAAUGUACCGAACCAAUACUGAGCUGAAAACAUCAGAUUCGGUUUCAGUUUUUUGAAUAUGGAACUUAUUAAAAAAAAUUAAGAACUUUGCUGCUUACUCUUUGCAGAUUUCAUCAUAUUAUUUCCAUGAUCUUUGUACUAAAGAUAUUUUUAAAUUAAUAAUUCAAAAUAAAAUCUAAACAUAAUAAACAUUAAAAAGAGAAAAUAUAAAGAAAUCUUUUUUCUUUCACUACUACAACAAUACAAACCGAAAAAAAAAAAAAGCAAAGGAAAACAAGUAAAAUCAAAUUUGCAAAAGUUGAAAGGUGGAUGAUGAAUUCAUAAAGCAACAACAAACGAGAUGUGCACCUGCAGACACGACAGUGGAGGUGCGGGCUAGAGGCGUUCGACGAUAAGGAAAUAUUAUUGGUGGGUUAAACUUUUGAGAUAGAGAUUUGUGAGAGGUGGGUUUGAUUUUGGGGACUAGGGUUUGAAUUAGAGAAGGAGUUUUAUGAGGAUUUUGAUUUUGUAUGCUAGGAUUGGCGAUUUCAUUUAUUAAGGGUGUUCAGAAUUCAAUCGGACCCGUAAAAAUUCAAUCCAUGUAUUGGUGGAUUAGAUUGGAUUGAAAAUUUGAAAAUCCGCAAUCGGUGAAUUAGAUAUGGAUUUACUUCUGUAAAUCCGCAAAAAUCCGCAAAUCCACAAAAAAUAUUUGUAAACAUGGCAUUAUACUUAUUAAUAAAUAAAUAAGUUAAAAUAUAGUUAUGUUAACACCAUAUUAUAUCUUAUCCGAUAUAACAUAAAAUAAAAUUAAUUAAAUAAAAAAUAUAGUUUUUUAAGUAGUUAUUUUCUAUAAAUUGAUAUAAACAAAUAAGUUCUUUUGUGUAUUAUAUUUUAAAAUUUUGAAUGUAUUUUUUUAACUUUAUUUAAACAAUUAAUUUAUUUAAAUCUUAUUUAAUUUUAAAUUUGAUCGGUAAUAAAAUUAUUUUGAUGUUAAUUUUUUUAUUUAGUUAGUUCGUAAAUAGGACAUAAUUAAAAAAAAUUUAGUCUGCAAACCAAUUCGCAAAAUGAUGGAUUGGAUAUGAAUUGGGUCAAAUCCGCAUCCGAUCCGCAGACGUAUGGAUUGAAUUUGAAUUGAAUUUCACUAAUCUGUGAAUUGAAUUGGAUUAAAAAUUUAUAAUUUACAAAAUCGUGGAUCGGAUAUGCAUUGAUAUCCAAUCUAUAAAUUAUGAUCCGCGAACACCCCUAUCUAGGGAUGGCAAUAGAUUGGAUCUGACCCAAGAUCCACGUGAUCCAAAUCCAAUCGGAUUGGAUUUGGGUCGGUUUUAAAUGAAUUUGGAUCGGAUUUGGAUAUUGAUGUGCGGAUCUAAGACGGAUAUGGAGCAGGUCUGGAUCUAUCUUAAUAUCUAAAUCCAUAUCCAUAUCCACCCAUCUUUUAAUUUAAUUUUAUUUUAAAAGUUUCUUAACAAUUGUGCAAUUAUACUAAUAUUAAUUUUAUUCAUAGCAUAUUAGUGGUAUUUACCAUGCAUUUAAACUCUUAAAACUUAAAGGUUAGUUUUGUAAAUUUAAAGGUCAGCCAGCCCUAAAGCAUGUGCAUGCAAUAUUCAAAUUGCAAGCUAAGUAAUACAACCUGUCAAUUUAUUUUAUUAUAUUGGCCAAAUAAUUUUUAAGGAAUAUAGUUAUUCAUAUAUUUAGUCAAAUAUAGUCAUAAUAAAAAUAAUAAAUGAUUGAAUAUAAAUCAUAUUUAAUUUAUAUGUCAUUAUCUAAUGUUAUAAGAAUGAGGGUGGGUGUGUCAUGGAUAUUAGAAUGAUGAAUGAGACAAUAGAAUAUUAGAUUGAUCUUACUCCUGCAAUUACUUUUAAAGGAUAUUUUAUUAUCUUAUUUGUUGUUUUGGUGUAAAAGUAUAAGCUACAAUAUUUAUUAUAUUUUUGAGAAAAAUUAUAUAAUUUAUUUGUUAUCAAUACAUUUUAGCCUUCAAUUUUCAUUCUGAAAAUUAUUACUUUUUAAUUGAUAAGUUUUAGAAUUCAUGACAAAUUUAGAGCAGAUUUUAAUUUUUUUUUUUUCGGAUUUGAAGCAGAUAUAGAUAUUUAUUUCUUUUUUGGAUAUGGAUAUGGAGCGAAAAAUAUAAAUUCAUGACGGAUCUGGAGCAGAUACAGAUCUUGAUUUUUAUUAUAGAUCUGAAUCUGGAGCAGAGUAAAUCUAACUCAUAUCUGCCCCAUUGACAUCCCUACCCCUAUCAUUUAUGAGUGAGAGGAUUAGAUUUGGAGGUUACGAUUUGGGUGAGAAAAUGAGAAAUGAAGGGUUGGUCCUGCAUUUAGGGCUAGUCAGUUAAUAACAAAUACACACACACACAUUAAUGUUACGGUGGGUAUAUAUCUAUAAUAUUAAUAUAUUCUCACCCGUCAAGUAAUGCCACGCGACAUUUGUUUAAUUUAAAAUGAAUUUAUUCGAUUUUUCGAUUCACUUUUCACAUUUAAAAUUUAGAACCGAAAACCGAGCCAGAAUAUUUAGUUUUACACCUGACUAACUAUUUGGUUUUCUUCAAAAAAAUAAAUAAAUAAAUAAAACCGAAUCGAAGUCCAAAAAACCGAACUGAACUGGUUAUUUUUCAGCUCCGGUUUGGUUUCUACCGACCCCUACUCUCAGCUAUUCUUAUAGUGACUGCCGCCCUUAGUGCUUGCUUGCUUGGUCUAUGGUCUGUUAGUGGUGCUGGUCUAUAGUCCAUGAUCUCUGGUUACCUAGCUAGACCACGGACCAACCCGUUUUCUUUUUGACCCUUUCAUCGCAGCUCAUUCUCCUAUAAGAUGAGCUGUUGCUGCUGUUGGGCUAGUUAUGUAAUGAUCGACGAUAAUGUUCACUUGUUCAAAAUAUUUGUGGCUGCAAAGCAUGUAUGGUUGUACAAUUAGCUCAUUGCGCUUAGAUUAAUGGUGAAAUUCACCCUAUUUUUUUCCCCCACGAAAAACUCAUUUUGAUGAAUAAUGUCACUAUUGUAGUUAAUGAAGAAUUACGGGAAGUUUUUCACAACAUGAACAAGUUGGGUGUCGCAUUUAUCAUUUAUCUACUAUAGAUUAGUAAUUGAAUUUAAUAUCAAACAGCAAAAAGAAAUACUAUAUAUAAAUUAGUAGAAACAGUUAAAGUCGGAUUUGUAGUUAUAUUAUACCUAGAGUAUUGAUAUUUGAUCAAAAGUAUCUGAUACAAUGGCGAUAAAAUAUCUGUAAAAGUAUAUAGUACUUAUUAUAGUGUUAAGUCAAAAUUAACACUAUUUUGCAAUUAACACUAUAAUAAUGUUACUAUUGUAGAAACAAUUAACAAUAUCUAGUAGUGUCAAUUACUAGAUAUUUACUAUUAUGAAAAAGACAUCUGAGGAUUUUCAUUCUUUAUGGUUUAUAAAUUAUUUUGUUACUUGAUUCUCCAUGCUUUUCUAGUUAGAUUAAUUUGUGUUGUCGGGAUUAUUAAUUAUUAUCACUUUCAUUAGCUACAGUUGUAUAUGGUGAACCUCCUAACAAAUUCAUAUCAAUUUAUUUUGGAUGCAUUAUCCCAUCUGUCAACCAUAUUCAACAGUAGCCAAAUUUAAUUGUGUUAUUAUUAAAUCCACGUGGCCACAUUAACUGCGCAUGGAGUAUUAAAUCUUCAAAUUAACUGUGCAUGGAGUAUUAAAUCUUCAUUCAAAGUUCCCAGUUUAAUUGCAUCGGGGCUACAUGCAAUAGAGGUGCCGGUGCUGCAAGGGUUAAUUAUAUAUCUAGCUGAUUGAAGGACCACUUAAUUAAGUUUGAUUUAUCGCCGUUCAAUGACGAGUCAAAACUUAUCGGCCUCUCUCCUUUUCCCCAUGCAACGCACGUACCGUACGCAUGCUUGAAGUUGAUCGAUGUUAAUUACAUGCACCUUAUGCAUGCAAAAGAAUUUGCUCUACUAACUGUUAAUCUUAAAUGUGAUGAGUGUGUUGUCUGCAAGUAACAGUUAAUUAUUAAGAAGAGAGAGAGUAAAAAGAAGAUCGGAAUCACGGUGAGGUUAUGAAUGCAAGUGAAGCAAUCACGUAAAUGGACAUGCACUCGAGCUGGAUGGCUGCUACAAGGCUAAGCAUCGAGAAAGCAGUUAAAAAAACAUAAUGUCCCAACAACCAACUACGUUUUAUGCCUUCUAUUUUUUUUUUUUUUUUUUUGUAGUAAUUAAUUAAUGAAUAUUUUGGGACACAGCGGGUACAAGCUCUUCUAUAAAUACGCAUGAGAGAAUAACAUGGCACUCACAAGCAGUAGUAGUGUUUGCUUUAAUUGUAUAGUGCGAGUAAUUAAUGGGAUAUAAUAUGGCGGGAAAGUCUGUUUGGGUGGUUUUGAUGGUUGCUUUAGUUGUGAGCUGUGAGUGCGUGCAGGGUAGGAAAUUAGAAGAGAAUAAGGAAGCGCAGGUGAAGAAACCAGAACUUUUCUUUGAUGGUAACCCUGGCGGCUUUGGAGGACUUGGAGGUCUUGCCGGUGGCUUUGGUGGAGGAAAGGAGGGACUGGGUUUUGGGCAUUCUUUUAGUUUUGGAAAGGGAGUAGGUUUCAGCUUUGGUACUGGAAACCCUGGCAUUGCUGGAAAGCCUGAUUGUGUUGGAAAGGGUGGCGGCGGCGGUGUUGGAGGAGGUGGUGGUGGUGGCAUUGGAGGUGGUGCUGGUGGAGGUGGAGGGAUAGGAGGUGGAGGUGGAAUUGGUGGUGGCGGUGGCACCGGUGAGCACCACAAGAAAAAGGAUAAGAAGAACCAUCAUGGUGGAGGCGGUGGCAUUGGAGGAGGCGGAGGUGCUGGUGGAGGCAUUGGCAAAGGAAUUGGGGGUGGUGGCGGUGCAGGAGCUGGUGGAGGGGGAGGAGGAAUUGGUGGUGGAAGUGGUGCUGGAGGAGGAAUAGGUGGUGGAGGUGGUGGAGGUGCUGGAGGUGCUGGAAAAGGAGUGGGAGGCGGUAUUGGUGGAGGAGGUGGUGCUGGGGGAGGCUUUGGCAAAGGGAUUGGUGGUGGUGGAGGUGCCGGAGGAGGAGUUGGGGGCGGUGCUGGUGGUGGAUUUGGUGGAGCUGGUGGGGGUGGUAGUGAUGGUGGCUUUGGUGGUGGUAUUGGCAAAGGAGGUGGUGGUGGAAUAGGUGGAGGUGGUGGUGGUGGCGCUGGAGGAGGUUUUGGCAAGGGGGCUGGAGGAGGCUUUGGAGCUGGUGGAGGGGCAGGCGGAGGAGGGGGAUACGGAGGUGGUGGAGGUGUUGGUGGUGGUAGUGGGUUUGGUGGAGGAACUGGAUUUGGUGGUGGUGGCGGCGGCGGCCCAAUUGGUGGCCGUUCAUUGAACAUUAAUAAUUUGAAGAAACCAUGAAGGAAUUCUUCAUUAUUAUCUCCUUGCUCUGUUGCCCUUUUUAAUGGUUUAUCUCAUCCUAAUUGUUUGUUGAAAAUAAAGGCUCAUCAGUCAUCUCAUUCUAAUUGUUUGUAAGUAAUUGUACGUAAUGAUGUUUGAGCAUUUCAAAAUACCUUUGUGUAUAGUGAUCUUUUUCCCCUUUUUUUCUUUUUAAUUUGGCAAAAUUAAUGUAACAGAGUUGCAUGGGAGAAAAUUGAAUCCUUCACUAUUCAACCCUCAAAACUUCCAAGUCAUGACUUGGAUAUAAACUAUCUCAAUCAUUAUAAAUAAUAAUUAUUAAUAACAUUAAACAAAUUAAAAAAUUGAAAGAUAAUUUUAAAAUUUUUAAUUUUUAAUAUAAGAAAAUUUUAAAAUUUUCACUACUUAAUGUAAAAUUUAAAUUCCAUAUUAUUAACAGAUAUUUAAUUUUAAUAAAAAUUAAAUUUUAUAUAUUUUAUUCAAUAAAUAAUAAAAAUAACAUUUAAAUUAAUUUCCUUCCCUUCUUUCUCUCCUCCCAACCAAAGAUCAGCUCUAAAGUUAUAGAUGAUGCUACAUUCAGGUUCUUAACAGUUACAAACUGCCAAAAACUUAUCGAAGUGCUGCUUGAGGCCCCCUGCUUCCACGAAGAUGAUAGAUCAUCAGCUGCUUCCCCUAAUGUCAAAUAAAGCCCAUCUGAUCUGAACGAAUCAAAAGUUUUUGGAGCUUCUCCAUUACUGUUCAAUCUAAAUUUACCACUGCCAGUACAAGCUACAAGAAAACUGCAAGAUUCUUAGCCAAUUACUGAAACACCUGAACUCAUGCACUCAUCAAUCAACUUAGCACAAAUAACUACAUCUAAUUGCUACCCUCAGUUACAACCAUAUAGUCCUAAUAAAUCUCUAAUUGUAAAUAUAUUAGUUGACUUUUGAUUUUCGGUAUUUUUAAAAAAAAAAAUCACACUUUUAACUUAACAAACAUGAAUGAGAAGAACCAAUUUCAAGAAAAACAAGCUAAAUAAUAGCCCACUUUAUUUCCAAAAAAAUAUCGAUCACAUUAACUCUUAAAAAAUUUCAGUCACAUUUAACUCUUAAUAAAUUUAUAAUCCAAGAUCAAAAAUUGAUUCUUCACUUAAAAUCCUUUAAAUGCAUCAAUAAAGAACUAAAUUUCGAAAAUAUAAACUCUCGAUUCACUUUAAUCUUUCGUGUUUCAACUUUGAAAAUACAAACUACACUAGUUCAUUUGUAAUCAACUUUUCAUGUCAACCAAGAAAAUCUCAUGAAUCUCUAAAAUAUUUAAUUCAACAAGAAAAUAAUCAAAGUCAAGAACACACAAUUGAACUUAAUCACCCAUGAAAAAAAAAAUUAACACAAUCUCAAAUUUUAAUCACUUAACUCAAUUUCAUCGUGAAUAACUCGAUUUCAUCGUGAAUUUUGAAGAGAAAAUACUCACAUCUUGGGAGUGAAAAAUAAAGAUCAACUAGUUAAUCUCAAAUCUUGAACCUAUUAUUAUAGCAGUUGCAGAUUUAACGAUUUUUACCACUCUGGUUAUCAGCAUAGCAGGGGGUGUCUUAUAUAUCAAUGAUGCUAUCAAAUCCAAUAAAAUAUUGUCAAUAGAACACAAACCGAAUCACCAAUGCAGAUAGACAGCAUGCCGAAGUACCGCAUUUCCGAAAUCUUGCAUGUAGUAGAAGUGCUUUGGUAAAUAAGAUCAAAACGGCAUUCCAAAACGUUGAAUCUUCUUGCCUCAUAUACUUCCUUUGCCUGACCAAAACAAACAACUACAUGCUUUGCAAGCAAAUACGGUCAAUAAAAUUGUACAGAAAGUUCUAAAAUUGACAAUUGAAGAUAUGUCGAUCUUCUCUCAUUCGUGGUUAGAAUGGCGGAGUUAAAUGUUAGAAGCAAACAACAGAAAUCUAAGCUUAUUACUUAAAUUUGAAAACAAAAUUAUUGUAUCUUAAUAAGGAUGGAUACUUUUGCAAAAUAGUCUUCUUAAGACAGUUACCGAAAACAGCAAGCAGAAAGUUCGUUUUUAAUGAGAAUUCUGAACUAAAUCUAUCCGAUCUGCAAUUAUCCCAAACGCCCAAAUCCACCAUUUCUUGUCAGAUUCACAUUUAGCACGAGUUUGAGGCCCUUACCCUUAAACUCUAGGGUCAUCAAGUGGUUCAAUAAACUAUUCUGAUCUCUGGAUAGAGCCCAUCAACUUAACAAUUUUAGCGAAGCAAAAACCACCAAUGUCAGCGAUGUAAAUUGAUAAAACCAGGCAAUUAGUGCCAGGUUGAUCGAACACAAAACAACAUCCCAAAGCCAAGACCAUAGAUAAUAAGCAUAUCAUCGAUUAAAUUUCUUCUCAUAAAAAAUAAAAGACAAUGCAUUUCAAAAUCUAUAAACAUGCUCUCAAUGUCAAUUUCAAAUGAUUAAACUACUUGCAUUACCAUCAAAUAUCCACGCAUAACAUCAAUUUAUCAGUCCAGACCGGAUACAAAUUUAAAGUACAUAAAGUUCAACCUCCAAUAGAAACACAUCAACAAACUGUUGAAAGAAGAAUCGAACCUGACACACUCACAAGCGAACGUACCAAAAUGCAAAAUCUAACAAAGAUAACGUUGGUUAACGCUGAGAUCAUGCAUCAUGCACGCCUUUUACUCAACCGCCAAGAAUUCGGUUCAUGAUAUCUAUCAUAUAGCGGUUCAAUGCGUUCUUGACGCUUGCGCUUGCUUAUUUUCGUGGGAUCUGCCACCUUGAAGAAUUUUGGUGCCAAGUCUGCAAGCCACCUUGGAUCUAUAGCUAUUACCUCGCGCAUGUAUUCCUUUGUUGUCAUUACCAACUCGUUGUAAAUGACCCAAUCAGGCUGUCUUUGAAAAAGAGCACUGCUAGGGUGGAUAUAAACCGGCUGGUUCUCGACAAGAGUCUGAUAGCCCUCCUGUGGGUCCUUUCUAGCUGCAUUAAAAAAGAAUCCAGAAGUAAUGGCCUUCCUUAUCUUCAGGAAAUCUUUUCCAGCACUGACAACGCCCAACUUAUAUUUAUCCAUGAUGGCCAGAAGUUGCUUUCUCACAUCCUGUGCCUUCUUCAAAGAUCGAGAGUUAACAAAGUUCUCACCACACCAAGGCAAAGAAAAGUUCUUGGCUUUCCAAGCCUCAUACACUGCAAGCAAGGUCAAAUGAUCUCCCUCGGGCUGGAAAAACCUGGCUCUUUUUUCAUCUGCUUUAGCCUGUCUUUCCCUGGGUCUGGUGAAGAUAUGGCCAGUUUGAAUCAUGGCGAUGAUCGUUAAUAUCUCAUCACUGCAACCAAGGUCUACACUUGCUAGCAGCAUCUUUGAUAAUGGCGGAUCUAGGGGAAAUUCUGCCAUUUUCUUACCUAAUUUAGUCAGAAGUCCCUCCUCAUCCAGAGCUCCAAGACUGUAUAAUUGCUCCAUGGCAGAAAUAAGAGCUUGGGGAGAUGGAGGAUCCACAAAAUCAAAAGACAGCAGAUUAUUGAUUCCCAUAGCCUUCAUAGUGAGGGUAGUAUGUACAAGAUUAAUCCUUUGGAUUUCUGGAAUUGUAGUAGGGGACAUCUCACUGCGAUAUGCACUCUCUGUGUACAAGCGGUAACAUUUUCCAGGCCCAGUACGGCCAGCACGCCCAGCUCGUUGCAGGGCUGAUGCUUGUGAAAUUGGAGUUAUGACCAGUGAAUCAAGCCUUUGCUUCGGAUUAUAGACAUUUUGCUUUGCAAAGCCGGGAUCAAUAACAUAAAAUAUCCCAUCAAUAGUCAAAGAAGCCUCAGCAAUGUUAGUGGCCACAACCACUUUCCUCCCCCCUGGAGGGGCAGGUUCAAAUAUUCUUGAUUGAAUUUCACUUGGCAGCGCACUGUAAACUGGUAAAACAACCAGUUCAGGAACAUCUUUACCCAGGGCUUUAAUCUUCUCGCAAAGCGACUCACAUGCAAAAUCUAUCUCCUCUUGACCCGUCAAGAAAAGAAGAAUAUCACCUUCAGGUUCAUCGACGUGGAUCUGCAAGACUGUGAUCAAUGCUGAAUCUAGAUAAUCAGUUACCACCUGUCUGGAGUAGUUUAUAUCAACUGGAAAUGUUCUCCCUGGAAUACUGAAGAUGUUGCAGUUGAAGAAAUAUCCCGAAAAUCUCUCUGCAUCCAACGUGGCAGAUGUGACAAUCAGGCGUAGGUCAGGUCUCCGUUUCACAAGCUGCUUAAGUAACCCAAAAAGAACAUCAGUGUUGAUUGUCCUCUCAUGAGCUUCAUCGAGCAUAAUGACAGAAUACUGAGAAAGAUUCUCAUCAAUCAAAAUCUCCCUAAGCAACAUCCCAUCAGUCAUGUACUUGAUCACAGUAUCUGGUCCAGUACAAUCCUCAAAUCGAAUGGCAUAACCAACCUCCUCUCCCAAACGACAGCCAAACUCUUCAGCAACCCUCUUGGCCACAGAAGUUGCAGCCACCCUACGGGGCUGGGUACAUCCAAUCUUGCCCUUCGUAGUGUAACCAGCCUCUGCAAGAUACUGUGCCAAUUGGGUUGUCUUACCUGAACCAGUCUCACCAAUGAGUAUUAGGACCUGGUUAUCAUGAACAGCCUGGAUUAGUUCAUUCUUCAAUUUGAAAAUUGGCAAGCUCCGCCUCUGUUCCUGGAUGGAGAGCUUUGACCUUUGUCCAAAAGUGAAUGCUUUCCCGUAUGCAUUCUUCUUCCAUUCAGGCAUGUCACGAGCAGAUAAACCAACACCCCUGAGCUCCUGUGCUAGAUGCCUCUCACCAGUCUCUGGCAUUGGGUCCUCCCAAGGACGAUUUAGAUCCUUUGGUAUGGAAUCAAUCAUUGUCCUCAGCUGUUGUUCCCUCACUUCUCUCCUUUCCUUUGUAAGAGCUGAUUGGAGUGCAGCAGUACGACUCAAUGACCCCUCAGGAUUUUUGAAGACCUUCACUGGUGACAAAUCCACAGAAACCCUGGUCUGCCCCUGUAGAAAAGCAGGCUGAUCCUCACUCAGUUCAAUCUCAAGUUCUUCCUCAUCACCCUCUGCCCAAGAAGCAAACCCCUCCUCUUCUUCCUCAUCAUACCUAGGGUACUCAUUGGAAGCCAAAACCCCUGAAACUCCUCCCAUCCUACUCACCGGCAUAUCCUUCAACAUCGGCGGAUUACUCUUACAAUAUCUCCCACUUCUUUCUCUAUCAUUCUCAAACUCAGCCUUAUAAUUUGUUUUCCGAUCACGACCACUCUUUUUCUUUGAUUGCAAUUUGGGUUUGGGAUGAAGAAUGGUAUGAAUGACAUUAAACAGCGUGCGGACAAGAUAAUUAGGCAAAUCAGCACCGUAUUCUUUCAAUUUAUCAUCAAAUAUCUCUACGGUUUCAGAAUUACGGCCUGACUCGGAGAUAAACUCGGCUAAUACUUUGUCAAUAAAACCCAGAUGAGUUUCUAACUCGGAACAAAUUUUAGAUAGCAGGGAAAGAUACGUUAGUUCUCUAAUGCCGUUGUCUAAGGCCAUCGAUGGUUAAACUAGUGCACGGAAAAGAAAGAAAUUUAAAACAAAUAAAAUAAACGAAAAAUUUCUCGGAGGAAGGGUUUUGGCGUACCUAAAUUCGUGAUCGCAAAGAUAAUAAGAAUGAAAAUUUGUGAAUGCCCAACUGCUGCUGACGUUUAUAUAGCUCUCGGGUGGCUUGCGGUGCACGCUUGGCGGGCCCGCGGAAAUAACUUCAGAGUCCACGAGACUUGACUUUGUGCCCAAGCCGUGUUGACUGAAAUGUUUGAAUCAAAUAAUCCCGGAGAAAAAAAAUGUGGGAAAAAAAAAGCGAAAAGGGCUAACUUCCCACAACACCCAGAGGUUUCUUAAAUGACACCGAGCCCAAUGUUUUUCUUUUUACUAAAGUGCUCGUGGCGGUGGCAUCUGAAUAUAUCAUAGGAUUGAAUGGAUUGUAAUUUCAAUUUUUUCAAUAAAAAGUACCAAGUUAUUGCCGAUUAUAUUUACUAAGUAGCUUAAUUUCAUUACACUUUAAAGCUGGCUAAAGAAAUGUUAUUUAACAUAAAAUCAACUAUUUUCUUUAGUGUUGCAGUCGCAUUAGAUGAUGCUACAGCUAUGCAAUCAUUGCAAUGUUUACUGAUAAUUUGAUAUUUUGCGUCAACACUGUUGUUGAAUAUAUAUAUAUAUAUAUAUAUUCUCAGACGCUCACGUUUUUUUAAAUACGGAUAUAUUUUUAAACCGCACUUUUAAACCGUGCGGUUUAAAAGAAUUUAUUUUUAAAUUAAUUAUAAAACCAUGGGUUUAAAAAGUUAAAAAUUAACUCUUUUAAAUCCUAAAAUUUUAAAGUGUAUCCAUAUAAAAAUAAAAUAAGGACAUCUACACUAGAGAAGAACUAAAUAUAUAUGUGUGUGUGUAUAUUAUAUACAUAUAUAUACAAUCAAUUGCGAAGUAGGGGUGUUUUAUUUGCUCUUUCAAAAUGGCCAUUUUAUGCUUUUUAUGAUGUAAAUUAACGUGCUUGUUGAUGGAAUUAGCGUGCGGUGAUCCAUCCAAAAAAGACUUGGAUGCACGGUGCCAUUUGUCGAAACAUUUGGGUGCUGCCAAAAAUUAACCCAAGUAAUAAUUAAUUAAUUAAUGCUCAGUCUCAAAGCCUGAAAAAUAUAACAAAACAUUAAAUAAGCUGAAAAUUGAAAACAUCAAAAUCAAGCAAUGUUCAUAAUGGGUAAAACAGAGGAGCUAUUCAAAUUGAAGCCUCAAAAUUUAACCCUCAAAACUUCCAAAUCAUCACUUGAAAAUCAUCAAAACAUUGGUCGAAGAACUUGCAAAAUUACAAGUAAUAAGAAGAAAAAGAAAAAGAAAAUUCUAAUUUUUUGCUAAUGGAGAUAUAUUCUCGUAAACUCUUAUCAUCAAGCUAUGGUGAUGAAAUACACAAUGUAUAGGAUGCUAGAAUAUCUGUACUUACAAAUGCUACAUUCUGGCUACUUGCAAACUACCAAAACCUUUCUAAGCUUAUCUAAGGCCAGUGCUUCCAUGAAGAUGAUAGAUCAUCAACUGCUUCCCCAACAGUCAAAUAAAGUCCUUUUGAUCUGAAUGAAUCAAGAGUUUUUGACUGGUGAAGCUUCUCCAUUACUGUUCCAACUAAAUUUACCAGCGCGAGCUACAAGAAAUUGAAUGACCAUAAAAAAAACAACAAAAAGUGAAGAUGUUUCCCAGGGAAACAGCAGAUGUCUUGACAGUAGUAAGUUUGUUUCCUCACCUGAAGCGAUCUUUUGUCCAUAUUCUUUUUAAGUUCCGAUAUGGCAUCUAUACCGCUGGUAUCAAUUGCAGUCACAGCUGCAGUUUGUUAAAGAAGCCAAGUUAGCUUUUGUUCAUUACUUGACACUUGAGAUUGGAUGUGGAUAAAUAUUUGCAUAUAUACCAGUCAUGUCCAGAAUUACACAUUUCAGGGCCCUCUCAUUGUUUUCUCGGAUCCUGUUUUCCUCACCCCGCACCCAUCUUGAAAUCCUGCAACCAAACAAAACGUAAGCAAUCCUCAGAGACGAGAUGGCUAUGACCUACUUGAAGAUCUGAUGGUUGAUAUAUAAACACAGUUCUUGACAAACUAAUUACAUACCUUUCUUGGAGAUAUAAUGAGUUUGCAAAAAAGAUUGGAGAUUCAAUGCUGAGAAUGAGGAAGGACGGAACCCUUGUUGCGUUCUCAUAAUGAUUGAGGCUUCGGAAUAUCUGAGUUCCCGGAAUAUUCCCCAAAACCACUGUGUUUGGCCUUGUCACGUGGAGAAUAAUCUUGAACACGGAAACUCCAACCUGACUUUUCAGAACAAAAGUGUCAGUUAUUUGAGUGAUGGAAUAGAUGGAAUCGAAACUUAUCUAAAAAACUUAUAAAUUGAAGAUUCAUCUGUAAUGUUUAAGAGAAGCAGUAUGGAGUACUUCUAAUGUGUAAGGAAUAGAAUGUUACUUUACUCACAGCUAUGGCGAGCCCUAUUUGCACAGAGAUAAAUAGAACACCAAAGAACGAGCAACAACAGGCAACAAAAUCAAGCUUAUCAAGCUUCCACAAUCGCAAUGCAGCCUUGUAGUCUACCAGCCCAACAACAGCUGUUAUGAUAAUUGCUGCUAAGACAAAGUCUGGUGUGUAAUGGAAGAGUGGCAUGAGAAAAAGCAGUGUUACAAGCACCGUUGCUGCCAUAACUAUAUUCGAAAAUAUAGUCUUUGCCCCAGCAUUGUAGUUCACAGCAGAUCGAGAGAAAGACCCUAAAAGUUGUUUAAGAAUAUAUGGUUAUAAACUUAUAAUGUUUAGCAUUUGUGGUACAAUUAUGAUGAACAUUUAAAAUGUAGUUGCCUGUGGUAACAUAGCAUGAGAAGCAACAUCCAACAAUAUUCAUAAAACCGAUUGCAAUCAUUUCUUUGUUUCCAUCCACUUGAUAAUUGUGCAGAGAAGCAAAUGUUCUUCCUACGGCAAUUCCUUCCUAUCAUAAAAUAAAGUAUGAUCAUUAGCCGCUUAGAAAAUAAAACCGAGCCCUUAUAAUGAUACAUGAAGUUUAAAUGGAAAAAUUCCAAAUGUUUGAUGCAUUACCGUGCACUAUUGUCAAAAAUGAUUUCAAUAUUAACGUGAGGCUGCUUACAGUGAGAGAUAAUAUGCCAGUUAUAAUGCCUGUUUUGAUUGCAAGUUGUAGAUGAGGGCCGUGGAAAUAUAGCUUGUUUUCUGAAGUUGGGUUCACACCCUUUGGCAAAUGACCAAUCUGUUGUUGCACAACAAUGAAUCAUGAAAUGAAACCAUAUCAAAUUAACCCCCCAGAAAAGAGUAAAUAUUUAAUCUUAAGCAAAAAUUCUCUGAGCAAUCAGUUGCUUAAGCAAAUCAAUUUUCAUAUGAAAGAACAAAGCAAAUGCUAGGAGGACUACAUAUUUCUUACUAUUGAAACGUGCUUAAGUUUGGAUUUUAGAAGAAAGAUCAAGAGACUUGAAAGAAUGACAGAUGUUAAUGGAGCCGCUGCUGAAACCCAGAAGAGCCUCGGUUUUCUCGUACUCUGUAUUUUUAAGUCCAGAAUCACAAAUGAUUUCUAAAGAUAAACGAAAUAAAAUGACAAACUUGAGUUUAUUGGUAAUAGAAAUAUACUCACUAUAAAUCUGGCUACCAGUAGAAAUAUUAGAAAACAGAAGCCCAUUACAAUAGUUUCCCAUUUCCACUGCAGAUAAAAAAUGCAAAACUUUAUCAUAGUAAACUUUCCUUCACUCACAAGCAUGCAUUUAAACAAUGAUGCAUGUGUAUUUAAUUAAUUUUGCUUGGUAUGCUUGAUAGGAUGCGUUUGUUCUGUUCCUCACCUCUUUUAUGCUAUUGAAAACAGACUCCAAAACAGGAAUUAAUUCCAUGUCGCUGGUGAAAUGAGUAAUCCCAAGUAAUCCUUUGAGUUGCUGUAAGGACACAAUGACUGCUGCUCCAGCCAUGAACCCAAUCAGAGUUGCCUUUGACAAAAAAUCUAUUAUGAAACCUAACCUACAAAAGGUCCAUCUCAAAAUCAGUUCUCUUCAUUCUUUAAAACUUUAAGAUAAAAAUAAUAAUAAGAGUUAAAAUUUGUGAUUUCACUAUCAAUCCAUGUUAGCUUUUUGAUAAAUAUUCACGAGUCUGUGGAAUCUCCAUUAGUUGUUAGGUAAACUUUGUAACUUUAUUUUCCAUCAUUCUAUUUUGACCAAUUUUCUAUACUUUGAAGCAAUUGCUUUGUUUUUAAAUUCUUAAGCCGCAAUAUAUGGUAAGGUGGUCUGUCAUUGUAAUUAGGUCUACCUGAAGCUAAACCCUUCAAAUUUAAGGGGAGAAAAAAGAACAAAUAUUAAUCUUUAAACUUUAAACUUGAAUGUCAUGUAAUAAUAGGUGGUUCAGGUCCAUACCUAAAAAUCCCUAACGAAGCUUGAAAUAAACCGGCAAAAAGAGUGGAAGUGAAAGCCAGUUCGAGAUAGAGAUCUUUUUUAUUUGAAUGAGAAACUUCUCCAUCCAGCAUUGUACCCAUUACCAAGGAUGCUACUGAGACCGGGCCAAUGCCUAUGUGUCUUGAACUUCCAAGAACAGAAUAUACUAUUGGUGGCACAAAGCUUGAAUCUGUAAAAUAUAUAAAUAUAUAAUUCUUUCAUUUAAAAAAAAAUGGUAAAACAUUUAUUCUUACAUAAUCCAAUUAUAGGCUGCAAGUUUGCAAGUUUAGCAUAACUGAUCCCCUGCAAAUGCCAAAAUUAAAAAAAAAAAUUGUAUAAAGAGAAAGAAGAAACACGAAUAAAUAAUGAAAAAUAAAAGAAAAAGAAAUGCAUGCAUGCUUUGGACCUGAGGGAUGGCCAGGCUUGCAAUGGUGAGACCAGCAAUAAGAUCGGAUCUAAAGAGUGAAAGACUGUAAUGGGGUGCCCAUCGAAGUAUAGGAAACACAUAUUGAAAAGCGAGAACAAGCUUUCUUCUCCAACUCUGAUCCUUGAAAAUGUGCAAGGGAUCAUCUGGAAAGAAAAUCUCGCGUAGCCUGUGAUUUAGUUUUUGCCAGGUGGUGACAUGCGGUGGCAGGCAAACAGGGUGAAGCUCCGACGAAGACUUGCUGGUGCUGGUCGCGGUCGUGGUCGUGUUAUUGUUGUCUUCUAAAGAGAUUGAGAUAAAAUCGGAUGAAUUGGUGUACGAAGAAUAAUCUUCUUCUUCUACUCGAUUGAGGCUUGUGCCCAUAAUUUAAUUUUGGCAGCGAAAACGGCAAAGGUUUUGUUGCAGCCACAUUAAAAAAAAUGGAACAAAAAAAUGAAAACGAAGUUUGCUUCAAUGGUUAUAGAAAAAGAAGAAGACAAGAGAGGACUUGGUUCAUUUCAAAUUAAGAGGGAUAAGAGAAAAAGGUGGUAGUUACAAACAGUUUUGUUUUGCCAGAGGGCAAUUUAACGGCUCAGGUCUUUCAGAGAAAUAUCUCCGCUCUCAUCGAAGCGAUUAUUAAUCACGCUCUUAACUACCGAUGGUAAUUUUUUUUUUUUUUUGGAAAGAAAAGUAUAAUUACCCAAAGUGUAUACAUUAAAAGCCUCAUAUAAGAAAUUACUCCCACAGUUAUCAUGGAGGUUCAAAUCCUCUACAUUAGAGUUAAGGGGAGGAUGUGUUAGAGAUAGCAAUGAUUCAUAUAAUCUAAUCCAAACGAAUCAAAUUUGGAUUAGUCUAAAAUAGAUUUAGAGUAGUGUAACUGGACAUAGAUGAAUAGAUCCAAGAUAGAUCUAAAGUAGGUUUGGAUCUAACUUAAAAUCUGAUCCAAAUCCAUAUCCAAUUAAAAGCCUUUUAUUUUUAUUUUAUUUUUAAAAAUAUUUAUAACCAUAUAGAAUUUAUUACUUAAAGUCUUUUACAAUCAAAUUAAGCUUACCUUAACUUACUAAAAUCAAAGCCACACAAAUAAGUUGCAAUAUUUAUUAGAGUUUUCUUAAUUUUAUUUUGGGAAGAAUUGAAUGUUUUAUUUGAUACCAAUAUAUUUUAAUCUUCUUUGUUAGAAAAAUUUGUUAUUAUUUGAUUUUCGUUGUUAGUUUUGUAGUUUAACAAAGUUGAUUUUAUUUAAACUUCUAUUAUAAUAGAUUAAAAAAUUAACUUUACUUGUUAAAUAUUUAAAAUUGAUGAAUUCACGACAAAUAUUGAAGCAAGUUUGGAUCUUAAUGUUUUUAUAGAUUUAGAGCAAGUUUAUAUUUUUAUCUUUUUCAAUCAGAUAUGAAUAUCGAGCAAAAGCCAUAGAUCCACGAUUGAUCUAGUGUAGAUACGAAUCUCCCUUUUUAUCAUGGAUUUGUACUUAAGAGUUUAGUAGAUCUAACUUAUAUCUAUCGCGUUGUCAUCCUUAGGAGGUGCCGACCAUCCCAUUCAAUGAGUUGUUGGUUUUUUUUUAUUAUUAUUUUCGAUGAGUUGUUGGCUUAUUCCUUGCACUUUGAUUAUAUUUGUAUUGUCCUAUUCAUCUCUCAUCAUGAAAUUUAAGGCUCUCAAUACGUGACAACAGUCAAUUUCUGAACGGAAUAUUAAAAAUCUUUAACACACUUAUUGUUGACCUCAGGGAUCUCACAAAUCUUGAUUUUAAUGAAAACAAACUAUAUGGUAAGGACAAUAUGGAAAAGAGAAAAAAAAACACUUUUGAAUUUUAUUAGUUCUUGAAGAUCAAAAGUCAUUUGUGUAAGAUCAAGUUCAAAGGACUCAAAUUACAUGUUCAUCAAGUCAGACUCACACUCAAAACACUAGCUAAGGUGAAUAUUCAUUUUCAUAAUUCUUAUAAAACUACUUUGUCUACAUUUAUGUAUGAUUAGCAAAUGUGAGUUCAAAAGUCUUUUAUGCGUUUCAUCCACCAAAAUUCUUGAAUCUUUUAUUAAGUUAUGGUUUGGUGACAAAGGUGCUUUGAAAAUGCUUGAAGAAAAUAAAAAUUAAGUGUUUUGUCAAAAUGAUUAUUUUUCAAGUAAAUGGAUUAGUUUAAAAAAAUUUAAAUCUAUUUAGAAUAUUGAAAAAAUAAGCACGGUUGAAAUUCUAGAAAAGAACCUAUUUGUAAAUGUAUAUAACAUUUUACAAUCCAUAAUUUUAAAAAUUUUAGGGCCAAAAUAUAGAUUUAAGAAUUCGAGGAAUCAGCCAAACAAUCAUUCACCUUGGAAUUAGCACUCAUCCGCUAACGCUCGGUUUCAAAUUUAAUUAUCCAUUUAUUUUUAGCAUGAUUCAUUGUAAUCUUAAAAUUUCAAAAUUGCCUCAAUGGUCAAUUGUCACCUAAACAAACGGUUGUAUGUUCAUAUUACUAGUUAUUCGUUUGCGCACAAAUUGUCUAAUUUUAAGAGAGUAACGGCUAGUUUUUGCUUAAAUCUAUAUAAACCAAUAUUCUAACCAUUAGAACCAUUGUUGAGCUGCUUGAGCAUGAAAUUUGUAUAUUCUCUCAACUAUAACAUACUCUUGAGCUCUCAAUUACUUUCAUUAAUAAUCAUAUACAAGCUUGUAUUUAGAUUUGUAUAUUUAUUCUUAUGAGGAGUUUAUUGUUUAUUGAACUUAUUUCUUUCAAAUUGAAUGAGUGUUGGAAAAUACUUAGUUUGAGAACGUGUGGGAUAUACAUCACAUUUUAGAUAAUUUCUAAUUUGAGUUACGCUUAACAAGCUAAUCAAAUAUUGCCGAAUGAGCAAAGACACUCCACGAGAGAGGCCACACACUCGGCUUACAAACUGGACCAAAUAGUGGCCCAAAAUUAACCUAACUGGCACUCAUUUUGUUUGAAUUUUUUUUUUAUAGCACACUUUUGCAAGUAAACUCACAUUUUAACCUAAGCCAUUGAACCUAGUUGUAAGUGUACACAAUUUUGGGCCGCCCGGCCAUGUUUGUUUGACAACCCUAGUAGUAAUUCUCUAAAUCUUUUCCCAUUAAGCCAUCUACUUUUUAUAAGUUUGUACAAUGUUCAUGACAAUGGGAAAUUAGGGGUUAUGACGAACGGAUUGUAUAGUAAAUAGGCAUAGUGAGAGAUCUAACUAUUGAGGGCUAAAUUACAUAAUAAUAAGAUGUAAAAGCUGAAAUUUUAGGGUUUAUAAGUUUAUAGAGGAUGUUUUAAAAGAUUUAACGGAGACUAAAUUAAUUAAUAUUAAAGCUAUUCAUACGGUUUUUUGUGGGCUUUUAUAAUUUUUAAAGUUGAAAUUUAAAUUUUAUAGGUUUAAUUACGAGUUUAUGGGAGUUAUUUUAAUCAAUUUAAUAGGAAUUUUUUAAAAAGAUUUAAUGAGACUAAUUAGGAGCUCAAUUAAUUCUCACUUUAGUUUUUAGAAUUCAGUUGGGUCCUCCCCUUAUAGUGAAUGAGCAUUAAAAGUAGUACAUCUUAAGUAGUAGUUAUAUAAGUUUGACAUUAAUUAAUAGUAUAAUAAACUCGGAGUAUUUUCGUAAUCAGAGUAACUUUUAGAGCACAAAUACCCCACUUUUAUUCUAGAUAUUGUGAAACUGCGGUUUACCUCUCGCCGGGAACAAUGGACAUUGUCUUGGUCUUGGCCUCUUGGGACAGAAAACCAGAUAAUGGCCAUGUUUAUUGUUUGAUGCGUUAUUUGUAUCUUUCUAUGAAUGGGGAGAAAAGAAGACUUUUGGAAGUGUCACUUCCUCUCAAAUCUAGCCCAAAUGCCGUCGUCGGUUUGGUCACUUUUGCUCGUGAAGCAGACGUAUGCCUUUGGAGCUUGUGGCUACUGGCUAACUUGGGAAAAAGCUCUGCAGUAAGUGAACCUAUUUGCCUAAAGACUUUGGCGUUAAUUAUCGUACCUCCACUGACACAUUUUGUCAACUCCUUGCGAUAAGUGGGGGAGACUGUACGUUAUUUGCUUUUUCAGCCAUUUCAACUUUCAAGCAAAUGCUGAGAAGGUUUCGCGUUUGUUAAAUUGUUAUCGAUAAACGUUGUACUAAAAACUCAAUGAAGUAUACGUAGAUCAGACUCGGAAUCCUCAUCUUAUAAGCUUUAGGUUGGACUUCAAGGACGUUCAUGCUUCUUCUACUUGAUUAAUUAUACCGUAAUCCCAUAAUUAGAUUUCAUUGCCGCGCGCAUUUAGUCAUCGUUCAUUAUCCUCUUUGAAUAACAUAUAAGGUCAAAUGUAGGAUUUAAUUAAAAAAAUAUAAUAUAAGCUUCGUUUCUACUUCCUACAACAUUUUCAGGAAAUGAGAGUAUUAAUGUAUUAUUUGUUCUUCAUAUAAAUUUUAAGAAGUGCAACUUCAAGAGUGCAAAUCAAGUAAUUAAGGUUCAUCAUCAAGUUCCGAUCCAAUAAUUUGUUUCUUAUAUUUUCAUAAUUCAAAAUUGAAUAUGAGUCUUUCUACUAUAUAUACGUACACCCAAUAACCAACAAAUGCCAGAAACAAUAUGCUAAAUGUGAAUGGCUAAUCCUCAAUGCAGCAAAACAUAUACAUUUCCUAGAUUUCCCCACCAUUAAUUAAGUGAAAGUGCGCACAUUAAUAGAACUAUAUAUAUAUAUAUAUAUAUAUAGCGUACGUAGUAGAUUCAUUUGUGAAUAGAAAAAUUAAUAGCUGGCGAAAAUGGUAGCAGUGUUUCUCCAAUGUCUGCAUACAUCUAGUCUUACAAAAUAUGUAAUGGAGACCACGUGUAUUUCCAUUUAGAGAACACAUCUGAGGUAUAGCAACAUCAACUGGUGCAAUUCAAGUUGUCUUUGGGCUUGAUUUGGAUUUUGUUGACAAGCUUGUGCAGUAAAAGCAACAAUAAUUCUGAGAACUUUUCAAAAGAAAUAAUUAUUAAGUGGGCGCAAUAAUCAGAGGAGACUAGACUUCAAGGAGGAUCUUUGCGUGCUACAGAAAUUAUUAUAAUAUAGUUUACCACCAUAUACAAGGAUCAAAUAGGGGGGGAAAAAAGCUUAAUUUUAUCGGGUUUCAUCAUGUGAUCUAACUAAUUGACACUAUUCCUCUUUAAAUGGAGAAGCCAAUUUAUUUUUGUUUGUAUCUAAUAGGAUUUGGUGAAAUAGGAAGAUGGCCACAGAAUCUAAUAAAAUAGAAAAUAUGUGUGAUGAAUAGCAGUGUAUUUUGGAUUAACCAAACGAGGAAGAGAGAAAAGAUUAUGAAGGCCAGUUUGAUUGUUGUUGUUGAUAAAAUAAGUUAUUUUUAUUGUGUUGAUAAAAUAAGUUAUUAAAAAAAAGUUUAUAUGUGUUUGGUAAAAUAUAAUGAUAAUAAUUGUUAUUAGUUUGAAAAUAAAAUAUAUGUGUUUAAUAAAUUUUAUUUUAAGUAGAAGGAUUAUUAAAAUAAGACAAUGGAGAGUUGUACUUAGGGGGCAUACAUGAGUUUUUCAGCACUGAAACUACAAUUUUGGGGUGACCAAAGAAUUAAAAUUUUUUUAAAAAUUAAACUUUUACAAAAGUGUAAGUCAAAGAAGUUAAAUUAUUAAAAAUAAAAUAAUGAUUAAUUAAAAAAAAAACUCAGACGCUCUAGUAUGCGCCUUUUAACUUGACAUAUUAUAGAGAAUAUAAUAAUGAAAUAGGUAUAACAGUCGCAUAAACACUCCUGUAUAAAUUGAGUUGGCAAUUUAAGUGACGUGAAAGGAUUUGUUGAAAGAUAAAAGCAAUUAAUGAAAAUAUUAUGUCAGCUCUAUGAUACUUUUAUUUAACUAAUCUCUUCAUAAUACAGAAGCUACUAACUCAAUUUGCAUAAGAUUGUAUUGUUUAUACAAUUAUUUAUGAUUGUAUCAUUAUUCAAUCUAUGACUACCAUAUUUCAUAGUCUGAGCACUAUCAGAUAAUUAAAUUUUAUUGAUUUUCUAGCCAUCUGAUGAUACCCUCACUCAAGAAUACUAUAAUCGGACUCCAUUAUUCAUCUACUAAUAGGGUGAUUUCUCACCCCUCACUCCUUCAAUAUGGCGGUUUAAUUUCCAUACAGGUGGGGGGUUUUUUUUUUUUUGGGGUACAAUAUAAUUAGAGAAAAUGUCACUAGAUGAUGGCAUAGUUCUAUCAUAAGUUUGAUCUAAAAUCUGGAUAAAUCCUUGCCUGUGAAAAAUGACAAUUGAGUACUAUAAUCAUUAAGUAGAAAUAUGGAUAAGUGGAUGAACGCAUAUCAUUAAGCUACAACCCACUUAAAAAUCCUAUCAUAUAUAGCUAGCUUAAUUAAGAGGCGAUUGAACUGGCCAAUAGCUUGUAAAAGGACCUUUAACUAUAUCUAAUCCUCUAAAACGUCUUCGUGUUCUUCUCUAGAAGAAUACGUGCUGCUAAAAGAUAACUAACUAAAUGAUCAUAUCAAACAAAUGACUACAAGAAUCGGGAUUUUGAACAUAUAGAUCGUGCAGAGCCAUCAGAGACUAUCAUCUGUCUAAAGUUUUGUGCUACGUGGAGGACAUUUGUGACCUACUAUUUGUAAUUCAUCGUAAAAUAACACUAAACUGAUAUUAUUAUAGCUAGUGAGAGAACUUCCAAUUAAGAAACCCCAAUUAAAAAAAUAAAAAUAAAAAUUUUAAUGUAUUAUAUGAUAAAAUACAUUGCAUUAAAAUAUAUUUAAUUAUUCUUCUGCUUGUUAGUUUAACUAAUAAAAGAUAAGAGUUCAAAGUCUAAACCCCGCUCACUCCGAAGGAAUCAACGUCGGCCAAAUAUAAUAAAUUUAAUUAAUAAAUGUAUGUAUCCAUGGGCUGCUACUGUUUUACCCUUUGUGUUUCCUGGAAUUCUCUAGGAAAGUUAACAAACCCUGAAAUGUAGUGGAAAAUGAGCUGGGCUGAAACGCACAUCAUAACCACUAACUCAAAAAAUUUUCUUUCUUUUAUACAUUCACAGGAGGCAGCUGGUAGCAAUGAUUGAGCCUUUUGAAUUGAUGCUGAAAAUGUAGUUUACGAUUAAAAUUUAAACACCAAACAAACUUUCUCAAGCACUUGCGUUUCAAACUUGAUUAUAUUUUCAAUUUCUCUCUUUUGGUAUGUCUAUGGCUAACUAAGGAAGGCUUAUAUGGUGCUGUAAUACACUGAGACACGCUGAUCUGAUCAACUAGUCGCUUUUUAUUUUGGAUUAGGGUUGGUAACGUGUGGAAGUAAAUAAGCAAAUGCAUAAACUAAUAAUUUUGUUGAAUUAAUUGAUUCAGUUAUAUAUUUUGGAUGUUUUGGGAUAGCAAAUUCUUUUACGCCAACAAUACUCGUUUAUUGUCUUUUAUGGGGGCAACCAUCGUAACAGAUGUUUUCUAAGCUUUCGUAUUCUAUCGAUUCGACCUGUUUGUAUGAUAUCUCAGCCGCCAAAUUUCAGUUUCAAUAUUAAUCGAAGUUUGGGAUCAAUCAGUUCAUGUUUUGAGAGACAGCUAGAUGUAGAUUUCAAGUGAGUGCGAAUCUGCACAAUCAAUAAGGUCGACUCUGCAAGCUAGCCAAUCAAAGGGCUGGUGGGGUAGCCAUUGUCUUCGUUGAGUUCUUUAUUAGUCUAGCGAAACUAUUUUCCCACUGAAAAAACAAACCAUUGGUAAAAGUGUGAUACACAAACAAACAUAAUUGAGAUACAUGAUUUCUAUUUGAGUGAUGUGGCACACGGUAAGUCAUUUAUUAAUAAGUGGUAUAUAAUUAUUAUAUUAAUAUUAAAAAAUAAAGGUAUCACCACCGAUUAAUAUGUAUAAAAUACACUAGCUAACACGUGUAAGUUCUAAUUAAUAAAAUACAUCACUUUACUUACAUACUAUGUAUUUCCGAUCAUAUAAGUAUAACAUAACUAAAGGGGAAAAAAAUCUACUUUUAUAUAUGGUUGAAGAAUUUGUUGUAGUAGUGACGGCUUUUAUUGAGUAGAUUAUCAACUGUUUAAGAUUUAUAUGUGUGCAUAUUCUAAAAAUAUAUAUAUUUAUAUGCGUGCAUAGAUUUAACUAGAAAUUUAAUUAAUUUGUCGCGGCAAUUAGAAAACUUUAGAUAAAAGUUGAAAUGAGCGGCGGCUUGUGGUAUAUAUUAAUAUAAUUUUUAUGGUAAAUUAUUUCGAAAUAAGAAGAGAGACGUGUUAUUCUAUUUUGUGGAGACCCAAAAAGUUUACCCCUCGAUGUAAUAAAGCCACUCCCCCUGCAUAAAACAUAAUUAAAAUUAACCACAAAAAAAAAAAAGAAUUGUUAAGGUCAUGUUUUGUAAAAGUGUGGUACUUACGUUGUAUACUUAAUUAUUAUUAGAUGAAUUUCAAUCAAUCAUAUGAGAAUAAAUAUAAUACAAUAAGAGCCUAAAGUAGUUUAGAGAACAGCCCAACCUCUAGACAACUUGAGUCAUUGUCUAAGGCUUCGCUCUAAUCUAAUGCCUCAUAUUUAUAUUAAAGUCAUUAUUUUAUAUUUGUAAAAACAUAAGUUCCUAAAUAUAUAACUACACUUGUUACUUAUCCAUAUGAAAAGUUAUUUUCAAGAGUUUGUCCACGUCUCAAAUAUGUUUGGUUAGACAAAGCUCAAGUAUUAAACUCCAAGCUCGACUUUCCUUGGGGAAAUUUACACAAAUAACCUAAAAAAAUUUGUUAUUUUCACAACUAACCCCUCAACUUUUUCCUAUCAACAUUAGUCAAUAAUCAUUCCUAGUACCGAAAAUACCCCUCCCAUAACUCUCCCUCUCCUUCCUCUCCUUCCUCUCCUUCCUCUCUCUCUCUCUCUCUCUCUCUCUCUCUCCCCGCCGAAUUCACUCCCAACUUGUUCACUUGUUGCCGGUGGCUUCCCGGAGUCAUUCUCGGCAGCCAACACUUACUUAAAUCCGGUCAAGAGUUGAAAUUAAAGGUUAGGUUAAAAACCCUAAAUUUCUAUUUCCUAUUCUUGUUCUAUGAUGUGUUUUUUGUGUUGUGUUUGUGAUGGUGAGUGAAGAUUGAAGGAGUUUGUGAUGUUGAGUGCAUGGGUGAAGUUAUUGGUGUGGUGCAUGGUGAAAAAAUUGCCUUGGGGUGGAGGAGGGAAAAUUGUGAUUUCAGCAUGUGGCUGGCGCGAUGUUGCGCGUGCCUUGCAUGAGCGACAGGAGCGAUGGCGCGAGAGCGACAGGCGCGGCAGCCUGUCGCACCAAAUUACAGUGGUCUUUUUUUUUUGCCGUGAAGUCAAUUUUUUUUUUAAAUGCAAUGUGAUAAUGUUAUAAAUAUUACAGAUACAUGGCGAAAUCAGAAGUAUCGAAAAACAAACUAAGCAGGAUGUAUUUUGCUUAUGCCGAUCACUUCCCGGGUCGAAUUUCGAGCAUUGUAACUUAUCUACGGUCGUAAAAGCCAUCGAGCGAAAAUUAACAAAGUGGCAGUUGCAUCUGUUCAAGAAAGACAUAUUUGGACAUUUCUUAGAGUGUCGAAACUUUUCAUUUAGUGGUGUAAUUUUGCACAAUGUUUUGCUUAGGCAAGUGGUCCAUGAAGAAGACAGCGGAUCAGUUAUGGUUUCAAAUUGGUGAGCAUUUGAUACGCUUGUCAAUUGCAGAAUGGUGUCUGAUUACUGGACUUUCCUAUGGUGUAGAUACUGCACUAAUAAAUAAGAAAACGGUGCAUAGGCUACUGAAUACGUAUUUUGAUGGUUUGCUACGCAACAUCAAUCUUAAGCAAUUUGAUGCAUUAUUUGAGAAGUUGAAAUUCGAGGCAAUGGACGACAUUGACGCAUUAAAGAUUGCGCUCUUUUAUUUUGCGGACAGAGUUCUAAAUGGAAGAAAAAGUCAUUGUCAAAUCAAUUUCUCAUGACUUAACGAAGUAGAUGAUAUAGAGUACUUUCACAAUCGUCCAUGGGGUCGUUUGUCGUGGGAAAUGAUAUACAAGAGUCUUGACAAUGCACUGUAAGAGAAAGAUGAGAAAUUUAGGACAACUCGGUUGGAAAACCCAGAUCAUAAAAUUAAAAAAUACAAUGUUUACGGCUUUACAUCCAGGGUUCAAGUGCAUUGUUUUUUUUUGUUUAUUAAUAAGUUUUGUAAUAUUAAAUAUUUGAUAGUUGUUUUAAUAGCUUUUUCAUUUUGGUUGUUGCAAGCUUGGAUUUACGAAGCGAUCGGAGGUUUGCCGUCAGCAUGGAUCGUGAAAAUGAAGAAGAAGAUUCCUCGCAUUGUGCAAUGGAAGCCCAUGACUUAUUCGAAAAUCUAUUUUGCUGAAGUUUAUUCGUUCUUCAAUGAUGAAUCUCGUCUUAUAAGUAAUAUAUAUUGGUUCUUUUUUUAACAUUACUAAAUUCAAGUUCUGUAUACUUAUCAUUUUGGGUUGAAUUCAUGGCAAGGGGACGUUUUACUUUUACAAACCCUUGAGCCGAAUGAAAAGGAGAGUAGCAAAAAAUAUUGGCUCAUUGUGAAGGAUUACAUGCCACAUAUUCCAGGCUGGGUUCAUAAGGUCGGUAUCCUAUAAGUAUUAUUAUUUAUUUAAUUGAAAUUUUUGACUUUUCAUUUCCUUAUUUUAAAUGCUACUUUAUACAGCACCAACCCUCAAUCAACACCCCACCGUCCGUUACAAGGCAAUCAGACGAGUAUGACAACAUACCAAGCCCAACACCCGAGCAGCGUCAUGAGACUUCUGAGGAUGAGGUGCCUGUAGAUGACCAUCAGGAGCAGACAUAAAACUCUGAUGACGCACGUGAUUCCGAUGUUAUAAAUAAAUUCUUUUCUUCAUAUAUAAAUCAUGAUUUUUUACUGUUAUUAUAAAGUUUUACUUCAUUUUUUUUGUAAUAGUCAAGGACAAAGCAGUUUAAUGAUUAUAUGCGACGACGGAUGGACAAGAUUGAUCGUAACAUUUAUGAAUUGAAGUCAUAAUUUAAAGAUUUUAAAAAAAUCGUGGUGGGAUUUAUCUGCCUCUUGGUACGACAUGGUGCCUGUCGCACGAAAAGCAUAUUGUCCCACGAAAAUUUCUCCAACUCGCAGCAAGCAACAGCACUGAGACUCUCUCGCAAGUUCAGAAAAUAACUCAUACCACUCAGUGAUGCCGAUUGGUGUUGAAUCCGGAUGGAUUAUGAUCGGAUUUCACUUUUACCGUUCACCGUCGGCAUUUACCGUUGCCUUUUGCAGUCGCCGGUGAUGAUUCAAGAGUGCAAAGUUGCAUUUGGUUAGAUAAAAGGGGAGAAAGAAAGUUGUUUUUGGUUUGUGAACAAGAAUAAUUUGGAGAGAAAAACUUGUAUUUGACUAAUGUUGAUAAAAAAAAGUUUAGAAGAUUAAUUGUGAAAAUAGGAAAAAUUUUAUGAUUAUUUUAUAAAUUUCCCCAUUCCUUACGUCAAGUUAUGAAUGUCCCAAGUGGCUGUGAUGGCUUUGGACAGCAGUUGGCAUUUAGCAGGAGACAACAGACCUUCUAUAUUUUCAUAGAAAAUCACUUUUUUCUAGCGAUGUUACAUUAAUAUAAUUGGGAUAUAUUAAUAAAAAUAAAGAAGAAGCCAUGCUUUUAAAGAAGAUUUAAAAAAAUGUCGGAUUAAGCGCCCAUGCUUUGAUAAUUCACAUACAAAUUUAAUUCUGUUUUUACCGCACAUAUCUCCCCACUUGCCUCUAUCCAUGUCCAACACGCAAUUGCUUAAACGUGGAAGGAAAAUAAAUAUUCACUCUUUUGAAUUAAAUCAAAAUCAAACACCUCAUUCAUUAAAGAAUUUGGAUGAUAUAAAAGGAAAUUAAUAAUUAUAUUCAGCGUAUAUAGUAUAUUUAGAAAUUUCCCACAAACUUGUAUACCGUAUUUUAAUGUCAUAAUGGCAAUAAUUCUUAUCAUUUACAAAUCAAAUAAUCUAGUUUUCUUUUUGACUUAUAUUCAAAACUAUCUUUAGAAUCAUAAUAUGAAUCUUAAGACUGCCGCCAUAUCCGUUGAAGAACCCCAUUUGUAUGUGUGAUAUUACUUUUAAAAUAUAAUAAUCUUCACUUCGGCUGGGAAGCAAAUCUCAUUAUAUACUAACUUUAAACAUUUAAUUAUUGAUAUAGUAUGUAUAUGUUGCAAGAUCAUUCAUGAUUCAUCUCGGUUUUGGAACUAUAAUUUUGAUGCCUUGGCUCAUUGCGUAUAUAUAAUAUAUACUUAUGAUAUUCGACGGAUCUACUUUGCUUUUUUCUAUAAUGUUGGAAAAUAAAUGAUCAUGACAGAACUGACCCUAAAAAUCCGCAGCGAGCGGCUGUUUUUCCGGUUUAUCCAUGUAUACAACUCGAAAAAUACUGCAAGCAGCAGCAUAUAUGGAUAAUCACAACUUGUACGUGCUAAAAUAUCCUUUUCAGAAUAUAUAAUUUGAAAAAGUUUUCAGUUUUCUUUUUCUUUUUUUUUUUAAAUAAAAAUCUUUAAUCUUAAUUACACGUCAAAUUUUCCCCUUAUCUAAUCCUUGUCAUUCUACAUCACCUUCCACUAACUAUGCUUCUAUAUAAACAUUCACAAUUCUUCCUGAAUUAAAUCCCCCGAAUUCUCUCACUUUCUCUUUUGCCUUCCAAGGCCAAUGGCGGAGAGCCUUUCUGUGAAUUUCUCGGGCCCUAAGAGUUUUUCGACGAAGCUGAAAUCUAAAUGCAAAGAAACCCUGUUCCCCGAUGACCCUUUUAAGCAAUUUCGAAACGAAAAACAUAGAGCCAUCAAAGCCUUGCAAUAUUUCAUUCCGUUCUUUGAGUGGAUACCUAAUUACAAUCUAAAAUUACUCAGGUACGAUGUCCUCGCCGGGAUCACCAUUACCAGCCUCGCCAUCCCUCAGGGUAUCAGCUAUGCCAAGCUUGCCAGCAUUCCUCCGAUCAUCGGCCUCUGUAAGAAACCAUUCUGGACCCGAACACAGGUGGCCAGCUUUUUUUAAAAAAAAUAUCACUGGCCAAGCCCCUGAAGCAUUGGAUUUUUUUUAAUUGAUCAUAUAUUAUUUUGACCAUUGAAUUGAAUGAUAAUUUUUGUUUUGUUAAUUUGUAGAUUCGAGCUUUGUUCCACCACUUGUAUAUGCCGUAUUCGGGAGCUCAAAGCAUCUAGCAGUGGGAACGGUAGCAGCAUGCUCGCUGCUAAUAGCCGACACGAUUGGACAAAAAGUGCCACCCAAAAAGGAUCCAACAUUGUACCUUCACUUGGUUUUCACGGCUACCUUUUUCACAGGCAUUUUCCAGACAGCUUUAGGUUUUCUAAGGUCAUUACUAAUUACUAAUCAAUUGUUAAUGAAUCUUCUCGGCAAAAGUAUCAAAUUGUUAUUAAUUUUUCAGGUUUUAAUUUGGUUCUUUUUCUUUCAUUUUUGGGUGAAGGCUUGGAAUUUUGGUAGAUUUUUUGUCACAUUCCACGAUCACUGGUUUCAUGGGAGGCACUGCUAUAAUAAUAUGCUUGCAACAACUGAAGGGCCUGUUCGGAUUGAAACAUUUUACUACUAAAACUGACGUCGUUUCCGUCUUGCAUGCAGUCUUCAGCAAUCGAAAAGAGGUCUAUAAUCAUCACAAAAGCAUACUGUAUCAAAAUUUUACUCUUUUUUUGAACUUAUAAUAAAUAAAUAAAUACAAUAAAUUGAAGUCAAAGUCCCCAUUACUAUAGAAGAAGUGGAAUCUAAAGUUUUUUUUUUUUUUUUUUUAUUUGCAGUGGAGGUGGGAGAGCGCUGUUAUAGGUAUAAGCUUCCUCAUUUUCCUCCAAUUCACUAGGUACCUGGUGAGUUAAUUUUCCUCGCCGCAUGACUCGCAAAAUCAUUAAAAAUAUCAUUUCAACAAAAAGAAAAAUUAUCCGUAUAAGACUGCGGUUUUAGCAAAUAUUACGUCUGAAUUUAAUGUGUAAUUUAUUUCUCUAUAGAUUAUUAUUCCGUUUUUGUAUGAAUCAAAUGAUAAGGAGUAAAUAUUUAUGGCGUCAUCCAAUUUAUCCAGAUCAAAUCUGCUUGGUCAGACAAAAUUGAUUAUAAUAGCUUGAGACUUUCACCAAUUUUAAUCUUUUUUCCGAAAUUGACAAUUUUCAGAAAAACAGAAAGCCAAAGCUAUUUUGGGUAUCAGCAAUGGCUCCCAUGGUCACUGUUGUAGUCGGCUGUCUUUUUGCUUAUUUCGCCCAUGCGGAGAAACAUGGAAUACAAAUUGUAAGUGCCAUUUUUUAAAUUGCGAGUCAUUCAAGAAUCAUUGAUACCAGUCAUUCUCAUGUCCUCAUCUUUUGAAAUAUGGAUUCAUUAUAUACAUCAUAUGGAUGUAUUAAUGUUCUUAUUAUUUUUUAUUCAAUUAAAUAAUAUAUCAUAUGGUAUAUUUAGCGUAUUCACAUUUUAAAAAAUACGGACAUCUACACCUGAAAAUGAUUAUCAUUAAUAUAAUUAUUGUAUUUUAAUGUCAAACAUCUUAAUUUCCAUCACUAAAUCUAAUUUUUGUUUCAGGUGGGUGACUUGAGAAAAGGAAUAAAUCCUCCUUCCAUUGGCUACUUGAACUUUAAAUCUGAAUAUCUCACAGUCACUGUCAAAGCUGGAAUCAUUACAGCCCUUAUAGCUUUAGCUGUAAAAAAGCGUCCUUGCACACUAUUUUUUCCUCAUUUGUUUUACUGAUAAAGUGUUAAAAUCUGAUCAAACAAUUAUACUGGCUAAUCCUCCAGGAAGGCAUAGCAAUAGCAAGGAGCUUUGCAAUAAUGCAAAAUGAACAAAUUGAUGGGAACAAAGAGAUGAUAGCUUUUGGUCUCAUGAACAUAGUUGGAUCUUUCACUUCAUGCUACUUAACAACUGGUAAUACAUAUUAUAUAUUUUAGGAAAAGUACAGUAACACUCUCGUAAUUUGAUGAAAUAAUAUUAAAGACUCCAUUAUUUUGAAAAAUAGUCGCACAAACCCCUUUUUGUGUUUGUCAUAUAUACCCACAAAAUUUGUGACAUGUAUAUCUCAAAAGGGGUUCGUAUAUGAUCUUCGUGACUAUUUCACCGAACCACAGAGUGUUAUUAUUCUUUUUCCUGUAAAAUAAAUCUAUAAAAAAAGAUGAAUAAUGUCCUUUUUUCACCCCUCCUGUUGACAGGGCCAUUUUCAAAGACUGCUGUGAAUUUCAAUGCAGGGUGCAAAACUGCCAUGUCAAAUGUUGUAAUGUCAUUUUGCAUGAUGCUUGUACUCUUGUUCUUGGCUCCUCUCUUCAGUUACACACCUCUUGUAGCUCUAUCAGCCAUCAUCAUGUCCGCCAUGUUCGGGCUUAUUAACUAUGAAGAGGCUAUUCUCCUCUUCAAAGUUGAUAAGCUAGAUUUUAGCAUUUGCAUGGCAGCUUUCCUUGGGGUCGCCUUCAUAAGCAUGGACAUUGGCCUCAUGCUCUCCGUAAGAAUUUUUAAUUAGUUUCGAUAUUAUAUAAUUCAUAUGAAACAAAAAUUACAUAUUUUUAAUUAGUUUCGAUAUUAAAUUCUCUGUUGUUAAUACAGGUGGGGCUUGCUUUACUUCGGACGCUUAUAUAUGUGGCAAGGCCUGCUACUUGCAAGCUUGGAAAAAUCUCAGACUCGAAUCUGUACCUGGAUACAGAGCAGUAUCAGCAUGCACAAGGGUUCCCAGGAAUCCUAAUUCUGCAACUUGGUUCCCCUAUUUACUUUGCAAAUUGCAAUUACAUUAGAGAAAGGUACUAAUUUUUUUUUUUUUCAAUCCUUCCAAUGUGAAAAUGAAUAUUUUGAGCAAAAUCUAAAGCAAAUGCAAUCCUUCCAAUGUGAAAAUGAAUAUUCAAUCCUUCCAAUGUGAAAAUGAAUAUUUUGAGCAAAAUCUAAAGCAAAUGAAUUGUAAAUAGGGUUUUGAGAUGGAUCCGAGAUGAACAGGUCUUAUCAAAUUCCAAGCCGGAUGUUAUUGAGCAUGUUUUACUAGAUUUGUCAGGUAGAAUGUGACUGUUAGUUUUUAUUUAUAGAGUAAUUCAAUUGGCUCAUAUGAUUUUAUUAUUAUGCGUAGGAGUUUCAACAAUAGACAUGACAGGAAUUGCCGCAUUUAGAGAAAUACUCAGAAUUUUGGAAGCAAAAUCUAUUAAGGUAACCUCUAAUAAUUAAGUGGCAUCAAUCUUUGCUAAUUUUAUUGAAGCAAUUAAAAAAAAAAAACUGAGUUGAUAACUAUUUUUUUGCAGAUGAAAUUAAUAAAUCCCAGGAUUGGGGUUAUGGAUAAAAUGAUACUGUCAAAGUUCAUCGACGUCAUUGGGAAGGAUUCGGUUUUCUUGUCAAUUGAAGAUGCAAUUGAUGCAUGUCGGUUUUCACUUCAAAAGGAGAAACACCAGAACGACUUGUCGGACAUUUCUGCUUGAAAGACAAGUAGUUGGACUAAAUAUUUGUAAAUUUUGGUGUGUGAUAAUAAUCAAGAAUUUGACGAGGAUACUUUGGGGGAUAGGUUGAGACCAAGGCCUAGUUCCAUUAGUUAAUGGGACAGCCUUAUCAAAAUUUAACUCUAAAUCUCAUGCAACGUGAUUUUCUCUUUUUUCAAAGAGAAAAUAUGAAAUUAGUAAAUUUUGGCUUGUUAGCCAGCAACAAUGAAUAAAAUACCAUAAUUUUUGUGACAUGAAACCUAUAUAUAGUGUAGAUAAUUAUUUUCUCCACCAAGUACAAGCUCCAAAAAUAGCUGAUCUUUGGAAAAUAUAUAAAUCAUGAAACCUAUUACGUCAGAUCAUCCUUUCAAACGCUUUGAUGUGCUAUAUAGCAACAUCUUAUCCGUUUACUAGCUUUUAUUUUUUAAUGUGAGAUGUAGGGUUGCCACUCGCUCACUCUAGAGUCUAGACGGCUUGACACUCACACCGUUGUUCGUUUUGGAGAGUACGAGGUCACAACUCACAAGCAAGAUUAAAACUUCAUUCGAUCUUCUCAAUAAUAUUCGUCAAGAAGAAUGGUAAUUUUUUUUUUCUUUUUAGAAAGGUACACUUAGGGAUGGCAAUUUCCGGGUCCGGGUCCGGGUUUGGCUGUUCCGGAUCCGGACCCAGACACAAAAUUCUUAUAACCGGACCUACAUUAAACCCGAAUUUUUUAAAUCCGGGUCCGGUCCGGGUCAACCCGGAUUGCUUUUUUUUUUUUUUUUUAUUUUCCGCUUUUUUGUUGUAGAGAGAUGCAACAAUGUUAUCAGCUGGGUUAGAUAUUAGAGUGCCUACAGCUCCAGCUGUGUAGCCCGCUAAACAUGUAACACCGAGUUGUUGAACUCUGGAGCAAUCUUCUUUUCUCUUUUGAACAAGUUUUUGAUAUAUAAAGUCCACCGAAUGCUCAAAGGUUGAGAACAUGAUCAUGGAAACUGCAAGUCACGAAAAAGGAGGACAAACAAAAACGAAAAUUGAAAAAAUGUCCUUCAAGCUUAAAUUCAAACAGGACAUAGAAAAGUAAACAACUCUGAAGGCAAAGUAUCUCAUUCAAGCUUAUGUCUGAUUGAUAGCCAAUCACUCUCAAACUGAUUAGCUACCCUGAAAACUUGGUACAUGUUCUCUGUGAAUUGCAAUAUUAAGCACUAAAGCACAAUUAUGAUUUCUCAGUCCGUUAGAUUAAGUUAGCAAAAUAUAUUGUCAAUAUGAUAUAGCAAUGGAAGAUGCAAACAUCACAUGGGCUGAAACUAUAACUAAAUGAAACGACAACCCUAGAAGUAUCACAGUUGUAGAAAGAUAUAGGACCAUUAUCAAUGUAUAGCAGCAGAAUGGUUAAAGUCAUGUUAUGACAUUAAUCUCGUUUGAGCUUUUACACUGCUAAUCUGAUGGAAAUCAUUAUGGUUGUGCAAUAACCAACGAAAGCCCAUUACAUAACAAUGAGAAAAUUGUACUUUCAGAAUUUACCAAUGUCAACUAGCCAACUAUGCUAGACAUAUCAAGCAGAAUAGAAUGUUAAAAAUGCUACAACCACUAGAAACUGUCUUAAGAAAUUAAUCAGUCAGGAUACUAGCAAUACAAGCAAAUAAAUGUUUCAAGAACGCAGUCAAGCAGUAACAUUACAUGGAAGAUUACAGCACCAAAGUGGAAAAAGUCCCCUGUAGAAAUUGCAAUAAAACAUGGACUUUUAAAUAAACAUAAUUGAGAAGGAAAAAGUUAAGAUCAAGUAUUCAGGUAACAAUACCCGCCGCGACUGAGGUGGAUUUCAACCCUUUUUGCUGGCCGCGACAGAGUGAGAGAUGAGACGAGUGAUGCUGAUGAGUGAUGAAACGAACAAAGCCUCACCGUGAAGGUGAUGACAGGCCACGCCGCGAAGGAUCUGAUCUGAUUUGAAGAAGAGAUUACAGGAGAGUUGAAGAGAGAGUGAGAGAGAUUAAGUGAGGACUGAGGAACGAGUCACGGUUCACGGGUGAGAGAGAUUGAGAGAGGAACGGAUUACGGAUGAGACUUGAGAGAUUGAAAGGAGAAAUUACAGAUUUACAGUAGAGUUCAGUAUAGUUGAAGAAGAAAUUUCGAGAAAGGAAGAACGACGAACGAGAGAGAUCUAGAUUCUAGGGUUCAAUUUUAUUUUAUUUUUUAAAAUUUUUCUAUUUAUAUUUACGGAUUUAACGAUAAAAAUUAAUAUUAAAACUGCUGUACGGCCAAGGCGGAUGUACGGUACAGCAGUUUUAUUAUUAAAAAAAAAAAGUGAAUCUACAUUUAAAGGUUAGUAUUUCUCGGAUUUGCGGGCUCACUUGAAACCGGAUCCGGACCCGGAAAUAUGCGGGUUGUCAAAAACUUAUCCGGAUUCCGGAUACAAAUUAUUCCGGUGCGGGUUGAACCCGGACCGGAUUUGCCGGGUUCAAUCCGGGUCCGAUCCGGGUCCGGGUUUGGUUGCCAUCCCUAGGUACACUAUAAAUUUUAAAUUUUAUUAUAGCGAAGGAACUUGAAACCAUAUCAAUAAAAUCACCUGCUGGUUGUGUGUUACACAAAAUGAAUUUUGUAAAGUCUUGAAUGGUUGAUGCAGUUAAAAAUUGUAUGAGUAUUGUGAAUGCAAAUGAUGUAGAAUUGACUUGAUUGGUUGCCUCUCACUCUGUUCACUCUUAAGAGUUAACAAACUAUUUUCUAGUGAUUAGGAAAUUCGGAGAAUGCCUCCAGUUCUAGGCUGUUAAGGAAGCUCAUCAAGCAUACAAAGAAACUACAUGUUUGGCACAUGUGAUUUGAUAUCCAGUCAGCAUAGCAGUUAGAAGUUAAGAGUGACAGCUCAGCAAAGUUUGUUAUGCACUUUGUAUUCUGUUAGUAUCGUUUUGGUUUUGCUCUGUGUUAAAUUGUAUGUGUAUAUAAUCAUUUCAACUGUGAUUUGUAAUUAACCUUUCAGUCUUGAAAUAAUAUGAAAAGUAACAGAGAUCUAGAACAUUCAUUUUCUUUCAUUUUCUCGACAUACAAACAAAUCUAUCAGUUCAGUUUUUAACAUUUCAACAUGGUAUCAGAGCCAAACAGAGCAAGCUCUAGUAAUCAGCAAACAACCAACACAAAUCAAUACACUGAAAUCAAUUUUUCUUUCACGAAUCCAAUCAAAUUAGAUCGAUCAAACUAUCUGCUACGGCGUUCACAAGUUCUAGCUUCAACAAGAGGAAAUCGACUGGAGGACUUCAUCACAGGAGACAAACCAGCACCUGAGAAAUAUCUCCUUCUUGCUAGAGCUGGUGGAUCUACUCAGAAGAUUAAUAAUCCAGAAUAUCAGAAUUGAAGAUCACUGGAUCAAACUUUACUUGGAUGGUUACUAUCAUCAAUAAAUGAAGGUACUCUAAGUCUUGUUAUAAGUUGUACAAGUUCAUUUGAUGUUUGGAAAACUCUAGAAAAGAAAUUUGGUGUUCAGUCUGAAGCUAGGGUUCUUCAGCUUAGAUAUGAAUUGAAUACUCUUAAAAAUGAGUCAUUAAAUGUUGAAGAUUAUUAUAUCAAAAUGAAAUCUAUAGCUGACAAACUUUCUAGUGCUGGUAGUCCUAUAACAGAAAAUGAUCUUAUGUUAACCAUACUGAAUGGACUAGGAUCAGUUUUUGUGAUAUUGCUACCUUCAUAACUGGAUCUAAAAUGGAGUAUGAUGAUGCUUAUGCAUUGUUACUUACACAUGAAACUAGGCUAGAGCAAGAACAGAAUGAUAAAGGUAUGUUUAAUGCAAAUUAUGCAUACUAUCCCAAGAUGUUUUAUGCUCAAUCCAGAGGUAACUUUAUAAGAGGAGGAUAUACUGGUGGUGGUUUUAGAAAUUUUGGUGGUAGAAAUCAAUCUUUUAGUAGAGGCAAUAUUCAUCCUCAGAGAUUUCAUUCUGGAAGUUUCAGAGGAGGAUAUGGUAUAGGAUACUCUCCUAGACAAACCAAUGCUUUUAAUUCUUUUCAAGCACCUAGAAAUUCACCACAAAUUGUUAGAGGUGGAUUUACUAGUACAAAUGGAGUACAUGGAAGUUCUGGAAAUAUAGAAGAGAUAACAUGUUAGAUAUGCUUUAAGACUGGUCAUACUGCUGAUGUUUGCUGGCAUAGGUUUGUUGAAGAUUAUAUGCCUACACAAAGGGGUUUUGGAAAGGGUAAAGGACUAAGAGCAGCUUAUUUUAGUAAUUUUGAUAGUUUUACUCCUCAUCAAGAAUAUGAAGACUAUGAUAAUCCCAAUUACAUGUCACCAAAUGUUUAUCCUUUCUCCACUACUAACUGUUACCCUGGAGUUGAUUCUUAUACUCUUGCAGCAGCAUUUGUAGCCAACUGUGAAGGCACUGCUAAUGAUGGCUGGUACCUGGAUAGUAUAGCUACUCACCAUUUGACAAACAACAUGGAUAAUCUGCAUCUCAGUGAGGAAUAUAAAGGUAUGGAUCAGCUUAUUAUUGGAAAUGGCCAAGGUUUGCACAUCUCUCAUAUUGGAAAUGUUUUUCUGUCAUAUAGAGCUUCAUCAUAUUCAUCUAUACAGCCUACACACACCACUAUAGCACUUAAAGACAUGUUAUUGGUUCCAUUAAUUACCAAAAAUUUGUUGAGCAUUUCUAGAUUAACAUCUAACAACCCUCUAUCUGUUGAAUUUUAUGGCAAUGUUUGUCUUGUAAAGGACAUGAAGGGACAAGUUCUUCUGCAGGGUUUUGCUGAGAAAGGUCUAUACAAGCUACUGCUGAAAACCAAACACUCUUCACCUAGAUCUCAUAUGUCUCACUUUCAGUUGAAUAAACCAGUGCCUAUGUUGUCUUUUUUUAAUGUUUCUUCACUUUCUCCAAAUUGUACAGCUCUUAAUAAAGCUUGUUAUCAUGCUGUUCAAAAUAAUUAUAACCAGAAACCUGAUGAUAUGACAGUAUUACAUAGAAGAUUUGGACAUCUGAGUUCUAUUAUAUUGAUGCAUUUGAUUAAAUCUUGUCCUGAGCUUUAUGACAGUCUUUCAAAAGUUUGUUCCAUCUUCUGCACAUUCUUUGUGUGAAGCUUGUCAACUAGGUAAAGUUCAUAAAUAACAUUUUUCAACUACUGAAACAAAAAACCAAAAAGAUGUUAGAACUAAUUCAUACUGAUCUAUGGGGGCCAUCACCUACUGUGUCAAGGAAUGGCUAUAAGUAUUAUAUCUGUUUCAUUGAUGAUUACAGCAUAUAUACUUGAAUUUACCCAUUUAAACUCAAAUCAGAGGCCUUUGAGGUUUUCAAGCUCUUUAAAAUUCAAGUGGAAAAUCAGUUCAAUACUCAAAUCAAGAUGCUGCAAUCUGACUGGGAACCAAAAUGGGAUUCUCUUUAGACACUCAUCAUCAAAAUGGUUUAGUUGAAAGGAAACAUAGGCAUAUAGUUAAGCUAGGAUUAACUCUUUUAGCUCAGGCAAAUCUCCCUUUCAAAUUUUGGUGGGAUGCUAUCCAUACAGUUGUAUAUCAUAUAAACAGACUCCUAACAACUAUACUGAACCUAAUCUCUCCUUAUGAAAAGUUGUUUGCUCAUAAACCAGGCUAUACAUUUUUUAAGUGUGUUUGGAUGUCUAUGUUAUCCAUAUUUAAGAGAUUUCAAUAAACACAAGUUUGAUUUCCAUACAAGCAAAUGCAUUUUUAUUGCCUAUAGCCCUUCUCAUAAAGGCUAUAAAUGUCUAACCAGCUCUGGAAAAAUCCAUAUACUUAGACAUGUGAUAUUUGAUGAAACAGUGUUUCCUUACUCAACUGAUAAUAUUUUCAAUCUGUCUCAACCAAAUAAAGAUUCUGAAACACCAGUAUCAAUGUCAAAUUUUUCUCCACAGUAAGUCUAUCAUUUAUCCACAUUAUCCUUACCUCACAGCAGCUUUGAAGAUGUUUACUCAGCAAGCUCAGCAGGACAUCAACAAACACCUUAUAUGCAUGUACAUACAAACAUUCCAUGUCAACAAAAGCAAGGUAACUAUACUUUAUCAGAAUCAUUAUCAUUUACUUGACCUUCACAAAAUCCAGAACCAGUUCAAACACAGCCUGAAAACCAAAUAAUCACUUCACUAGACACAGAACAUAUCACAAAAAGAAACCUUACUCCACAACCUUCUCAUAAAAUGAUUACCAAAUCAAAAUCUGGAAUCUUUAAACCCAAGCUAUAUACUACAACUUUAGCCAAUAAAGAACCUUAUACAAUUCAAGAAGCUCUUUGUGAUCAGAACUAGUACCAAGCCAUGAGAGAUAAGUAUGAAGCUUUGAUAAAAAAUAAAAUUUGGUCACUAGUUCCACAUUCAGUUGAGCACAAAAUUGUUGGCAAUAAAUGGGUGUGUAGAAUUAAGCAGAACACUUAUGGUAGCAUAGCUAAGUACAAAGCUAGGCUAGUUGCCAAAGGUUUUCAGCAAACUGAAAGAGUUGAUUAUUUUGAGACAUUCAGCCCUGUUGUGAAACCAUGUACUGUGAGGAUUGUGUUGAGUUUAGUUAUGUACUGAAGAUGUAUAUAUGUGUCAGCCAGAGGGGUUUAUUGAUGUGCAAAAACCUGGUCAUAUACAUAAGUUGAGGAAAGCUCUGUAUGGUCUGAAACAAGCCCCUAGGGCCUGGUAUGACAAGUUGAAGAACUCUUUAAUCACCACCUGGAAUUUUCAAAGUUCUAAAGCUGAUACAUCUCUUUUCUUUAAGGAGAUACAUGGAUCCAUAAUACUGAUUUUGAUAUAUGUCGAUGAUAUUUUAAUUACUGGUGCAAAUAGUAAGGAGUUAGAAAGAUUCAUCUCAGAAUUCAGCAGAAUGUUUGCUUUAAAGGAUUUAGGAACACUGUCAUACUUUCUCGGUAUAGAAGUUGCUUAUGCCCAAGAUAGUAUGUAUUUGUCAUAGAAGAAAUACAUUCAAGAUCUACUGAAUAAAGCUGACAUGUUGGAAUGCAAGAGUUGUGAUACUCCAAUGGUUACAGGUCAUAAGCUUCAAAGGGAAGUUAAAGGUCAUCUAGGCCAGUAUAUUGAAGAUGCAACAAGCUACUGAAGCUUAGUUGGAGGCCUGCAAUAUCUGGUUUUAACAAGACCAGAAAUUGCUUUUGCAGUUCAUAAACUAAGUCAAUAUGUGGCAGCACCAACACUUCAACAUAUAUUAGCUUGCAAAAGAGUCCUCAGAUAUUUGAAAGUAACAGAAGAUUAUGGGCUAAAAUUUUCAGCUGGAGGAGAAAUGAAAAUUACAAGUUACACUGAUGCAGAUUGGGCAUGUGAUGUUGAUGAUAGAAAAUCGAUAGAAGCUUAUUGCAUUUACUUUAGAAACAACCUGGUGUCUUGGUCAUCAAAGAAGCAAACUGUGGUCACAAGGUCAACUGCAGAAAGUGAGUAUAGAGCUCUUGCCUCUGCAAGUGCAGAAAUCACCUAGAUACAGUCAUUACUUAAAGAGCUUAAGAUUGAAUGCACAUCUUUACCAAUAAUUUGGUGUGACAAUGUGAGUGCAACAGAGUUGGCUAAGAAUCCUAUUUAUCACUCAAGAACAAAGCACAUUGAGUUAGACAUGCAUUUUGUUAAAGAUAAAGUGCUGGCAAGAGAAUUAGAAAUCAGCUAUAUUCCAAGUGAAGAGCAGAUUGCAGACAUCUUGACAAAGCCUCUCACCUUUACUCAUUUCAAUUAUUUUAGAGCCAAACUCAAGGUGCAUCCAUGUCCCUUGAGUUUGAGGGGGGCUGUUAAGGAAGCUCAUCAAGCAUACAAAGAAACCACACGUUUGGCACAUGUGAUUUGAUAUCCAGUCAGCGUAGCAGUUAGAAGUUAAGAGUGACAGCUCAGCAAAGUUUGUUAUGCACUCUGUAUUCUGUUAGUAUCGUUUUGGUUUUGCUCUGUGUUAAGUUGUAUGUGUAUAUAAUCAUUUCAGCUGUGAUUUGUAAUUAAGCUUUCAGUCUUGAAAUAAUAAGAAAAGUAACAGAGAUCUGGAACAUUCAUUUUCUUUCAUUUUCUCGACAUACAAACAAAUCUAUCAGUUCAAUUUUUAACAUUUCAACAUAGGCGGGGAGGUGAAUUUUUAUAUACUCGUAAUUAUGACAAUCUGAAUCAGCUAUUAUUUUCUAGUGUGGUGAUUUUGACGUGUUUUGGCAUUUUCUUUGUGCAGAAACUGAAAAGUGAAGCUGAGUUGGUCAAGAACAAGAAAGCGAAUAGAACUGAAAUUUUUUGGGUAAUCUCUGAAAUCUAAAACACAGAAAGUUAAAUUUCAACAGAUCCCAAGAUUGUAUAAUGUCCAGGCUCAUGCUUUAGCCAAAUUUGCUGUAAUAAACAAUAAAACUGAUGUAUGGCUGGACCCUAUACCAGCAGAAGUAGGCAAUGUUUUAUCUUUGUUUAAUGAAUGAAAAUGAUACUUUCAUUAUUUAAAAAAAAAAAAAACUGAAAAGUGAAGCUGUUUUAAAGACCCAAAUUGCAGCAAUUUGAAGAAAUGGCCUCUAGUAUGUAAAAUUUUGAGAGGAAAUUAAAGUGUCCCCUGUGUGGUUCCAGUAAUUUUGGCUGUAGAUUUUCUGAAUUUUAUUUACCAAGGGUUAUUAAGUUCCCUUAAUCUGAUUGAUUUACUCACUCUGCGUGUUUACAUAAUUCUAAUAAGAUAGCCUGAGAUCAGUGUUCCAUAGAUAGCCGAAAGGAAUCAGUAACUAGUUUUUAUAUGCCUGAUAUAUACUAAUACAAUAUCCAUCUACUGUAAGUGAAGCUGAUAUAUAUAUAUAUAUAUAUAUGUGUGUGUGUGUGUGUGUGUGUGUGUGUGUGGUUUGUGCUACAAUGGUCAACUUCAUGAUUGUGGCCUGGUAACGACAAUGCUUGUUGAAAGCUAUUGUAGUUUUCUGAUGUUGAAAGCAUGUAGCAAUUCUUGAUUUGUAGUUCAAGAAUUUACAAUAAUAAAUUUACAUGCAAAAGUCAUGUAAGCAUAUAUAUAACGUGUAUCCUUUUCAAUGGUAUGUGAAUUGCUUGGGAUUUUUCCUGGAGUUACUUAUCCUCCUACGGACUAAUAAUACUUCAAUGAGGCUGAGACAUCCAACACCAACCUUGUGUCCAGUAGCAUUCAAAUCAACAGCAGGAAGCACCACUGAAAUUGAUAUUUAUCUUGUGGUCCAAACUGCUAACCAGUUGCUUUUAUGUCCAUAAACUAGUGCUUUUAAACCAAUUUGUUGAAUAGUCUUCCUUUGUCAAAGAUCAUAUACUUUGCGGAAUGCGCAUUGGCACUAUCCUCUUCGAUGGCUAGAAACUUGAAUCAUCUUUGGAGCUUAUAAAUUCCGUACUUAAUUUGGAAUUGAGAUAAUUGUUAUCACAUUAAGAACGAAAUACUUGGCAAUUAUGAAAGUGCCGAAUAGUGUAUUUAUCACGAUGCUGCUUGGGUCCACUCAGGAUGGUUCACACUUGAUUCACUUGUUUCUAAAUAGCAGCUUCUGGUUGUGUUAGUACGGGAGGCAAAUUACUGACUUGCUUUUAUUAAAGCUGAAUGUUCAUCGUGUGGUUGAUUUGUGCCAAUAAACUAGGAGUCAGUUCCUAUGAGCUGCGAUUCCUUGUAGAAGACACUACCCAGUUGCUUGCAGUUGCCCUAUGACUGAUUGGAAUUAGUAAUUUUUGGCCGAGGAUUAAAGAGAAACUGUCUUAAAGCCAUUGAGGAAGCAUUAGAGUAUAUUAUAAAUGUCUGAAUUUACUCUCGCUUAUUUCCUGACUUAUGGUUACUUGUGUUACACAUUAUAUAUCAUCAUUUCCAGUUAUAGUGAGGUUACCAACAGUCUGUACCAUGCUUUGUAAAGACCAUAACCCACAUUGUAUCUUAUAUUCUUGGUCUGGCAUGUUUUACUCUCUUUUUAAGGUAUUCUUUUCCUAGCAGUGAAAUGUUUCUUUGAUUUUGCAAAUUCUGUACAUUCAGUACAGAACUAGAGCAAUGCUUUUCUCCUGUCAUUGUUAUUUAAAUAUCAGCCUAUAACUAGUUUAGUAUUUACGUGUGUGUAAUGAGAAUUUUGAAAUCAGAAUUAAUGACGUGUUCAAAAUAGUGCAGGGCCUAGAAACUUGAAAAUUAUUCUCAUAUUCUGAUUGGCAAUGGAGGAGAAUCUGAUUCCCAAAAUUACCCAUUUUACCCUCAUUGAAUUUUCUUAAUCCCAAAUUGUUCUCAAUCAAGUUUAAUGUCAUUUUUACAUUUUGGUCCCUGGAUGAAAAUACCCAGAAAUUUUGUAUUAUUUGUAAAUAAGUCCUUUAACAAUUAAUAGUAAUAAUAAUUUUUUAUUAUUAUUAUUAUUUAUUAAUGUCAUUAAUAAUAUUAUUAUUAUUAUUGUCACCUUCGCGUUGUCAUCAUCAUUAUUAUUAAAUUUAUUAUUUUAAUUAAUAUUAUUGUCAUUAUUAUAAUUAUUAUGAUUUUAAGUUUUAUUAUUACUUUUAUUCUUAUUAUUGUUAAGAUUAUAACAGAUACAAAUAAUACUAAAUACAAUAAUUAAUAAAAAAACAUUUUAAUUAAUUAUGAUUCUAAGAUAAAAAUAAACACAUCAAUAAUAAUACAAUUCAUUCUAAUUAUAAUUUAUCUAACUAAAUAAAUAAUUUAUUUAAAUUCUUAUACCUUAUUCUUAUUCUGAUUCUCAUUUUUCAUUCAAAUUCCAGCUCAUUUCAAUUUCCAAUUACCAAUUACAAUAUUAAAAUUACAAGUAUGGAAAGUGGCUUUUUUUUUUUUUUUUUUUUUCUUUGGCUGAGAUGGCAAAUCUGUGCCGCAUCACUUGUUCCCAUCAAGACAGCUAGCUCUAGCUGUCACGCACAUAUUUUAACGAAAGCCCCCUUUCUUAGACACUGUCAUUUAAAUAUAAACUUUAUUUGGUUGCCGCGACAAAUAUUUCACUUUCAACAGCAAUCAGUAACUGAAUUGUUUCAUGGAAAAUGCGAAAUUCCUAAUCUCAUGUUUUCUGGUUGAUAUAUAUAUAUAUACAUAUAAAUAGCCCUAAAAAUGAAAGUAAUUGCGGUGGCUGUUGGCAGUUUCGAAUGGUCAAUAUCGCGUUGCACCUUGGCAUGAAGGACUGGCACCACCAUUGCACCAAUGCUACGCUUGUGUGAUCGUGAAAUUAGUCAAACUUAAAAGUUCUACCGCAUUUACAAAUUGGUUGGUAUCAGGUCUAUUUUGUGGCGAGUUCUUUAAUGUAAGUGGAGCCUCCUGAUGAGAUCCGCCGCUGAUUUGUUUCUCGAUAUAUUAAAGAACCGGUCCAUGGAUCAUGUUUAGCAGGCUGGCCCAGAAUUUAGGAAGUGGGGUCCAUCCUUUAACCAGUUGAAUUUCCUCUUCCGACAUCCACGGUGAAAAUAGUUUGCCAAUCUUUACUGGUGGGACCGACAAACACAUUGCCGCAGUAGCUGCUAACAAUCUCAGCAAGCAUAUUUCCUUUUCCUUUUCCUUUUCCUUUUCCAUUCCUAUAUCAGGUUUCAACUCUUUUCAUGGGAAUUUUUCUAAUGCAUUUUUGCGGUGUGACCAAUAACAAAGUCAGCUCUUUUAUGUAAAGACACCUCAAAAGUGCCUUAUCGCUCCGAGUAAGUAAGGUAAGUUAUUCUUGUGACACACUUUACACUUUGGAGAUGCAAAGGGACUUGGACAACAGAAAAGAAUAUGUAUUCUAUCUAGGCUGUCAUGAGAUGGCCAUAAGGGGGUCGAAUCCGGGACCAAAUGUUUCCCCGUGAUUUUGCUGGCGAAAGAUAACCAACUCAAACCCUACGACACUUGGCUAAACCGAUAUGUUUAGUGCUCCCCUCCAUCACUUAUCUCUAAUUUUGUUGUCUCCCUUUCCCAUGUUCGCCAUAUGUGUAGUUUGUUUCUUUCUUUUGUAUUAUUGAUUUUGAUACUUAUUAUUGAUAAUCAUUGCUAAAUCAUACCCAAUCAUUUCAGAUUCUUUCCCUAAUAGUAAGCACGUUUUAUUUACAGCAUGUUCGUAUGAAGAGGAGAGGGAGAAACGGGGGAAAAAAAAAAGAAAGUUAAACUUGAUUCACAAGACUUAACUGAGCAUUGGCAUCUAUUCUUUUUUUCUUUUUAUGGUUAAGCAAGCAAAUAGGUAAUUGAGUUGGCCUUUUUUUUUAAAUUUUCUUUUUCCCCUGUCGGUUACAAGGUUCGCUAAAUAUGCGUUAAUGGUGAAUAUAACUUUUGGCGCGAGUAGGUGAAGUUUUUUUUGUUCUCACGUGCCGACAGUAUUAUGCUUUAGUGUCAACAAACACAGACUCUUUCCUUUUUGUUUUUUUACCUACGAAUUUGACAUGACUUAAGAUCGAAAUGAUUUAAGUAUAUAAUUUUUUUGGGAUAUAAUUUGAACCGUAAUUGUCCGUUUUGAGCUUUAAUAUCAUUUUCAAAUUUCGUAAGGGAAGCUUCUAAGGUUCACCACUCAAAUAUCCUUUUUUUUUUUAAUGUGUAAAGUUGUAUCUGAAAUAAUUUUUAAAAAAAUAUUAAUACAACACGCUUUUCUAAAGACUUUUUGUGUCGUCAAUUUUUUAGAAACAAGCAAUCGUAUUAAAAAUUAAAAAUUGAAAACGAACUGGAAUUUAGCUGGUGGAGAGAACAAUUUUCCCGGAAAAAAAAUUCCCAUAUUUUGUGUUUUAAUAUACAAUUCUAUUUACAAAUCGUUUUCAAUUACCUCGGCCGGUCUAUUUUUAGACAUUGACGUGUUUUCUCUCUUUGAGAAGGUCAAAGUUCACCUUCGCAAGCAGCUCGUCUAACGUCAAUCACGUUUGAAUUUGUCCUUCUGCAGCUUGUUCAAUUGGAACCAGACGUUAUUAUAUCUAUUUAAAAAUAUGAAAGAAUUAUGGCCUUUUGUUUUUCGUUUUAUGUUUUGGUAAUUUGGGGUUGAGAUUUUUGAGGUAAACUUUGGGUAUGAAACAAUUAAAUAAAAAUUAAUAAUAUCUGAUAGUUAUACAUUUUAAAUAAUAAUUUUAAUAAAAAUAAUAAUAAAUCUUUCAUCGUAUAAAAUAAAAUUAACUUCUAAGCAAUGACAAUAAAUAUUUGAAAAUAUUUUAAUAUUAUAAAUGUCAGCUUCAAAAUGGCCUAAAAGGCCAAAAUUAGGAGGCAAUAAAUGUUUUUAGUUUAAACCGAAGGAAUCGUUACACUAAAACUUUAUGGUAUGGAGUCUUCUACCGAAAGGGAUGCAUCUUAUCUUCAACAAUACCAAGUCCUUUUAGAUUUUGGGUUUGAUAAGAUGAGAAACCACCACAUGGCAUACUCUAAAGACAGUUGUAUUGAGGGACCACUACUAGUGCCGGGUUCUUAUCUAUCUCAUGAUUUUGCCACUCAAUUAUUAUCAUCAUCAUUGUUAUUAUUAUUUUGUAUGUACCAAACUCUACUUAAUCUUCUGUUUCCAAAUGUACAUAAAAUAACAACACUAGUUGCCAUUUUCUUCUAGAUUCUUGUAAAAAAAUUCACAAGUUUUAUUCGUGUUUGAUAUAUAUAUAUAUAUAUACAUUCUCUAAUGCGGGCGUUCGUAUUUUUUUUAUGUGGACACACUUUAAAACCGCACAGUUUUAUAAUUCAUUGAAUAAUUAAAUUUUUUAAACCGCACGGUUUAAAAGUGUGUUUGUAUUAAAAAAAAUACGAGUGUCCACACCUGAGAAUAAUGUGUAUAUAUAUAUAUAUAAUUUUUAGAUGCAAGUAUCCUCAUUUUUUUAAUACGAACAUGUUGUUUAGUUAUGUGAUUUAAUAAAGUUAUUUUUUAGUACACUAUCAGGUUGUGUAGUUUAACAGUAUUAGAAUAUGACUCUAUUAAAUCGUAUGGCUUGACUUCAAAAUGCGCCUGUAUAAAAAAAAAAAAAAAAAAAAUAAAAAAAAAAAAAAAAACAAGGCGUCCGGUGCCCCCACUAGAAGAGGACUAUACAUAGUCUUUUACUGGUAAAGACAUCCUUACUUUAUUAAAGUAAAGAUGUCACGAAAAUAUAAAAAAGCAUAUAUUUCAAGAUAUUAAUAGACAAAAAUUAUAGUAUCUAAUAUAUUGAAACCUAUAAUUUUUUUUUAUAUAUUUUAGUGACAUUUUCACUUUGUUAAAAUUAGGGAUAGCAAUGAGGUGGGGGUAAGGAGGCCCAUCUAUUCCAAAUUUCUUUAAAAGUUUUGUCUUCAUUCCCCACUCCAUCCUCUAAUAAAUUUAGUGGGAUAGAGAUGAGAAAUCAUCAUGUGGUGAAUGAUUUCUUCAUUCUCACUCCAUUUCUUGUUUGCUUAUUUUAUAGUAGAUAUGGAUAAAUGAUUUCAGUAAUUAAAAAAUUAAAGACUUAAAUGAAAUCAUUAUCAUAUUAUAAAGUAUUUAAAUAAUUUUAAAAAAAAUCUCUAAAAGAUUGAAACGAUAUCUUGAAAUGAUACCAAAACAAAAAAAAUGUUUGAAGAGAGUAGCAUAAUAAGAGAAAAAAUAAAACGUAAUAAUGUUUUAGGGUUGAAUAAAAAUUAUAAUGUAUGGUUUUCUUUUAGUUAUAACUCAUUUAUAUUAGGUAAAAAUAAAAAAAAUUAUUAACCAAUAUUAUAAUUGAUAAAAAAAAUUAUUGAAUAAAAAUUUUUAAAAGAUUCAUAUAUAAUGAGAUUGGUGUGGGGUAAGGUGGAAAGUACAAAACUAAAUCUCAUCCUAUUAAAAAUUUGAGAAUUAUUUUUCCUUUAUUCUCCACCUUAUUCCGUAAAACUUAUUCACAACUCCCUUUUGGGUGAACCUCCAUGGGACUCAAAAUUCAUAAAGAUUUUUACCAUUUAUAAUUAAAAUAUAAAUAUCUUCGCUAAAAAAUAACUAUAUAUAUAUAUAUAUAUGUGUGUGUGUGUGUGCGUGUGUGCGCGUGUGAGAGAGAGAUUGUGAUUUCAGAAGAUUGCAUGAGAUUAUUCCAACAAUAAUAACUUUGGACAAAAUUUAAAAUAGAUGUACAAACACUUUUUUUUUUUUGCCCUAAAGUUAAAAUUUCCUUGACCAACGAUACGUUUCUUCGUUAGUUUUCUUUCCAAGGAAUCACUUUCUUAAAAUAAAUAACUAUGCCAGUUAGAUUUUUUUGCCCUUUUUUUUUUAAUAAAGUAAAGCCCAUCGGCCUUGGACUAUUAAUAGCUCUUCAAGUCUUCAAACGUGGCACUACCUCAAAGCCAUUGGAUUCAAAAUAUUGAACAUGACUAAACUGAAUGGGAGAUUGCUUACAACUUUUUGGCCCACCAGGGGCCUCAAUUAAUUUUUAACAAGAUUGAGGAGUUUCUUUCACCUUUAGCGUAGGAUCAGAUUUUCUUUUUUCUCUCUCUCUCUCCCUCUUUUAAAAAAAAAAAAUUUUACUUCAUUACGAAUUGAAGUUCAACAACUAUACAUCAAAAGCAGGAUUCAAUAAAUUUUAACACAUAUAUUAUUGGCUCGGCCUUUGCCCCGUGAAUGCCGUAAAAUGCUUACGAAUAUUUUUGUAAUGUAAUAGUAAAAAGAUUAAAUAAGUACACAAAAUAAAAGUAAAAGGGAGGAUUUUUUUUUUAAUAAAAAAGAAAACAAAAUGGUUGGUGAGUAUUAUUAAUAGUAACAAACACACACGUCACCGCAACAGAGCAUGUCAUGAACCAAUUGAACUGCGUGGGCCCCUUUGGCGGGUCGUAUGAUUUUCCUUCAUUACGGUUCUUGAUCCGCGUGGACUUUGGGACCCACAAAUUAAGAGCUCCCACCAAAAACUUUUUUUAAAAAAUUACAAGAAAAAAAAGAAGAAGAUAAUAAAUAAGCUGCCGACGAAAGGUAACGAGAAAACCGUGCAUGAGUCGUCAUUCGUCAAUAACGGGUAAUUUGAAUCCGUAAUUCCCGCAACGUUGCUACCAUUACAAAAUUUAAUCCAAAAGCACGCCAUUAUUUUUGUUAUUCAACGUAUUAUUAUUUCGGUGUUACAUAAUUGAAUUUUUUGAAUUUAAUGAGGCUGUUACAGAAGCAAAUUAUGGUGUUAUUUGUUUUUUUAGUCUAAAGUAUAAAUUUAUUUAUUUUAGAUAUUUAUUUAUUUUUUUAACUUAUUACUUAUUGUCAGACAAUUAUAUCUUAAUAAAAAAAGUUAAAAAAAAAAUUCUUUUAUUUGAAGUAUGAAGUUUAAAUAGAAAAUUUUAAUUUCAAAUUUUAAAAAUACCCUUAACAAUUCAUGUAUUUCUAAUAUUAUGUAUGAACCUAAUAUUUUUGUAUUAUUCUUGAAGUUAUUUUUUUUAAUUGCUUCAAAAUUUUAUUCACAUGAUAACAUUAACUAAUCUGAAAUAUUUAACAAAUCAAAUUAUGUCCAUUGAUAUGAAUCAAAAAUAAAAUAACAGUAUUGAUUUUAUAAUAAAAUUUGAUGUUAUAAUUACAUAUUUUAUUAAAAAAUUAAGUUAAGAUCGACAAUGAUAAUAUUUUUUUUAAAUGCUAACAAACUAAUCAACCUAUAAAAAUUAUGAAUUGUGAAGAACAAAUAUAUUCACCUCUUAAAAGAAUAUUUAUGUUAAACUAUUAGUUUUUAAGUUUUUCUCUUUAGAUGUUGAAAAAAAAAAAAUAAACACGUCAUUCAGACAUUUUUAUUCAGACCUAUUUAAAUUUCAACUGAAUUCAGAUUUAUUCAUAUUUCAGAUAAAAAAAACAAACGCAACCUACAAAUAUUCAAUUUUAUUAUUCAACAGUUAUAUACCCCAUGUAUAUAAAAAAAACAGUCUUCCUCUUCUAUUUUGCACACAACAAACGCAUAGAGCACAUAAAAAAAAAAAUUUCUUCCUCUGACCUUUUGUUUUGAUCGAAAUUCUACAUUAUUAUUGUUCUCUGAAAUUAUUUAUGUGUGCUUGGUGAAUAAUUCGUUCUCAUUGUAUCAUGAAAAACAGAUACCAACGAACCAAAAGCACAGUAAUAUGUGGUAAAUAUGUUUUAAGAAUACUGUUAUUUAAUAGGCCUCAGGUUUUUUCUUAUACUUUUUGUUUUUCAUUUUCUUUUCAAUUGUUUAUUUUGUUACUACUUCAACGAUUAACUGCAGCUUGUUUUCUUACUAUUUAUUUAUAUUAAUUUUCAAUUGUUGACUCACUACAAUAAUUUACAAUAUCCCUCAAUCCGGAACCCCAAAUGAAAAUAGUUAAAUUAGAAAGGAAAUCCAAAAAAAAAAAAAAAAUUAAAGCAUCUAGACUUUUGAAAUCCGAGAGCAUAAAAAGAUAAAAGGACUCAAAUGUGAAAGCAAACUCGAGCUUAGAGAAGAGACAACUAAAAAUGACCGGUUCAACGUUAAUAUAAUAAUUUUUGUAAUAACUUUAUACGUACUUUGUAGUUUGUAGGCUUCUUCUUGGUGCUCUUGCUUCAUUUUAUUUUAGGCUUAUCUUAAAAAAACGAAAAAUUGCAGGCUUCUAGUGGCUUUAGCUCGGUGUUACGUGUUGGUUUACCCAUGAUCCGCGUAACCACCUGUUAAUCUCUUUUGACUUUAACGCAAUUAGCAUUUUUAGAAGCUUCACUUUGGAUUUCCCCACCACCAGAAGAACGAGUCGAUGGCCACGUAGGUAACAAAAAAAAACCAAAAAAAUCAUGACCACGUGUAUGCGCUCCGGCUUCCACGUGUCGCGACCAGUCGUUACAGCUGGCUUUGCCGGCUGGCAUUUGUUUCGCCGACUGGCCUCAAUUGUUUCUGUCCUACGUGGAUGGAGGGUCCCACGAAGGCUUAAUCUUAGCCACCAGCCACUUAAAAAACAAGUGGCGUUUGUUUAUGGAAGAAAUGCCUCCAGCUGGUUUGGAGCUACGUGAGAACCUAAAUUGUUUCCUUAUAAUAUCUAAAAGUCUACUUUUGACGAAAAUUGGUUCAUAAAAAUUUAGAUAAAUGCGUAAAUGAAAAGAAAAAAGUAAAAAUUGGAGAAUUCACAUGUAAUAUUGAGAGAUGCGAGUUUUAUUAUCCAAAAUUAGAUCGUCAUCAAUUUUGUAAUAACACGGUCCAAAUAUGUAUGAUGAUGAGACAAAUUAAACUAUUUACAUUCCAUUUAAACCUCAUUAUAAAUCUGAAAAUAUACUAUUAAUUUUCAAAUUCGAACAUAUGGUGAAUUUUUUUUACGCAUGAUACAGUGAUGUUUUAUUAUAGCCCGCACAAAUUUCGUAAUAUAAUCGAUAAAUAAUAUAAUAACGAUAGUAUAGUACAAAAUAGUAAAAAAUUAUCCCAAAUAAAAAUAACAAUGCUGGUCAAUACACGGAAACGAUACGAUUAUUUUAUUUUUAUGUUGAUAAAUAUUGAUAUGAUUAAUAAAUGAAUUGAAACAACAUGAUGAACAACCAAGUCAUAUAUAUGUUGGACCACUUCAAUACCAUUACACAUUUAUGAUACAAAUAUUAAUUUGUUAAUUUCAUUUUUAAUAUUGUAUAAGUUAUUAAUUAUUAAUUAUUGUGUUCAAACGAUUUAACUUUUAUGAUUGUUUGUUUGUACAAUUAAAUUUUUAAAUUUUUAUCAUUUUAUUAUCUUAUGGUAGUAUUUCUCUUGGUAAUCGGAUUGUUCAUCUUUUUAUCAUAAUCAUGCAAUAGCAUUAAAUGUAUCGUGUUGCUUUAUCUGUUUAUUAAGCGCAUCACGUUCGUGUUUUAAUUUUAUGAUAUGAUUAUUAAACGUGUCAUAUCCAUAUUUAGUUAAAUUUAUUGUGAGACGAUUGUAUGAAUUUUUAUCUCUAGUCACAAACUAAAGUAAUAGUCUACUAAUUAGGCUUCUUGUAAUAAAAAGAACAGGUCAAACAAUCAAUUCUUCCUUUAGAAAUAGAAAUUUCAUUUAUUUUAAAAUUUUAAUUCACGAAUUACAUGAAGUGUGUGAAAUAGAAUGAAGGAAAAAAUAGUAAAAAAAGGUGUUAAAUAUUUUCAUCAUUUCUUUGGCAAUAUAUAAAGCUGGAGGAGAGCACUUUUGUCCUCCCUUUGACCACAUGUUGAAGAAUUCAAAAUCUACAAACCUCUCAUCCAAUCAUCAAAAGGCAUAAUUUUUUUAUUAUUUUUUUCAAAUUUUAAACUUGAUGUGAGAUACCCAUCCCUUAAUCAAAUUAAAAUAAUUGCCUCUAAGGGAGAGAUAUCUUACUUUAAACUUAAUUGACAAAUGACCUCACGAUUAAAGAUUUUAAAUUUGCUCAUUAAAAAAGAAAAAGAAGAAUUUAAAUUUGAAAUUCGUAGCUUUUUAUUAAUUGUAGUAACUAACCUUAUUAUAUUGUAAGAAUUUGAAAACGAUUUUUGAAGGCAUAAAUAUAAGGUGCGUUUGGAAGACAGCGUGAUUAAAUUAAUACUAUGCUAUGUUUGGAAGGAAAUGCUAAUGGAUUAAGGGGCUGUGAUAAAAAUGCCGCAUUAGUGUUUUUUUUUUGUUUUUUAAUUAAUAAUAAAUAAAUAUAACUUUUUAAUUUAAUAGAGUGUUAUAUAAUAUUAAUUUUCAUUUUCUUUUAUUUUUGCAUUAUAAUGAUUAAUAUAUUAAUAUAAAUUUAUAAUUUAUAUUUUAAUUUUAUUAUACAAAAAAUAACUAAAUAAUGUAUUAUUUAAUUAUAUUAUAAUAAUUAAUAUAUAAAAUUAUAACUAAUAAUAGAUAUUAUUUUCUAAAUUUAUAAUUUAAAUUAAUUACAAAAAAUUAAUACAAUAUAAUAUAACACUAAAUAUUGUACAAUAUUACUAUAAUACAGUAUUAAUAAAAUAUAGGAUUCUUCUAUCUUACAUGCACGUAAGAUAGGGAUUGUCUAAAAUAUAAUAUAAUAUUAAAAUAAUAGAAUAAAGAAUAAUGUGACAAAGGAAUUUUCGAAAUAUGCCUGGCAUUGUGCGAUUGUCAGUGUCAAUAAGAAUUGUUGUUUCAGAGAAAAAAAAAAUGUCAAUAAAAGUCUGCUUAAUCUCUCAAUUCUUUUAUUUUCCACAAAUUAAAAAGACAAGAGUUCCCCCCCAUAUUAUUAGCCGGGCAAAUAAGAAGUCGAAAAUCGUAUCCAACGGAGCGCGGCACAUGCAUUCUAAACUGGAGACUUCCAUCAACGUCACCCCAAGCCAAUCAUAAGGUAUGCGAAAGCGCGUUAAUUGUGCUUCACAGUUCAUUAAUCCCGAAGGGGCAUUUUAGUGAAAUUCCCAGUUGUUAUCGAUGAUGUGUAGAGCGUUGACGCGUUCUGCGGGACGCCGUGCACACCUCACGCGAGCGGGGCCCUCUUUGGCGCCGACGAUCCAGCCGAGCAGGACGUGACACGUGGGCCCCUGGCCAGAAUCACUUUGCUUUGAUGUCGUUUUCUUUUGCGUCAGGACACUUUGAUGUGUGACUACUGGCUCCCGGACCCACUCUUCCCCCGCGCUCGCAAACGGCAUUUGCAAGUUGGAUCGAGCUUUUUUGAAAACGAAUUUAGAGUUCUGUUAAUUUAAUAGCCGAAUUCUAAUAAAAAAGAUAAUUACAUUAUGGUCCUUACUCGUUUACAAUUUCUCAAAAAAGAACAGUUUUUCCAUUGGUAUCAAACAAGUCAUAAAAUGACUAAAUUACCCCCAAAAUAUUGAACUUUAAUCAACGAUGUAAACGGCACGGCCAAGUGUGUUUCAGUAAUUUCGGAAGUGGCCACAGACAUGUUUCAGACAAAUCGAUUAGAUUAUAUCCUCACUUGAUAAUCUUAUAAAAAGAGGGAUCCACUUGUUAUUAUCACAUGACAAAAUCUGAAAAUCAAACAUUAUGAUGAUGAGGAUCAGGGUAGUGAUGUGGACGCGUAGCAUGCAUGCAUACUUACAUCUUCACUGGUUAUAUAUAAAAUGCGGUUUGUUUCAGCGAUUUAUGGAUGUAACCGCAACUCUUAAAUUUGGUGAUUACAUUAACGUGUCUUAUCUGCUCAUUAUUUAAUUACCAAAUUGUCCUCUUGUUCUCAUAAAUAAAUAGAGCAGAAAAAAUUAAUAACAGAAACACACACAAAUCGCAAAAGCAAACUAUUAAAAAUAAAAAUUAAAAAAAAGGAUGGCAAGCAAAGUGAAUCAUGCCGAAGGAAAGAACGACUUCCGAUUGGUGUUACUUAAGCAUGAAUGUUCUUUAUCAUUAUUCUUAGCUUGAUGCUUUUAACGUUACGAACAAUUCAUUAUAGGGAGUCUUUAAGUUACAAUAAUUGUAACAUACAUUUCUCAUGUGAACCACAUAAAAUUGUAGGAUCCAUAAUUUGUGUGGUUUACAUGAAGAAUGUAUGUUACAAUUAUUGUAACUUAGCAUUUGCCUUCAUUUUAUGGCUAAUGCUAAGUUACAUACAUGUAUCUUACACUCCUCUCACAUGAAUAGUGAAUGAUGUGGGUCUACUAACUAUUCAUGUGAGAGGGUUGUAAGGUACAUGCAUGUAACUUAGAGGGAUCCUCAUUUUAUAUAUAUAUAUAUAUAUAUAUAUAUAUAACAAAGAGGUGUUACCACAGGCUACCUACUCCUCCGUUGUAAUUUUCUUAGCAAUCUUAGUUUGGACAAAUUUUUUUUUCUAUUUUUUAAUUAUGAGAACAUAAAAUAAGUUUUCUUAUUUUCCAUAGAAUGAGAAAACUUCAUCGCAAUUUUUUUUCCCUCUAAAUAUUUGGAUCAAUAUUGGAAAAAAAAAUCACCUAAUAAAUACAAAUCAUUUAACCUUAAUUUUACUCGAACUUAAAUGACUGUUGACACAAAAAUACAAUUAUGAUCAGUUGAGCUAUGCUUAAAAGAAAAAAAAAACUUCAUCACAAUUACUUAUGAAAGACAAGUAAUAAUUAUAUAAAAUGAACCUGGGCCUCCAGCAUUAUUAAGAGCAAUUGUAUGUAUCUCAAAUGUCAUCCUAAAAUAUUUAUCUUGUAUAAGAUUGUUCAAAUAAGAAAUGAUAAUCUCUCUUUAAAUUUAGAGUGUUACUUUCUCUCUCUUUAAAUUUUAUUUUAUUACUUUUUGUUGGAGAAAGAGAGAGAUGCUUUAAUUUCUAUUGACUUUUUCUUUUAAAAAAAUAGUUAUCUAAUUAAAAUAAUAUUAACUCAUUUAUAUUUGAAGAGUCUUUUAGAGAAUAAUAUUUUUUUUCACUCUUUUAUUUGCCACAUAAGUAAACAAAUAAAUAUUUGAAGAGUAAAAUUUAUAGAGGCUUUUGAAGAUGCUCUAACAUUCAUCUAGCGAUUGAUAUAUCUACACUUUAUAUUCUUAUAUAUUGUAUAAUUUUAACAUCGAAUAAUGAAUAUUUUGAUAUAAUAUCUUAGAAAUAUAACAUUAUUCUCUCAUUUAAGUUAUAUACAAUAGUUGGUUCAACUAUAUAAAAUCUUUUAUGAUAGGGGAAAGAUUAUGAAAUUAGAAAACCGCUCAUGUGAAUAAUAAUAAAAUUUGAUUACUCUCACGUUACAAAUAAAAGAAAAGACGCGCCAGUUAAUUUGAAACGCGAUCUUUCUUUCCUAAAUUGCCAUCAUUAUUAAGAACUUGGCAUGGUCCAAUGCUAUGCAUGGAAAUUGAAGCCGAAGUGUGGCCAUUUAAUUUAAAGCAAGUAAAAAGGACAAGAAUCUGGUGUGAGGCCAACUGAAAAUUGCGCUCAAAAGGUAAAAGUGGUGAACAUUAAAAAAUUUGGCAUUAAAGGCCCACAAAACAGUAGCUCUGGCUCAUUGAGUCGUGGCAGUGCAGUAAGUGAAAACGAAUAGGGCCAAUGAUGUCAUUUUAGCCGAACGUUACUAGCAGUUCUUUUUACUCCCACGGAGUUUAUCUGACUUGACAAAGCACCUACUAUACAAACAAAAAAACUCGACUGCCCGGCUUAAAAAGUGGAUUCAUGCCUUUGUCCCACUGGCUUAGGUCCACCACCACCACUGUACCAAAAUCUCGUGAUACUUUGUCUCAUAAAUAGUCUGGUGAUAUCAACCAAUUGGUAAUUACCGUUUGGAAAAAAAAAAAAAAAUUCCCAAAAGGAAAGUUAAAGGGCAAAUUAAAAAAAAAAAAAGAAAGCUGGCCGGAUGAUUUUUUUCCAGGUCAACAGUCGCCGGGAUUAAGAAUCGUCCACCGACCCCUUCUUAACAGCUUUGCAUUAUAAGUUUUAUUGACUUCUGCAUAAUUUAAGGAAAUGACAACAAUUAUUUGUACCAAUUCAUUAUUAAUUGAUUAAAUUGUAAUAAUGCUUUUUUGGGCUAUUAUUCAAUAUUCCAAACUUCAACUUCUUCGGUUGAUUGGGAAUGGGAUUCAGAAAGAAUAAAGUAAAACAAAAAAAAAUGUUAAAUUUAAAUAAUGUAAUGUAGGGAAAAAAAUAUAAAUAAAUAAAUAUAUUAUAUAUAUAUGUAGAGAGAGAGAGAGAGAGAGAGAGAAAGAGUGUUAGAAGGAGAGAGAAUCUGGUGGGUUUUGAGCUGUGAUUUAGCUGUCUCUUGAUUGUAUUAGUUCUCACACCCACAUACACUCCCCUUUCUGUUCACACAUAUCUCCAAAAUACCUAGAAAAGACCCAUCUCUCUCUCUCUCUAACCCCUCUCAACUCAAGUCUCAAACACCAAGCGUAAAGAGCCAAAGCGGAAAACUAAAUCUUAAAAUCCCACACACACUCUCUCUCUCUUUCUCCAUAUUUGCCUCAGAUCUCAAGGCGAACAAAAAUUAUUCAGCAAUUCCCAUUUGCAAUCUGAGCCUGGAAAGAGAGAGAAGAAAAAAAAGGAAGAGCAGCUUAAAAAAGAGAAAGGAAAGUGGCAUUUGGCAAAUCAGAUGUCUCAAGUGAGAUGAAGAAGAAGACCCAUAUCAGCCGUCAUCUCUCACUUCCCAUUGUCUUCUUCUUCCUUAGCACAGUCUUGUGCUGCUGCUUUGGCUCUGCUGCUGCUGAGGUGGUUCCCAUUGCCGGCCAUGGUGGCCUCACUGAUGCUGAAGCUCACUACAUCAGGCAGCGGCAGCUGCUUUACUACAGGGACGAGUUUGGAGACAGAGGAGAGAAUGUUACUGUAGACCCAUCUCUUGUUUUUGCAAACCCAAGAAUCAGGAAUGCUUACAUAGCAUUACAAGCUUGGAAGCAAGCUAUUCUUUCUGAUCCUUACAAUUUAACUGCAGAUUGGGUUGGAUCUGCUGUCUGCAGCUACACUGGCGUCUUCUGUGCUCCUGCUCCUGAUAACAAGAGGAUCAGAACCGUCGCCGGCAUUGAUUUGAACCACGGUGAUAUCGCUGGGUACUUGCCUGAAGAGCUUGGCUUGUUAACUGAUCUUGCAUUGUUUCACAUAAAUUCAAAUCGGUUUUGUGGCACUGUUCCUCACAAGUUUGAGAACCUCAAGCUGCUGUUCGAGCUGGAUCUUAGCAACAACAGGUUUGCUGGUAAGUUCCCAAAGGUACUUCUCAGGUUGCCUCAACUCAAGUUCUUGGAUCUGAGAUAUAACGAAUUUGAAGGCACUGUGCCUAGAGAGCUGUUUGACAAAGAUUUAGAUGCUAUCUUUAUCAACAACAAUCGCUUCAGAUUUGAAAUCCCAGACAACUUUGGUAACUCCCCCGUCUCAGUUAUUGUCCUGGCCAACAACAAAUUCCAUGGCUGUGUGCCUUCGAGUCUUGGUAACAUGUCAAGACUCAACGAAAUUAUUCUACUGAAUAAUGGGUUGAGGUCUUGCUUGCCUCCGGAGAUUGGGAUGCUCAAGAACGUGACUGUAUUUGAUGUCAGCUUCAAUCAGCUUCUGGGUCCUUUGCCGGACACGAUUGGAAGAAUGGUGAGCUUGGAACAGCUCAAUGUGGCUCACAACAUGCUCUCUGGCACAAUCCCGGCGAGCAUUUGUCGGCUGCCUAACUUGCAGAACUUCACAUUCUCGUACAAUUUCUUCACCGGGGAGCCGCCGGUUUGCUUGAGCUUACAAGCUUUUGAUGACAGGAGGAAUUGCUUGCCAGCAAGGCCAGCACAGAGGUCUUCAGCGCAAUGUAAGUCAUUCCUGUCCAAGCGCGUGGAUUGUUCUUCAUUUAAAUGUAAACCCUUUGUUCCUACCUUGCCGCCGCCACCUCCCCCAUCUCCACCAAUGCCGGUGCCCUCACCACCACCACCAGUUGUAAUACCGCAAUCACCGCCGCCACCAUCACCCUCACCUCCACCUCCUCCGCCAGUUAUUUCACCACCACCACCACCACCAGUUGUAGUACCGCAACCACCACCGCCGCUGCNNNNNNNNNNNNNNNNNNNNNNNNNNNNNNNNNNNNNNNNNNNNNNNNNNNNNNNNNCCACCCCCGCCUGUGUACUCGCCUCCACCUCCAUCACCAUCACCCCCGCCCCCUCCUGUUUACUCUUCUCCACCACCACCACCACCGUAUUGUGUCCGCCCUCCACCACCUCCGCCAAAUUCUCCUCCACCGCCUCCUCCACUGUACUCCUCACCACCGCCAAACCCUUACAUUUAUAGCUCACCACCACCUCCGCCACAUCACUCACCACCUCCACCGCCACAUUCACCCCCACCUCCUAUUUAUCCAUACCAAUCUCCCCCGCCACCUCCACCAGUCCAUUCACCACCACCUCCAUCCCCACCCCCUUGUAUAGAACCACCUCCCCCUCCACCACCACCAUGUGUAGAAUAUUCGCCCCCACCUCCAUUGCCUUCACCUCCACCGCCAACUCAUUAUAAGCCCCCGCCAUCGCCAUCACCACCACCAGCACCAGUAAUUUAUGCUUCGCCACCUCCACCACCACCAGUUUACUAUCCACCACCACCACCACCACCACCAGCUCAUUACAAUUCGCCACCCCCACCAUCGCCAUCACCUCCACCUCCAAUUCCAUGUGAGAACCCUCCACCACCACCAUCUCCAUCUCCACCGCCGCCAAUUGUUUAUGAAAGUCCACCGCCUCCAGCACCAGUGUACGAGGGGCCAUUGCCACCAGUGUUUGGAGUCUCAUAUGCUUCGCCUCCGCCACCACCUUUCUAUUGAUUCUUUUGAGAAAUUUCCUCCUCUAACCUUUUUAUU